This 94833-nucleotide long non-coding RNA is filed under the name Hordeum vulgare. RNAcentral's name for it is "long non-coding RNA (HVUL_LNC000065)". Lineage: Eukaryota; Viridiplantae; Streptophyta; Magnoliopsida; Poales; Poaceae. The record is from RNAcentral.
CUCAACCGGCGUCGCAAUGACAGAGGUUUCCCCUUGCCCUGCGCCACCAUCCAGAGGGAUGAGAGGUUUGACAACCUCGUCAAGUUCUAUCUUCCUCCCACUCAAUUCUCUCGAGAGAAACUCCUUCUCGAGAAAAGCUCCGUUUUUAGCAACAAACACUUUGCCCUCGGAUUUGAGAUAGAAGGUGUACCCAACUGUCUCUUUUGGGUAACCUAUGAAGACACACUUUUCCGCUUUGGGUUCCAGCUUUUCAGGCUGAAGCUUUUUGACAUAAGCAUCACAUCCCCAAACUUUAAGAAACGACAACUUUGGCCUUUUGCCAUACCACAGUUCNNNNNNNNNNNNNNNNNNNNNNNNNNNNNNNNNNNNNNNNNNNNNNNNNNNNNNNNNNNNNNNNNNNNNNNNNNNNNNNNNNNNNNNNNNNNNNNNNNNNGGGUUUAUACAAGUGGUUGGAGAAUCUUGUAUUUACAAGAAAGUGAGUGGGAGCUCUGUGGCGUUUCUAAUAUUAUAUGUGGAUGACAUAUUACUGAUUGGAAACAACGUAGAGCUUUUGGAGAGCAUAAAAGGUUACUUGAAUAAAAGUUUCUCUAUGAAGGACCUAGGAGAAGCUGCUUACAUUCUAGGCAUUAAGAUCUAUAGGGAUAGAUCAAAACGCCUGAUAGGACUUUCACAAAGCACAUACCUUGAUAAAGUUUUGAAGAGGUUCAAAAUGGAACAGUCCAAGAAAGGGUUCUUGCCAGUNNNNNNNCAAAACGGCGUUCCUUAACGGUUUCCUUAAGGAAGAGUUGUAUAUGAUGCAACCCGAAGGUUUUGUCGAUCCUAAAAAUGCUGACAAGGUGUGCAAGCUCCAGCGAUCCAUUUAUGGACUGGUGCAAGCAUCUCGGAGUUGGAACAAACGCUUUGAUGAGGUGAUCAAAGCAUUUGGGUUUAUACAAGUGGUUNNNNNNNNNNNNNNNNNNNNNNNNNNNNNNNNNNNNNNNNNNNNNNNNNNNNNNNNNNNNNNNNNNNNNNNNNNNNNNNNNNNNNNNNNNNNNNNNNNNNAGAGCAUCAAGUGUUGAUGGUGAGCAAGACCACUAGUUUCAAGAGAAACGGCAAAGGCAAGAAGGGCAAUUCGAAGAAGAGCGGCAAGCCUGUUGCCAAUCCGCCGAAGAAACCCAAGGCUGGACCUAAGCCUGAAACAGAGUGCUUCUAUUGCAAGGGUAUGGGUCACUGGAAGCGCAAUUGCCCCAAGUAUCUGGCAGAUAAGAAGGCGGGCAAAGAAAAAUCAGGUAUAUUUGAUAUACAUGUCAUUGAUGUGUACUUAACCAGCUCUCGUAGUAGUGCCUGGGUAUUCGAUACCGGUUCUGUUGCUCACAUUUGCAACUCGAAGCAGGAACUGCGGAAUAGACGACGGCUGGCGAAAGACGAAGUGACGAUGCGCGUAGGAAACGGUUCCAAGGUUGAUGCAAUCGCCGUCGGCACAGUGUCACUUCAACUACCAUUGGGAUUAGUGAUGAACUUAAAUCAUUGUUAUUUAGUGCCUGCGUUGAGCAUGAACAUUAUAUCUGGAUCUUGUUUAUUGCGAGACGGUUACUCUUUUAAGUCUGAGAAUAAUGGUUGUUCUAUUUCUAUNNNNNNNNNNNNNNNNNNNNNNNNNNNNNNNNNNNNNNNNNNNNNNNNNNNNNNNNNNNNNNNNNNNNNNNNNNNNNNNNNNNNNNNNNNNNNNNNNNNNGCAUAAUUCCAACAGUCUCCCACUUGCACUAGAGUCAAUAAUCUAGCCCUCACAUCACCAUGUGAAUUACAUUGUAAUAAAUCUAACACCCAUACAGUUCUGGUGUCGAUCAUGUUUUGGCCGUGGAAGAGGUUUAGUCAGCGGGUCUGCUACAUUCAGAUCCGUGUGCACCUUGCAUAUAUUUACGUCCUCCUCCUCGACGUAGUCGCGGAUGAGGUUGAAGCGUCGUUUGAUGUGUCUGGUCUUCUUGUGAAACCUUGGUUCCUUUGCCAGGGCAAUGGCACCAGUGUUGUCACAGAACAAGGUUAUUGGAUCCAGUGCACUUGGCACCACUCCAAGAUCCGUCAUGAACUGCUUCAUCCAGACACCCUCCUUAGCCGCCUCCGAGGCAGCCAUGUACUCCGCUUCACAUGUAGAAUCUGCUACGACGCUUUGCUUGGAACUGCACCAGCUUACUGCACCCCCAUUAAGAAUAAAUACGUAUCCGGUUUGCGACUUAGAGUCGUCCGGAUCUGUGUCAAAGCUUGCAUCNNNNNNNNNNNNNNNNNNNNNNNNNNNNNNNNNNNNNNNNNNNNNNNNNNNNNNNNNNNNNNNNNNNNNNNNNNNNNNNNNNNNNNNNNNNNNNNNNNNNGUCGCCGCAACAAUCAUUUGUACGUUUUCACGUGUACGGAAGCCCCUUCGAUGACGUAGUGGACACGGCCGCCCCACGUGCCGUCAGUGGGUCGGACGCCUCCUCGACAUACAUCACUUGGAUGCCCCGCGCGUUGCCACUCAGUCGGACUCGUCUACCUCACUCGGAUGCCCCACGCAUCGCCACUCCGUGUGGCACAUCUUCAUCACUCGGACGCCCCGCGCGCCACCGCUGGGCUUAGCUGCGACUCCAUGUCGCCUAAGUUCAAAACUAAUCCGAGUGCGGACAUGCUCCACAAUCGGGGACUUAGCUGCGAAUCCGUAUCGCCUAAGUUCAAAACUACUCCGAGUGCGGACAUGCUCCACACUCGGGGACUUAGCUGCGACUCCGUAUCACCUAAGUUAAAAACAACUCCGAGUGCGGACAUGCUCCACACUUGAGGACUUAGUUGCGACUCCGUAUCGCCUCUCCACUCUUAGAGACUUGAGUUUGAUCUAGAAAUCAUAUAAUGCNNNNNNNNNNNNNNNNNNNNNNNNNNNNNNNNNNNNNNNNNNNNNNNNNNNNNNNNNNNNNNNNNNNNNNNNNNNNNNNNNNNNNNNNNNNNNNNNNNNNCUAUGUGGGUGAAAUGAUGAUAGCAUGCCAACUUUCAACAUUUUCAGAAUUCAUUUGUAGUGCUUUUCAAUUUUAGGGUCAACUAGCUCAAAAAAAUAAGUAAAUGCACGAAAAAUACCAAAUGAAGUCAGAAAUUGUUGAAAUUUUGUGAUGUGCCUUUGAAUGGUGCAUUUUGGAUACAAAAAGUAUGUAGUUCAAAUAAGUUCAAAAAAUGAAAUCCCUUUGUAAGAGAUGGGUUCUCGUUCGAAACGCUCAUACUUCGAGAGAGAUUGUCCGUUUUGUACACGAAGUGCAUCCAGUUUUUGUCGUAGCCCUCUCAACUUUUAAACACAUGCUAUGUGGGUGAAAUGAUGAUAGCAUGCCAACUUUCAACAUUUUCAGACUUCAUUUGUAGUGCUUUUCAAUUUAGGGUCAACUAGCUCAAAAAAAAGUAAAUGCACAAAAAAUACUAAAUGAAGUCAGAAAUUGUUGAAAUUUUGUGAUGUGCCUUUGAAUGGUGCAUUUUGAACACACAAAAAGUAUGGAGUUCAAAUGAGUUCAAAAAAAUGAAAUCCCUUUGUAAGAGACGAGUUCUCGUUCGAAACGCUCAUACUUCGAGAGAGAUUGUCCGUUUUGUACACGAAGUGCAUCCAGUUUUUGUCGUAGCCCUCUCAACUUUUNNNNNNNNNNNNNNNNNNNNNNNNNNNNNNNNNNNNNNNNNNNNNNNNNNNNNNNNNNNNNNNNNNNNNNNNNNNNNNNNNNNNNNNNNNNNNNNNNNNNUCGUAGAAUAUGUAGGAUCCAAUAUGGGCAUCCAGGUCCCGCUAUUGGAUAUUGACCGAGGAGUCUCUCGGGUCAUGUCUACAUAGUUCUCGAACCCGCAGGGUCUGCACACUUAAGGUUCGACGUUGUUUUAUGCGUAUUUGAGUUAUAUGGUUGGUUACCGAAUGUUGUUCGGAGUCCCGGAUGAGAUCACGGACGUCACGAGGGUUUCCGGAAUGGUCCAAAAACGAAGGUUGAUAUAUAGGAUGACCUCAUUUGAUUACCGGAAGGUUUUCGGAGUUACCGGGAAUGUACCGGGAAUGACGAAUGGGUUCCGGGGGUUCACCGGAGGGGGGCAACCCACUCCGGGGAAGCCCAUAGGUAUUUGUGGGGGUCACACCAGCCCUUAGUGGGCUGGUGGGACAGCCCACCAAAUCCUAUGCGCCAAGGAAGAAAAAUCAAAGGAAGAAAAAAAAGAGAGGAAGAAGUGGGAAGGGGGAAGGACUCCCUCCCACCAAACCAAGUNNNNNNNNNNNNNNNNNNNNNNNNNNNNNNNNNNNNNNNNNNNNNNNNNNNNNNNNNNNNNNNNNNNNNNNNNNNNNNNNNNNNNNNNNNNNNNNNNNNNNNNNNNNNNNNNNNNNNNNNNNNNNNNNNNNNNNNNNNNNNNNNNNNNNNNNNNNNNNNNNNNNGGGGUUCCCUUGGACCCCAAGGCAAGGUCCCCCUCCCUCCUCCUAUAUAUAUGGGGCUUUUAGGAUAGAUUUGAGACGACUUUCUCACGGCUGCCCGACCACAUACCUCCAUAGUUUUUCCUCUAGAUCGUGUUUCUGCGGAGCUCGGGCGGAGCCCUGCUGAGACAAGAUCAUCACCAACCUCCGGAGCGCCGUCACGCUGCCGGAGAACUCUUCUACCUCUCCGUCUCUCUUGCUGGAUCAAGAAGGCCGAGAUCAUCGUCGAGCUGUACGUGUGCUGAACGCGGAGGUGNNNNNNNNNNNNNNNNNNNNNNNNNNNNNNNNNNNNNNNNNNNNNNNNNNNNNNNNNNNNNNNNNNNNNNNNNNNNNNNNNNNNNNNNNNNNNNNNNNNNCACGAAAAAUACCAAAUGAAGUCAGAAAUUGUUGAAAUUUUGUGAUGUUCCUUUGAAUGGUGCAUUUUCAACACACAAAAAGUAUGGAGUCUAAAUAAGUUCAAAAAAAUGAAAUCCCUUUGUAAGAGAUCAGUUCUCGUUCGAAACCCUGAUACAUCGUUUAAUUGAAAAUAACAAAAUAGUUAACAGUUUGGAUAGUCAAAAUAAUUAAUUUGAAAAUAUAAAAUAGUUCAGAAUUAUUUAUUCAAUUUCAAACACUNNNNNNNNNNNNNNNNNNNNNNNNNNNNNNNNNNNNNNNNNNNNNNNNNNNNNNNNNNNNNNNNNNNNNNNNNNNNNNNNNNNNNNNNNNNNNNNNNNNNNNNNNNNNNNNNNNNNNAUCAUAGUUUUGUCAAAUUCUCAAAUAUGCAAAAAGAAUUUUAAUAAACGUAGUUUUUAAUUGAAAAUAACAAAAUAGUUAAUAGUUUGGAUAGUCAAAAUAAUUAAUUUUGAAAAUAUAAAAUAGUUUUGAAUUAUUUUUUCAAUUUCAAACACUUUUCAUUUUCAUAGUUCUGUCAAAUUCUCAAAUAUGCAAAAAGAAUUUUAAUAAACAUAGUUUUUAAUUAAAGAUAACAAAAUAGUUAAUAGUUUGGAUAGUCAAAAUAAUUAAUUUUGAAAAUAGAAAAUAGUUUUGAAUUUUUUAUUCAAUUUCAAACACUUUUCAUUUUCAUAGUUUUUUCAAAUUCUCAAAUAUGCAAAAAUAAUUUUUAAUAAACAUAGUUUUUAAUUGAAAAUAACAAAAUAGUUAAUNNNNNNNNNNAUUUGGAUAGUCAAAGUAAUUAAUUUUGAAAAUGGAAAAUAGUUUUGAAUUAUUUAUUCAAUUUCAAACACUUUUCAUUUUCAUAGUUUUGUCAAAUUCUCAAAUAUGCAAAAAGAAUUUUUAAUAAACAUAGUUUUUAAUUGAAAAUAACAAAAUAGUUAAUAGUUUGGAUAGUCAAAAUAAUUAAUUUUUAAAAUAGAAAAAAAUUGAAACUAUAUGAGGAUUUAUAGAGAAAAUUCAACCUAAAUUCAAAGUGACCUCACUUUGAAUUCAGGUUGAAUUUUGUCCAUAAUUUCGAAUAUAGUUUCAAUUUUUAAAUUUACAGUGUGUUUAGGCCCGUAAGCCUGCUUUAGAGAGGAGGUCGAUGAAGAUGCUGCGACGGGGCUUAUAAACUAGUGUUAGUGCGCCUUGCUCGGCAAGGUGGGACUAAACUUAUCGUGCACCUAGCGAAGGGGCUUUAGUCCCGGGUAGAGCCACGCCCCGGGACUAAAGCCCCUCGCCUCCCGCCUGUCGAAAAGGGGUCUUUAGCCCCGGGUCGUGGCUAGACCCGGGACUAAAGGGUGUCUUUAGUCCCGGCUCGAGCCCCGACCCGGGACUAAAGGCCCGUGCUUCCCGCCUUUUGGUCUGCCGAAAAAGGGUCUUUAGUCUCGGGUCGUGGCUCCACCCGGGACUAAAGGGUGUCUUUAGUCUCGGUUCGAGCCCCGAACCGGGACUAAAGAUCCUUCUAUAUAUACGGCCCCGACGAAAAAUCCAAAAUCCAAACGCCAUUUCGUUCUCUUCUUCCUCUCGCUCGCCUCUCCUGCCGGCGCGGCUGUUGGAAAUAUGCCCUAGAGCCAAUAAUAAAUUAGUUAUUAUUAUAUGUCUUUGUUCAUGAUAAUCGUUUAUUAUCCAUGCUAUAAUUGUAUUGAUUGGAAACACACUGUAUGUGUGGAUACAUAGACAAAACACUGUGCCUAGUAAGCCUCUAGUUGACUAGCUCGUUGAUCAAAGAUGGUCAAGGUNNNNNNNNNNNNNNNNNNNNNNNNNNNNNNNNNNNNNNNNNNNNNNNNNNNNNNNNNNNNNNNNNNNNNNNNNNNNNNNNNNNNNNNNNNNNNNNNNNNNAAAAGUUGAGAGGGCUACGACAAAAACUGGAUGCACUUCGUGUACAAAACGGACAAUCUCUCUCGAAGUAUGAGCGUUUCGAACGAGAACCCAUCUCUUACAAAGGGAUUUCAUUUUUUGAACUUAUUUGAACUACAUACUUUUUGUAUCCAAAAUGCACCAUUCAAAGGCACAUCACAAAAUUUCAACAAUUUCUGACUUCAUUUGGUAUUUUUCGUGCAUUUACUUAUUUUUUUGAGCUAGUUGACCCUAAAAUUGAAAAGCACUACAAAUGAAUUCUGAAAAUGUUGAAAGUUGGCAUGCUAUCAUCAUUUCACCCACAUAGCAUGUGUUUAAAAGUUGAGAGGGCUACGACAAAAACUGGAUGCACUUCGUGUACAAAACGGACAAUCUCUCUCGAAGUAUGAGCGUUUCGAACGAGAACUCGUCUCUUACAAAGGGAUUUCAUUUUUUUGAACUCAUUUGAACUCCAUACUUUUUGUGUGUUCAAAAUGCACCAUUCAAAGGCACAUCACAAAAUUUCAACAAUUUCUGACUUCAUUUAGUAUUUUUUGUGCAUUUACUUUUUUUUGAGCUAGUUGACCCUAAAUUGAAAAGCACUACAAAUGAAGUCUGAAAAUGUUGAAAGUUGGCAUGCUAUCAUCAUUUCACCCNNNNNNNNNNNNNNNNNNNNNNNNNNNNNNNNNNNNNNNNNNNNNNNNNNNNNNNNNNNNNNNNNNNNNNNNNNNNNNNNNNNNNNNNNNNNNNNNNNNNGCCGUCCGCCCCGCCGCCUAGGUAGUGGUUCUGCAACUUGAGCUUUGUUGCAAAUUUUCUUGAAACAUGACCCUUGUUGCAAAAAAUUCUCCCGCAAAAACGAAGAAAAAAAUCCUGCAACAAGCAAUUGUUUCUGAAACUCGACCGUUGUUUCAGGAAUUAACAGAUCCAAAGUUUAUUUUUUACAACAAAGCGAUUGUUUCUGCAACUCAAACGUCGUUUCAGAAAUUAAAUCAGGAGCGGAUAGGACGGCUAUGGACGAGAUCGAACGGCUGUGGAGGUGAUGGAUUUUUAGUAAAUAUCCACCAGUGGAUUGGUAGCAGCCCCCUAUUAAUAAAGGUGUUAACUAAAUAAUGGCGUCGACGUGUUCAUGUCAGAAGAUUUGGUAAUAUUUGGAGACUUGCCUUACGUUUUUAAUACUAUUUUUCUUGCCAAAUCUUUUACCACCGGGAGGAGAUGAUUGCCAGANNNNNNNNNNNNNNNNNNNNNNNNNNNNNNNNNNNNNNNNNNNNNNNNNNNNNNNNNNNNNNNNNNNNNNNNNNNNNNNNNNNNNNNNNNNNNNNNNNNNNNNNNNNNNNNNNNNNNNNNNNNGCUGGGGUAAAACCAUGUGCUUCGUAUCCGGCUGAUUGAUCAGAUCGAUCUGCAGGGUUAAUUAAUGACGUUUGACGUGCCUUUUUAGAAGAGAUGGCAUCGAUUUGUACAGAGUGAUUGCGCCGCAUGCCCCAUUUGUGCGUGUGUCAGAAGAUUUGGUACACCAUUUGUUCGCUAAAUAGUGGCGUCGACGUGUUCGUGAUAUCUUGAUCUUCCAUACAUGUUUUUUUUUAAAGGAGGAUUACCUCCGGCCUCUGCAUCAGCACGAUGCAAACGGCCACUUUAUUAAUAAUAAGGCAAAUAAAUUGCGGUUCAAUAUAGUCUCCGACAANNNNNNNNNNNNNNNNNNNNNNNNNNNNNNNNNNNNNNNNNNNNNNNNNNNNNNNNNNNNNNNNNNNNNNNNNNNNNNNNNNNNNNNNNNNNNNNNNNNNCUUUGAUCAACGAGCUAGUCAACUAGAGGCUUACUAGGCACAGUGUUUUGUCUAUGUAUCCACACAUACAGUGUGUUUCCAAUCAAUACAAUUAUAGCAUGGAUAAUAAACGAUUAUCAUGAACAAAGACAUAUAAUAAUAACUAAUUUAUUAUUGGCUCUAGGGCAUAUUUCCAACAGCCGCGCCGGCAGGAGAGGCGAGCGAGAGGAAGAAGAGAACGAAAUGGCGUUUGGAUUUUGGAUUUUUCGUCGGGGCCGUAUAUAUAGAAGGAUCUUUAGUCCCGGUUCGGGGCUCGAACCGAGACUAAAGACACCCUUUAGUCCCGGGUGGAGCCACGACCCGAGACUAAAGACCCUUUUUCGGCAGACCAAAAGGCGGGAAGCACGGGCCUUUAGUCCCGGGUCGGGGCUCGAGCCGGGACUAAAGACACCCUUUAGUCCCGGGUCUAGCCACGACCCGGGGCUAAAGACCCCUUUUCGACAGGCGGGAGGCGAGGGGCUUUAGUCCCGGGGCGUGGCUCUACCCGGGACUAAAGCCCCUUCGCUAGGUGCACGAUAAGUUUAGUCCCACCUUGCCGAGCAAGGCGCACUAACACUAGUUUAUAAGCCCCGUCGCAGCAUCUUCAUCGACCUCCUCUCUAAAGCAGGCUUACGGGCCUAAACACACUGUAAAUUUAAAAAUUGAAACUAUAUUCGAAAUUAUGGACAAAAUUCAACCUGAAUUCAAAGUGAGGUCACUUUGAAUUUAGGUUGAAUUUUCUCUAUAAAUCCUCAUAUAGUUUCAAUUUUUUUCUAUUUUAAAAAUUAAUUAUUUUGACUAUCCAAACUAUUAACUAUUUUGUUAUUUUCAAUUAAAAACUAUGUUUAUUAAAAAUUCUUUUUGCAUAUUUGAGAAUUUGACAAAACUAUGAAAAUGAAAAGUGUUUGAAAUUGAAUAAAUAAUUCAAAACUAUUUUCCAUUUUCAAAAUUAAUUACUUUGACUAUCCAAAUUAUUAACUAUUUUGUUAUUUUCAAUUAAAAACUAUGUUUAUUAAAAAUNNNNNNNNNNAUUUUUGCAUAUUUGAGAAUUUGAAAAAACUAUGAAAAUGAAAAGUGUUUGAAAUUGAAUAAAAAAUUCAAAACUAUUUUCUAUUUUCAAAAUUAAUUAUUUUGACUAUCCAAACUAUUAACUAUUUUGUUAUCUUUAAUUAAAAACUAUGUUUAUUAAAAUUCUUUUUGCAUAUUUGAGAAUUUGACAGAACUAUGAAAAUGAAAAGUGUUUGAAAUUGAAAAAAUAAUUCAAAACUAUUUUAUAUUUUCAAAAUUAAUUAUUUUGACUAUCCAAACUAUUAACUAUUUUGUUAUUUUCAAUUAAAAACUACGUUUAUUAAAAUUCUUUUUGCAUAUUUGAGAAUUUGACAAAACUAUGAUAAUGAAAAGUGUUUGAAAUUGAAUAAAUAAUUCUGAACUAUUUUAUAUUUNNNNNNNNNNNNNNNNNNNNNNNNNNNNNNNNNNNNNNNNNNNNNNNNNNNNNNNNNNNNNNNNNNNNNNNNNNNNNNNNNNNNNNNNNNNNNNNNNNNNGGCCUUCUCCGGCAGCGUGACGGCGCUCCGGAGGUUGGUGAUGAUCUUGUCUCAGCAGGGCUCCGCCCGAGCUCCGCAGAAACACGAUCUAGAGGAAAAACUAUGGAGGUAUGUGGUCGGGCAGCCGUGAGAAAGUCGUCUCAAAUCUAUCCUAAAAGCCCCAUAUAUAUAGGAGGAGGGAGGGGGACCUUGCCUUGGGGUCCAAGGGAACCCCAAGGGGUCGGCCGAGCCAGGGGGGAGGACUCUCCCCCCCCCCNNNNNNNNNNNNNNNNNNNNNNNNNNNNNNNNNNNNNNNNNNNNNNNNNNNNNNNNNNNNNNNNNNNNNNNNNNNNNNNNNNNNNNNNNNNNNNNNNNNNNNNNNNNNNNNNNNNNNNNNNNNNNNNNNNNNNNNNNNNNNNNNNNUCCCCCUUCCCACUUCUUCCUCUCUUUUUUUUCUUCCUUUGAUUUUUCUUCCUUGGCGCAUAGGAUUUGGUGGGCUGUCCCACCAGCCCACUAAGGGCUGGUGUGACCCCCACAAAUACCUAUGGGCUUCCCCGGAGUGGGUUGCCCCCCUCCGGUGAACCCCCGGAACCCAUUCGUCAUUCCCGGUACAUUCCCGGUAACUCCGAAAACCUUCCGGUAAUCAAAUGAGGUCAUCCUAUAUAUCAACCUUCGUUUUUGGACCAUUCCGGAAACCCUCGUGACGUCCGUGAUCUCAUCCGGGACUCCGAACAACAUUCGGUAACCAACCAUAUAACUCAAAUACGCAUAAAACAACGUCGAACCUUAAGUGUGCAGACCCUGCGGGUUCGAGAACUAUGUAGACAUGACCCGAGAGACUCCUCGGUCAAUAUCCAAUAGCGGGACCUGGAUGCCCAUAUUGGAUCCUACAUAUUCUACGAAGAUCUUAUCGUUUGANNNNNNNNNNNNNNNNNNNNNNNNNNNNNNNNNNNNNNNNNNNNNNNNNNNNNNNNNNNNNNNNNNNNNNNNNNNNNNNNNNNNNNNNNNNNNNNNNNNNUAUAUAUAUAUAUAUAUAUAUAUCCGUCAAAAUAGGUGCUUUAGUUCCUUAAUUGUUACAUCUCAAUUAUUACAAACCCAUAGAGAAAAUGGCAAAAAAUUAAAAUAAUAUCGUAAAUACAUACUGAUCUGUUUUGCCAAUAAUAUAGAUACAGACGUGAUUGAUGCAAACACAUGACACCAUUCGAUCGAUACCCCUUAUUGUUGAGUUUAAGGAGACCUUUCAAUCAAGUUGAUGAUCUCCAAGUCCGUCUGUGGAAUGGAAUAGAGAUUACUUAGAGCAGAGGGUGUGGAUGAUCUCCAUCUUCCCAAGGAUCACGGAGGCCUGAUCCUGCACGACCUUCCAUCCAUGGGCAACGUGGUGUUGCUCCGUGAGGGUGCUCCCCACCGCACACCUUAGCAUGAACAUGCCACCUACGUUUGCAGAGCUCAUGUAGGGGCCUGAGGUGACGGCGUUCACCUGCUCGAGGAGGGCUCGGUUGAGGUCGUUGGCCGUCUUUUGGCCGCCAAACUUGUCCACCGGCCGAAUCCUGAAGCACACGAGCGCGAACGUCCUUUCCGUCACCACCUCGAACCUCUCGUCGGCCCUCACCAUGUCCUCGAACUCCACGGCCAUGCGCACGUGGGAGCGGAUGUGGUCGCGCAGGCCAUGGACGCCGUAGCAGCGGAGCACGAGCCACAUCUUGAGGGCGCGGAACCGGCGGGNNNNNNNNNNNNNNNNNNNNNNNNNNNNNNNNNNNNNNNNNNNNNNNNNNNNNNNNNNNNNNNNNNNNNNNNNNNNNNNNNNNNNNNNNNNNNNNNNNNNNNNNNNNNNNGUCCUUGUAGUCCACCACGUCGUGCCCCUCCGACGCGGCGUCCUUGAGGAUGUACUCCUGCUCCGUCCCGAGCGCCGCCACCAGCGCGCUCGGCUUCUUCACCCACAUGACGCAGCAGUCGUUGUUGGCCAGAAGCCACUUGUGGGCGUUCAUGCUGAACGAGUCCACGGCCUCCACGCCGUCUAUCAUGUGGGUGAACUCCGGGCACACCAGCGCGGAGCCGGCGUAUGCCGCGUCCACGUGCACCCACACUCCGUGUGGCGCGGUCACGGCGCAGAGCUCGCCGAUGGGGUCGACGGCGGUGGUCUGCGUCGUCCCGAUCGUCGCGCACAGGAACAGUGGCACCAGCCCGGCAUCAACGUCGGCCUGCAUGGCGGCCUGCAGCUCGGUCGGCGAGAGCGCGAACAUGUCCNNNNNNNNNNNNNNNNNNNNNNNNNNNNNNNNNNNNNNNNNNNNNNNNNNNNNNNNNNNNNNNNNNNNNNNNNNNNNNNNNNNNNNNNNNNNNNNNNNNNNNNNNNNNNNNAUCGCCCGGCAGUGGUCACGCUGGAUGCCGGCAAUGCGUGCGGCCUUGCGGAAGGCGAAGUGGGUCUGGUCCGAGCAGUAGACGACCAGGUCGCAGAUCCUGUUCUCGCCGAUCUCGGCCAGCUUCUUGUCCCUCGCGGCGACGAGAGCGCAGAGUAUGGCCUCGCACGAGGUGCCAAGAAUCGUGCCCCCGCCGCCUCCGGCGAAGAGGAGGCGCUCCGGCAGGUGCAGUGCCNNNNNNNNNNNNNNNNNNNNNNNNNNNNNNNNNNNNNNNNNNNNNNNNNNNNNNNNNNNNNNNNNNNNNNNNNNNNNNNNNNNNNNNNNNNNNNNNNNNNNNNNNNNNNNNNACCACCAUCUCAAGCUCAGCGGCGGCCGGCGAGGCGGCCCACGUGAAGGGGACAACGUUGAUGCCGGCGGUGAGCGCCUCACCGAGGGCGCCGAUGGUGCUGCUCGACGCCGGGAAGUGGGCAAAAUGGCGGGGGNNNNNNNNNNNNNNNNNNNNNNNNNNNNNNNNNNNNNNNNNNNNNNNNNNNNNNNNNNNNNNNNNNNNNNNNNNNNNNNNNNNNNNNNNNNNNNNNNNNNNNNNNNNNNNGCCGGGGAGGAUGAUGUCGCGGACGUCCUUGAGCGCGGAGCCAAACGCGUCGGGCUCCGGACGGCACGGGGCCUCCGCGGGGAGCAGGUUGCGGAGAAAGCCGGGGGUGACGCUAGGGUGCACGGGGUAGUCACCCAUGCCGCCAUAGUAAUCGGAUAUGAAGUCGAUCACCUGGUGACCCUGGCGCCGGAACUCAUCGGCGUCAAGCAGGUUGGAGCAUUGCAUCUUCUUCUCCGGCGCUUGCCCCACCACCGGGACAGCGCCGCCCUUCCCGACGGUUGCAACGGUGGCAGCCUCCAAGCAUUGCACCGUCGGGGCCAUUUGUGGAAUGCACUCGAGGUUUUGGAUGGCCCAACCCGCUGUGCAACGCGUAGGUCGGGAAAUGUGGAUUGGUGNNNNNNNNNNNNNNNNNNNNNNNNNNNNNNNNNNNNNNNNNNNNNNNNNNNNNNNNNNNNNNNNNNNNNNNNNNNNNNNNNNNNNNNNNNNNNNNNNNNNUUGUUCAUCUUUCUUCUUCUUGUAACCCUAACCUAAUUCUAAAUAUUACUAACCCUAAUAAUCUAGCGCAAACCUAAUAACAAUAGGAAUUAAAUGACAAAAAAAUCUUUUCUUCUCCUUUUUCUUCUUUUCUUCUCCCUUUUCUUCUUUUCUUCUCCUUUUUCUUCUUUUCUUCUCCUCCUCACCGGCACGACGGCGGCGGUGGCGUCCCCGCCGGCGGGCGCCGGAGGCUCGUCCUUCGGGUUCGGCAUGGGGAGGAGGGGGCGGGGGGUUACUGGCCGGAGUGGGAGGGGAGGGCGUCGACGACGGAGAGAGCGAGGCGAAGGAGGACGGCAGGGCGAUGGCGAGGAGGACGGCAGGCGGCGGCGAGGAGGACGGCGGGCAGCCUGGCGGCGUCGAGUUCGUCCGGUGCCGCUGUUGGGGAACGUCGCAUGGGAAACAAAAAGUUUCCUACGCGCACGAAGACCUAUCAUGGUGAUGUUCAUCUACGAGAGGGGAUUUCCGAUCUACGUACCCUUGUAGAUCGCACAGCAGAAGCGUUAGUGAACGCGGUUGAUGUAGUGGAACGUCCUCACGUCCCUCGAUCCGCCCCGCGAACCGUCCCACGAACCGUCCCGCGAUCCAUCCCACGAUCUAGUGCCGAACGGACGGAACCUCCGCGUUCAGCACACGUACAGCUCGACGAUGAUCUCGGCCUUCUCCGGCAGCGUGACGGCGCUCCGGAGGUUGGUGAUGAUCUUAUCUCGGCAGGGCUCCGCCCGAGCUCCGCAGAGACGCGAUCUAGAGGUAAAACCGUGGAGGUAUGUGGUCGGGCAACCUUGAAAAAGUUGUCUCAAAUCAGCCCUAAUUACUCCAUAUAUAUAGGAGGAGGGAGGGGAGGCUUGCCUUGAGGCUCAAGGAGCCCCAAGGGCUGCGCCACCAAGGGGAGGAGGAGUCCUCCUCCAAUCCUAGUCCAACUAGGAUUGCAAGGUGGAGUCCUUCUCUCUUUUCCCACCUUUCCUUUUUUUUUUCUUUCUCCUCUUUUGGUUUUUCUUUCUCUUGCGUAAGACAGCCUUGGGCUGACCCCACCUACUUGAUGCGCCACCCCCAAGGUCCUUGGGCCCUCCCGGGUGGGUGGUCCCCCCUCCCGGUGAAGAUCUGGAACCCAUUCGUCAUUCCCGGUAAUGCCCGAAAACCUUCCGGUAACCAAAUGAAGUCAUCCUAUAUAUCAAUCUUCGUUUCCGGACCAUUUCGGAAACCCUCGUGACGUCCGUGAUCUCAUCCGGGACUCCGAACAACAUUCGGUAACCAACCAUAUAACUCAAAUAUGCAUAAAACAACGUCGAACCUUAAGUGUGCAGACCCUGCGGGUUCGAGAACUAUGUAGACAUGACCCGAGUGACUCCUCGGUCAAUAUCNNNNNNNNNNNNNNNNNNNNNNNNNNNNNNNNNNNNNNNNNNNNNNNNNNNNNNNNNNNNNNNNNNNNNNNNNNNNNNNNNNNNNNNNNNNNNNNNNNNNNNNNNNNNNNNNNNNNNNNNNNNNNNNNNNNNNNNNNNNNNNNNNNNNNNNNNNNNNNNNNNNNNNNNNNNNNNNNNNNNNNNNNNNNNNNNNNNNNNNNNNNNNNNNNNNNNNNNNNNNNNNNNNNNNNNNNNNNNNNNNNNNNNNNNNNNNNNNNNNNNNNNNNNNNNNNNNNNNNNNNNNNNNNNNNNNNNNNNNNNNNNNNNNNNNNNNNNNNNNNNNNNNNNNNNNNNNNNNNNNNNNNNNNNNNNNNNNNNNNNNNNNNNNNNNNNNNNNNNNNNNNNNNNNNNNNNNNNNNNNNNNNNNNNNNNNNNNNNNNNNNNCCGCAACUUACACUAAGUCACAUUGCUUGCAAGGCUUGUGUGUGAUGUUGUAUUACCGAGUGGGCCCCGAGAUACCUCUCCGUCACACGGAGUGACAAAUCCCAGUCUCGAUCCAUACUAACUUAACGAACACCUUCGGAGAUACGUGUAGAGCAUCUUUAUAGUCACCCAGUUACGUUGUGACGUUUGAUACACACAAAGCAUUCCUCCGGUGUCAGUGAGUUAUAUGAUCUCAGGGUCAUAGGAACAAAUACUUGACACGCAGAAAACAGUAGCAACAAAAUGACACGAUCAACAUGCUACGUCUAUUAGUUUGGGUCUAGUCCAUCACAUGAUUCUCCUAAUGAUGUGAUCCCGUUAUCAAGUGACAACACUUGCCUAUAGUGAGGAAACCUUGACCAUCUUUGAUCAACGAGCUAGUCAACUAGAGGCUUACUAGGCACAGUGUUUUGUCUAUGUAUCCACACAUACAGUGUGUUUCCAAUCAAUACAAUUAUAGCAUGGAUAAUAAACGAUUAUCAUGAACAAAGACAUAUAAUAAUAACUAAUUUAUUAUUGGCUCUAGGGCAUAUUUCCAACAGCCGCGCCGGCAGGAGAGGCGAGCGAGAGGAAGAAGAGAACGAAAUGGCGUUUGGAUUUUGGAUUUUUCGUCGGGGCCGUAUAUAUAGAAGGAUCUUUAGUCCCGGUUCGGGGCUCGAACCGAGACUAAAGACACCCUUUANNNNNNNNNNNNNNNNNNNNNNNNNNNNNNNNNNNNNNNNNNNNNNNNNNNNNNNNNNNNNNNNNNNNNNNNNNNNNNNNNNNNNNNNNNNNNNNNNNNNGGAUCCUCGACCGUGAGUGUCUUUAGGUCGAGACAUUGCUCGAUCGACGUGACGAUCUGGAUGUAGCGCGCCGGCGCGGCGCGCAAAAAUCGUCGAACGAUCGCAACUUCUUCUAGAGUUGAACCAUAGCCGCGUAUGCCGUUGACGAGGGUCUUGAGACGAGAGGCAAACUGAUCAACCGUCUCGCUUUCCUCCAUCUUCAGGAACUCGUAGCUUCUCAUGAGGGACUGAAGGUGUGCUUCCUUGACACGGUCAUGACCCUGGUGCAGGAUCUUGAUGGUCUCCCAUGCCUCCUUCGCCGUUUUCUUUCCGACGAGGUGUUGCAGCACAUCCUUCGGCAUGGCGGAGUAGAUCGCCGUUAACGCCUGACGAUCCGUCCGGUACUUUGCCGCGCCCUUCGCGUACUCGGCGCCGCCGGGAUCGACAGCUUCCCAGAAUUCCGCUCCCUCCAUUGCGACCUCCAUGUUCAUCGCCCAUAGUGCGUAGUCCUCUCGAUCCAGCCGGGGGAAUUGCGACCCCCCAACCAUCGGCAUCGGUGCUCUAGCUCCCGCCACAACGAUCUCCUUGCCCGGGUUUGACAUGAUCCUUCGAUUGCUUUCCGAAGAUCACGUCAAUAAACCAAGCUCUGAUACCAAUUGUUGGCCCAAACCAGACGCCGAGUACUUUCCGGCGACGGUAACCAGGGACGAUGACGAAAACAAAUAAAGCUCGUUGACGAACCCGACGAAGUUCCUUUGCGUCGAGCUGUAACCGCUAGCCGGACUAUCGGUUCCUGGAGGAGACGUGCACGUACGCGUAACCUAAGCAGGCAGGUUAGCAGGUGGAUGGUUUCUCAUGCACACGUACGUAGCAACCUGGCUGCUGCCUUGAUCGAUCGGAACUAGCGUCGCCGAGACACACACGCGAGAACACGAGGAUAUGAUGGCUACGGGAGCGUGUCGCUCCCGACUAUUUCUGUGUAUUGCUUUGAUCUGAUCCAAUAUUACACGGGUACUUGUACGUAUAUAUAGUAGCUAACCAAGACAACUACUAAUCCUAUACCUACACGGUGACGGUUCCAAGUCCAAGCCGGACUAGGACUCGUGGUUAAUUCCAACAUCUCCUACCAAUUGCUAAAGGUAAAAAUGCCGGUGCAUCGAGGGCCUGGCGGUGCAAACAUUGCGAUAAGAAGUUCACUAGCAGCUAUACACGAAUUCGCCAGCACUUCUUUGGUGCUGGCCCCGCCAAAAAAGCCUAGAUCUCACGCUGCACUCUCAUAUCUACCGAUCGUGAGAAGUACAAAAAGUUAUAUGAAAAGGUAUGUGUAUAUAAUUAGAUGUUUAACUUCAUAAAACAACACACAUGUGUAUCUCUGUUUCUUUUCUAAGUUGAUUUUCAACAGGAUGAACUAGCUCAGAAAAGACAAUUUUCAAACUCAAUGCCUACUAAGAACCGUACUCCAUUAGUAGAUGCUUUUGCUGGGAUGGAAAGAGACAGCGUCGACAUGCAUAUUAUGAUGUUCCUUUGUGCUAAUGGAAUUCCCUUCAAUGUGUUGAGAAGUCCUCAAUAUGUUGAAAUGGUAGCAUCCAUCCAAAAAGCGCCGAAGGCAUACAAAACUCCUUCGUAUGAGAAGGCCAGAACUACCCUACUAGAUGCAUGUAAGAGAAAGGUGGAGGCUGACUUAGCACCAGUCAGAAAAACAUGGUACGACUUCAACAUUUAACAGUUCCAGUCAUCUGCUGUGUCAAAUAUGUUACAUACCUUUAACACUUCGCUUAUUUCGUUUACUUAGGUACUCUAAUGGUGUCUCCGUUGUUUCCGACGGCUGGACAAAUGUUAAGGGCAAACCUUUAAUCAAUGUCAUAGCCUCAAAUAGCCGUGGUUCGAUGUUUAUGUAUGCACAAGAUUUCUCUGGAAUAGAAAAAACAGGUCCAGCCAUUGCAAAAAUUUUGUUGCAAGCCGUCGAUGAAAUUGGUCCAGCAAACGUGCUCCAAGUUGUAACAGAUAAUGCGUCUAACUGCAGACUUGCAGGCAAAGAAAUUACGGAUGUAAGUGCCUGGUAGUUUAGUUUUACUUAUUACUUUUUUGCAACCGACUUCUAAUUUUUCUUGCACUCCCUAAGUGUGAUUGUGUUUCCUUUUUCUAUAUUCACAGGUGCAUAAACAUAUAUUUUGGUCCCCCUGCGUGGUUCACACAUUAAAUCUCAUUUUCAAAGAUCUUGCUGAUACAUACCCCUGGAUGGUCGAGACAUACAAAGAAGGAAAAGAAAUUGGGAGUUACUUCCGGGACCAUCAACAUUGCCAAGCUCUAUUUAGAGAUAACUCCCAGCUGGAGCUUCUCAGGGUUGCGAAAACAAGGUUUGCAUCAAAUUACAUUGUGCUAAGAAGGCUUAGCGAUGUUCGAGAGGCACUUGCUACUACUGUCGUUACAACCAGGUGGAAGGACCUACUGAAGGCAUGUGACACACAAGGAAGAGCAAAAGCAACAGCGAUCGCUCAAAGUAUAAAUAGUGAGAGGUUUUGGGAAAAUGUUGAUGCCUUCCUUGCUAUGACGAAGCCACUGUUCAUGGCUAUAAAGUUCAGCGAUGGAGAAGGUCCAAAAAUUGGUGAUGUAUAUGAGAGAAUGGAUAAUAUGCUUGGCGAGAUUCAGGAUGUGGUGACAAAGGAAGAUAACCCACGGAAAGAAGAUUGGCCCAAGAUAAGUGAAAUUGUUAUUGAACGAUGGGGAAAAAUGAACUGGACUCUUCACUAUUUAGCUUUUGCUCUUUCUCCAAAAUAUUAUGAUCAUUCAUAUCUUACAACCCCUGCUCCUGGGGGCAUCACUAGGAAACCUCCUAACAAGGAUAAAGAGGUCAUGGUUGCUGUUAUAGAUGCUCUUAAGAGAAUUGCAGAAGAUGGAGCAGAGCAUAAACUCCUGCGUGAGGAAUUUAACACCUUCAUCAUGAAGAAGGGUAUAUUCUCUCUAGCAGCUGUUCAAGCUGAUGCAGUUACAAUGAGUGCAAUAGAUUGGUGGUUUAAUUAUGGAUCAGAAACACCACACUUAGCUGAGGUUGCAAAAAAGGUUCUCUCCCAGCCAAUUAGUAGCUCCUCUGCUGAGAGGAAUUGGAGUACAUAUAUACUGGUACGUAUAUAAUGUCAAGAGAAACCGGAUGAACAUAAAAACUGCAGAUAAGCUCGUUUAUAUCCACUCAAACGAGCGCCUCAUGAGAAGGUUUUCAGAGUCGUAUAAAGAAGGUCCGCACUAUAAGUGGGACAUUGAUCCGGAAAAUAGUUUGCUGGAGGAGUCUAACUUGAGGCUUGAGAAGAUACGUUGGAAUGGUUUAGAGGGAAAUAAUGAUAAUCCAACAUUUGAUGAUGCACCUGAACCACAAAGAAAAAUCCAGAAAACAAGGAAGUGAAUGGUACACUGCUUUGAACUUUAGAUAAAAUUGAAGCAUUUGUUUGUAUUUUACUAUAGUAGUUACUUAUUAUGGUUCUUUUUUGCUUGAAGGUACUGGACUAUACGGGUGACAUGGUGAUGGAGAUGGAAAUGAGCAUGACAUGGUGAUACCUGGAAAUCAAGAUAUGCGUGCAUUUAUAUUCAAGUAUUUUUGUAACAAACUGAAGUAUUUUGCUUAGUACUCCCAUCAAAACUUUAAUAAGUACCCAACAUAUAUAUUGGCUUCGUUGGUAUGGUUGAUGUAAGCUCGCUAAGGUCAUGAUCCUGAUAUUGUUGCUGGGUCAGCGACCCAAAUUGAUGAGGAACACGUUUCUCGAUCCAUGGUAUCGUUCUGGGGUAAUCGAUCCAAAUCAUCGCGAGUCGCGUUUCUCGACCCACCACGUCAUUCCGGGGUCAUCGGCCCAAAUUGGUGAGGGUCGCGUUCCUCGACCCGCCUUGUCCUUUCGGGGUCAUCGUUCCUAAGUUAAUUGGGUCACGUUUUACCUAUCGACCGGUUCGCUCGAAAGAUGUAUACCCCCAUCGUUCCCUAUUAUGGCCACAUGGCGAUCCUCGACCCUUGUUCUCGUCGUUCCGGGAACUUGGCCACCGUGGCCACCCCCCCCCCCCCCCCCNNNNNNNNNNNNNNNNNNNNNNNNNNNNNNNNNNNNNNNNNNNNNNNNNNNNNNNNNNNNNNNNNNNNNNNNNNNNNNNNNNNNNNNNNNNNNNNNNNNNNNNNNNNNNNNNNNNNNNNNNNNNNNNNNNNNNNNNNNNNNNNNNNNNNNNNNNNNNNNNNNNNNNNNNNNNNNNNNNNNNNNNNNNNNNNNNNNNNNNNNNNNNNNNNNNNNNNNNNNNNNNNNNNNNNNNNNNNNNNNNNNNNNNNNNNNNNNNNNNNNNNNNNNNNNNNNNNNNNNNNNNNNNNNNNNNCCCCCCCCCCGCCGCUGUAGGCUUCGGCGGUGCUCACGAGGUUGUUCUCGUAGGCGAUCUUCCCGUCGUCGUGAUCCUUGCUCAUGUUGCCCCUGUUGUACGCCUAUGCUACCACCGCGCGUGCGUGGGCAUGAGGUGCCGCCGCCUGCUCAUGGGCGUGGCUUGCCGUAGCGGUGGUGGUGGUGCCCAUGGGCAGGAUGUAGCUCGACGGCGCCGUUAUUGUACACGACGGAGUUGGAGCCUGUGCUGUGUUCAAGCGAGGCGCCCGCCGUCGCGUUGUCAAUGCUGCCGUGGGCGCCGUGCUGCUGCUGCAUCGACUGGGCAUGCUGCGAGAGGAAGUNNNNNNNNNNNNNNNNNNNNNNNNNNNNNNNNNNNNNNNNNNNNNNNNNNNNNNNNNNNNNNNNNNNNNNNNNNNNNNNNNNNNNNNNNNNNNNNNNNNNNNNNNNNNNNNNNNNNNNNNNNNNNNNNNNNNNNNNNNNNNNNNNNNNNNNNNNNNNNNNNNNNNNNNNNNNNNNNNNNNNNNNNNNNNNNNNNNNNNNNNNNNNNNNNNNNNNNNNNNNNNNNNNNNNNNNNNNNNNNNNNNNNNNNNNNNNNNNNNNNNNNNNNNNNNNNNNNNNNNNNNNNNNNNNNNNNNNNNNNNNNNNNNNNNNNNNNNNNNNNNNNNNNNAGCGCCAGCGCCAGCUCCGAGGUUGAGGUGGUGGAGCUCCUGCAGGCUGUGCGCGGCCGCGAUCACCGCCUGGUCCGGCUCCUGCUUGCACCACCCGCGUAGCGGCUGUGCAUGGGCGUAUGGGUGGUACGUGUGUCCACCACCGACGCUGGAUACCUGUUGCUGGGGAAGGGCCUGGAAUGCGAUGGUCGGCCAUGCAGUGGCGCCGACAACGGAGGGAUGGUGGUGGUGGUAUGCCACGCCAUACGCGGCCAGGGCACCGAUAUUGUAGCCGCUCACCACGCAGGUGUGAUGAUGCUGCUGCUGCGCGAGGACGACGUCGUGGCCGCCUCGGCGUCCUUGAGGCGCUUGGCGGCGCUGCCGAUGGGUAGCGCGGUGCUGUCAAGGAUACUCUUGACGUCGUAGCGCGUCAUGUCGAAGUUGGUGAUGGCGUUGAGCCCCCGGAACUUGAUUGCCGCGACGUCGUACGCCUCCGCAGCCUCCUCCUGUGUGCCUACAUUACACACAGACUAUAGUUAGUAGAGUACAACAUUACACACAGACUAUAGUUAGUAGAGUACCAACGCAAUCUACUGGUCGAUGCCAUGCAUGUAGAUGUAUGCAUGUGAGCUGUGGCAAGCUAGCUUAAUUACUUUAAUUAAUCAGGUGAGAAUCAUUAUAUAUUCAAAUGUCACAAAAUUAGAAAAAUUCUUUGUAUAACAAGACGCCCGUCAGACCGGCUGGUUUCCGAACAAGUACGCGUGGGACUCCAUCGCGUCAUACUCCGAAAAACAAUAAGAUUAUAAACUAUAACCGAUGUUUAUCGGAACCGGGUAUAAGAAACUGACACACGGAGCAAGUUUUACGAUAUUUUUAGCCCGUUGCAACGCACGGGCAUUUGUACUAGUAUUAAUAAAGCACCUAUUGCUUCUGUGGUACGUCAUAGAAAUUGCCCCUGAAGUUUGCAUAAAUUACCCACCAUGCCACCGGUAAGUAAUACAAAACGUUUCAUAAAGCGAAAAAUCGCGGACUGGGUCGGCCCAUGGAAAAACCUCCGAUAUUACGCUCUGCACCCUGGGAGAAUAUCCAACACACCAUAUGGGCCGGCCCAUGCACAGGCACCAGUUUUUUAGUUCCGUUUAUUUAUUUAUCUUCAGUUCCAUUUUAUUUUCUAUUUUAAAUAAUUUAGAACUUCAAAUAACCUUUAAACUUUUAAUAAACUUAAAAUUUUAAAUCAACAUAUUUAAAAAAUAAAAUGUUUGUGACUUCAAAAACUGCUCGGAGUUUUUGUAAAAAAUGCUUGCAUAUACAAUAAAAUGUUUGCAAGUUUGAAGAAAUGUUUAUAAAAUAAGAAAAGUCCAUAAUUUCAAAUCAAACUCCAUGUUUUAAAAAUUAUUAAAAGCAUUUAACAAAAUGCUUUCUAAUUCAAAAUAUGUUAAUGCAUUUAAAAAAUGUCCUAAAAUUUUAAAAAUAGCUAAUGCCUGUUUUGAUAGUUUCUUUUUUGUUUAAAUUUUUCCAUUCCAUUUUUGUUUACUUCUAAUUUAAAUAAUUUAGAAUUACAAAAGCAUUUGCAUAUUUAAAAAUAGGAAUUCUGAAUUAAAAUGUUGACGAAAACAUAAAAUGUUUGUGGAUUCAAAAAAGGCAUCGUAUUUUUAUAAUUGUUUUUGCAAAUUCUAAAACAAUGUCCGUGAAUUCAAUAAAUAUAUUACUGACUUAUAAAAAUGUUUGUUUAUUCAGAAAAACUUCAUGCAUUUCACAAAUGUUAGUGAAUUUAAAGUAAAAUCAUUCAACAUCAAAAAUUAUGUUCAUCUUUUCUAGAAUUGGUCGCCAAUUCAAAAGAAAAUAUUUAAACCCGUUUCAAAUAUAAAAAAUAUUCACAAUUUUUAGUAAAUGUUUGUAAAUUUUAAAAAAUGUUCUCGAUUUUAAAAUUGUUCUCAUAUUUGUAAAAUUGUUCAUGAAAUAUCUAAUAUAUGUAGUUAAACAUUAAUGCUUCUAAGUCUAUGAAAAUAUACCCGUGUGAUUUUUGAAAAAUUAACUGUUGCAUGGAUCGGAUUAUUAUUGUAUGUUUUCUAAACAAACUCUUGAAAUUAAGAAUAAUUCUUUGAGUUACCAAGAUUUUUGAUAACCAUGAUAUUUUUUUAAAAUGUAAAGAUUGCUUCAACUUGUGAAUAAAUUUAAAAGAAGAAACAUUUUCUUCCUUUUGUGCAAAAAAAUUCAAAAUCAAGCGAUGAUGUGCGAACAUAAUGUGGUCAUCAUCAUUGAAGAUUAUAUUUUUUUUUCUCCCGCCGCAACACACGGGCCAUUUUGCUAGUCUUUAUCUUUACCUAUUAAUAAAGCACAUAUUGCUUCUGUGAUACGUCAUGGAAAUUGCCCCUGAAGUUUGCAUAAAUUACCUACCAUGCCACCGGUAAGUAAUAGAAAAAGUUUCACAAAACGAAAAUCUCGGACUGGGCCGGCCCAUGUGCAUCCUGGGAGAAUAUUCAGCAUACCGUAUGGGCCGGCCCAUGCAUAGGCAACAGUUUUUUUAGUUCCUUUUAUUUAUUUCUCUUCAGUUCCAUUUUAUUUUGUAUUUUAAAUAAUUUAGAACUUCAAAUAACAUGUAAACUUUUAAUAAACUGAAACUUUUAAGUCAACAUAUUAAAAAAUAAAAUGUUGUUGACUUCAAAAACUCCUUGGAGUUUUUGUAUAAAAAUGCUCACAUAUACAAUAAAAUAUUUGCAAGUUUGAAAAAAUGUUUGUAAAAUAAGAAAAGACCAUGAUUUCAAAUCAAACUUCAUGUAUUAAAAAUUAUUAAAAGCAUUUAACAAAAUGCUUUCUAAUUCAAAAUAUGUUAAUGCAUUUAAAAAAUGUCCUAAAUUUUAAAAAUAGCUAAUGCCUGUUUUGAUUGUUUCUUUUUUUAUUGAAAUUUUUCCGUUCCAUUUUUGUUUACUUCUAAUUUAAAUAAUUUACAAUUACAAAAGCAUUUACAUAUUAAGAAAUAGGAAUUUUGAAUUAAAAUGUUGACGAGAACAUAAAAUGUUUGUGGAUUAAAAAAGGCGCCGGAUUUAUAUAAUUUUUUUCGCAAAUUCCAAAACAAUAUCCGUGAAUUUAAUAAAUAUAUUACUGUGUUAUAAAAAUGUUUGUUUAUUCAGAAAAACUUCAUGCGUUUCAAAAUGUUUGUGAAUUUAAAGUAAAGUCCUCCAACAUAAAAAAUUAUGUUCGUUUUUUCUAGAAUUGGUCGCCAAUUCAAAAGAAAAUAUUUAAACCCAUUUGAAAUAUAAAAAAUAUUAAAGAUUUUUAGUAAAUGUUUGUAAAUUGUAAAAAAUGUUGUCGAUUUUAAAAUUAUUCUCAUAUUUGUAAAAUUGUUCAUGAAAGAUCUAAUGUAUAUAGUUAAACAUUAAUGCUUCUAAGUCUUUAUGAAAAUAUACUCGUGAGAUUUUUGAAGAAUUAACUGUUGGAUGGAUCGGAUUAUUAUCGUACGUUUUCUAAAAAAAAUCUUGAAAUUAAGAAUAAUUCUUUGAGGUACCAAGAUUUUUGACAACCAUGAUUGUUUUUUGAAAAUUUAAAGAUUGCUUCAACUUGUGAAUAAAUUUAAAAGAAGAAACAUUUUCUUGAAUUUGUGCGCAAAAAUUCAAAAUCAAGCGAUGAUGUGUGAAUAUAAUGUGGUCAUCAUCAUUGAAGAUUAUGUUUUUUUUUUGCAACGCAUGGGCCAUUUUGCUAGUUAAAACAUAAAAAACACAAUCAUGAUGGUGUGGACUCAACAAAGCAGAAAGUGAAAAACAAAAAUAAAUUUAUUCAUUGGGUUGACUCCCAACAAGCGCUAUUGUUUAACGCCCCUAGCUAGGUUUAACGAUUUCAAUGAUGCUCACAUAAAAGUAGUAGUUGAGAUAUGCAAAAGAGCAUCAUGAAUGGCAAAAAACACGUUUAAGUCUAACCCACUUUCUAUGUAUAGGGAUUUUGUGAGCAAACAAUUUAUGGAAACAAGAAUUAACUAGCAAAGGAAGGUAAAACAAGCAUAACUUCAAAACGUUGAACACAUAGAGAGGAAGCUUGAUAUUAUUGCAAUAUGUAAAAGCAUAUGUUCCUCUCAUAGUAAUUUUCAGUGACAUCAUGAAGGAAUCUUACAAUAUAACUAUCACACAAAGCAUUCUUUUCAUGAUCAAUUAUAGCAUAAGGGUCAUCACCAAAACUUGGGAAACAAAAAAUAUCAUCUUCAUCAAGCAUAGCAUCCCUAAGCUUGUGGUUUUGCAUAUCAUUAGCAUCAUAGAUAUUCAGAGAAUUCAUACUAACAACAUGGCAAUCAUGUUUUUCAUUCAAGCAGAUAUCAUGAACCACUUUAUAAUUUUCUUCUUUCAACACUUCAUCAAAAUUUUCAGAUUCAUGAUUUUCAAACAAAACUCCAUAGAGAUAGUCAAGUGCACUCAACUCACAAGCAAAUUGUUCAUCAUAAUUUUGUCUUUUGAAAAGAUUAGCAAGUGGAUGAGGAUCCAUAUCAAUGGAUUUUUAGCAAGCGAAGAUGCAAGCAAAUAGAAGGCACAUGGCAACACAAGCAAAUAGCAAGCAAGCAAAAGAAAGGGCGAACGAAAAAGGCAAAUAAGGAAAGGCAAAUAUUUUUGUAAAUUUUGUUUUUUAGAAGUGGGGGAGAGGAAAACGAGAGGCAAAUGGCAAAUAAUGUAAAUGCAAGAGAUGAGUUUGCGGUAGGUACUUGGUAGAUAUGCUUCACUUGAAUACUCCCUGGCAACGGCGCCAGAAAUUCUUCUUGCUACUUCUUGAGCUUGCGUUGGUUUUUUCCUUGAAGAGGAAAGGGUGAUGCAGCAAAGUAGAGAUAAGUAUUUCCCUCGGUUUGAGAACCAAGGUAUCAAUCCAGUAGGAGUAUCAAGAUUAGCCACGAAUGAACCUGCGCAAAGACAAACAAACUUGCACCCAACGCGAUAAAGGGGUUGUCAAUCCCUUCACGAUUACUUGCAAGGUGAGAUCUAAUAGUGAUGAAAGGUAAAUAAGUAAAAGUGCAACAAUGUAUUUUUGGUGUUUUUGUAUGUAGAUCUGAAUAUAUGAUGUGUAAAAUAGACCUGGGGGCCAUAGUGUUCACUAGAGGCUUCUCUCAUGAUAGCAAGUAAUACGGUGGGUGAACGAAUUACUAUCGAGCAAUUGAUAGAAUCACGCAAAGUCAUGACGAUAUCUAAGGCAAUGAUCAUACAUAUAUGCAUCACGUCCGAGACAAGUAGACCGGUACUUUCUGCAUCUACUACUAUUACUCCACACAUCAACCGCUAUCCGGCAUGCAUCUAGUGUAUUAAGUUCAUAACAAACAGAGUAAUGCCUUAAGCAAGAUGACAUGAUGUAGAGGGAUAAAUUCAUGCAAUAUGAUAUAAACCCCAUCUUUUUACCCUUGAUGGCAACAACAUGAUGUGUGCCUCGCUACCCCUUCUGUCACUAGGUGAGGACACCGCACGGUAUGAACCCAAAACCAAGCACUUCUCCCAUUGCAAGAAUUAUAGAUGAGGUUGGCCAAACGAAACCCAUAACUCGAAGAGAAUUAUAAGGAUACGAAAUCAUGCAUAUAAGAAAUCAGAGGAGACUCAAAUAAUAUUCAUAGAUAACCUGAUCAUAAAUCCACAAUUCAUCGGAUCUCGACAAACACACCGUAAAAGAAAGUUAUAUCAAAUAGAUCUCCAUGAAGAUCAUGGAGAACUUUGUAUUGAAGAUCCAAGAGAGAGAAUAUGCCAUCUAGCUACUAGCUAUGGACCCGAAGGUCUGUGGUGAACUACUCACGCUUCAUCGGAGAGGCACUGGUGUUGAUGAAGAAGCCCUCCGUGUCCGGAUCCCCCUCCGGCAGGGUACCAGAACGGUCCCCAGAUGGGAUCUCGCGGAGACAGAAGCUUGCGGCGGUGAAAAAGUAUUCUCGUGGCUCUCCCUGGAGGUUUCGGGAAUUUUGGGAAUUUAUAGGCGAAAGAGGUAGGGCAGAGGAGGCAAGGGGGGCCCACGAGCCUGCUAGGCGCGUCCCCCUAGGGCGUGCGUAGGGGGCUCGUGACCUCCCACGAGACCUCCUGCCUUGGUUCUCAAGUCUUCUAGGUAUCUUCUGUUAUGGAGAAAAUCAUCCCACAAGUUUUAUUCCAUUUGGACUCCGUUUAAUAUUCUUUUCUGAAAAAGGUCAAAAACACGGAAAAAACAGAAACUGGCACUAGGCACUGAGUUAAUAGGUUAGUCCCAAAAAUGAUAUAAAAUGGCAUAUAAAUGCAUAUAAGACAUCCCAAGUUGGUAAUAUAAUAGCAUGGAACAAUAAAAAAUUAUAGAUACGUUGGAGAUGUAUCAGCAUUUUGUUUCCUUUUAUUUGGCAUGUGUCAAUGGAUAUCUCAUUCCUUGAGGUAUCUUUUCAUUGAUAUCCUUCAAGUGAUAGUUUUUCGUUUGGUAUCUUAUUAUCACCUGAUACCUUGUCUUUUGGUGUAUUAUCAACUUUGUGUUGAGUUGAUUCUCGAAAGCCUUGAGCAUGCAUAUUUACUAUAUAUAUAGCUUCUCUUGCUUGCUUGAUUUCUUUGACCCAAUAUAUAGGGAAAACUCCACCUUGUCAUAAAUUGGCUGAAGUGUGCAUGAAAUUAAAAUUCAUAUCUAUGUGCACAUAUGUAUGUGGAGUUUUUCCUAUGUAUUGUUGGUUUUCUAACUCUUUGGUCCCUAUGAGCUUGGGCACCAUUUUGUUUGUUUUGUUGUUCCCGGAUCAAUUGGAGAUGCAUUGGAUGCUCGGCUCACCUAUAAGGAAGGUGUUGAGACCAUGUGAUUAUUGGAGCCAAGUUAGGAUGAUCAACGAACAACUAUCUACUACAUCAAUCCAAUGCUGUCUCAGUAAAAAGUAUCUACUUCAUGCAUUCAUUUCUUGCAAAGGCCCAAACCUGUCUUUUCUUUUCCAGGUUGCAUCAUGGCAUGAAUCUCUUGAUUCGUUCUUGUAGUACUUGUUUCCUUUCUCAAAGAAUCCGAACGAUGAUGUCUUAUUGCUAGUUGGGAUGUCUUUGAUGUUCGCAUGUUGGAAGUUCAUAUUGUACAAUAAGAAAAUAUUAGGCCAUGUGCUAUGCUUCCAAGCAAAGAUCUUAUUGAUAUAUUUAUGACUUACUUUUGGAUAUAUUAUUUGUUCCUUCUUGUAACCAUUUCGUGUGUACAUCCUUCUUUGUGGAUAUAUAUCAUCAUGAUUGUCUUCUACAUAGAAUUUUUUACACAUGAGAGAAGUUACAUAUCUAAUUGAUAUCCUCUUUUCUUUCACGUCCACUGUUGCAUUUCCUUUUUUCAGUUUUUGGUGGCUUCGUGAAAGGAUUUGUCUUGAGUGCGUAUCUUAUUUUCCUACAUCUUGAAGCACUCUUUGGCCGUGAAGAUAAUUUUUCCUCAUGCUUUGUCUUGAUGAGGGUUUUUCCAUUUCGAUUGGUAUCUCUCCUCUUGACAAGGUACUUAUUUCCUAUCUUCACCAUGGGUUUUCACAAGCGUUGGUUCUUAUUUUCUUUAUUAGUAAGCUUGUGAACCCAUUGUCUAGUAUGUGUGUGUGGGAAUGAUAUGUCUUGCACUUUGUGUCUCAUUUCAUCAAGAUUAUGUUGAUGAGUAAUUCUCAUCCUUAUAUUAGUCUUAUCAAGUGCUUUGCCAUGACUCACACACAUUAUUUUGGUUGAGCCUAUUCUUAAGUUGCUUCUUUUACAUGUUGCUCAACCAUUUGUUGUGUGCAAGUGAUAUGCUUAUUGUCUCAUCUAUCUUCUUGCACUCGUUGUGUGUUUUUAUUAAUUUUGGGGGAGCAACGAUCCUAUUUUGUGCACUUGUAUCAAAUACAAAAACCUCUUAUUAGUGCACAAAUCAUGGGAGCUUCUCUAGUUUUGAUAAAACACUCUAUCUGCCUUUAUCAUAAUAUCUUUUAUUCAUGUGGUUCGAAGGACCAUAUGAUUGUUUGUUCCAUCUGGUAUCUUUUGAUUGAUUGCCACUAUUUUUGUAUGUCUUUGUGGCAUACAAUCCUUUUAUUUGCAAUCUUUGGGUCCUCAACAUAGUUUGUUUUUGUCCAACUACUUCUCAUUGUAUUUGUGUAUUUCUUUGCACUCAUUUGCUGAGAAGUACACACUUUUUGGAGGACCACCUACUAUAUUGGCUUUCUAAACUUUUCGUCCAUUUUGGCAAUCGAUGCCAAUGGGGGAGAAGUUUAGAGAGUUUACUUUGGAUAUGUUUAGAGGGUUUUGCUUUUAUUGCGUAAGCAUUUACAUUUUGCACUCAAGCAUUAGCUUUGUAUGUGUGCACUUGGUUAUGCUUAUUUCCUUAUAUAAACUCUCUUGAAGUGGUUGUCAUCAAUUACCAAAAUGGGGGAGAUUGUUAGAGCAUAUAUCUCCAUAUGUGGUUUUGGUAAUUUAUGACAAUUCCUAUGGACUAAUGGUUGCCUUAAGUUAUAUUUAUAGGAUUUGUCCAUAUGCACUUCUUGAAGUCCAUCUGUUGGGUUCAAGGAGUUUAUAUGAUGACCAAGAUGGUAUUCAAGGUAUUAUCCAAAGAAUGGUCAUAGAGACACAAGGUUGAUCAAGAUCUCAGACAAAGAGUAAAUCAAGAUGAUCAACACACAAAGCGUACAAGAUGUACCGAAAGGGAUCAAGUGAUCCCAUGGUAUGGUAAGCAUUGUCCAUUACGUGUUUCUGUACUAACCCAUGGUCUUCAUGAGAGUUCUAUGUGGGGUUAGGUGUGUCUCCAUGGGCUUGCGUCUAGAGGAAGAUCUCAUACAAAAGCGUACAAGAUGUAUGAUACGUCUCCAACGUAUCUAUAAUUUUUGUUGGUUCCAUGCUAUUAUCUUGUCAACUUUGGAUGUUUUGUAUGCCUUUUAUAUCUUCUUUGGGACUAACUUAUUAACUCAGUGCCAAGUGCCAGUUCCUGUUUUUUUUCGUGUUUUUGACCCUUUCCAGAGGAGAAUAUUAAACGGAGUCCAAACGGAAUAAAACCUCCGAAAAGAUUUUUUACGGAACAGAAGAUACGCGGGGAACUUGAGAACCAAGGCAAAGGACCCCGAGGGAGGUCACAAGCCCCCUAGGCACGGCCUGGGCGGGGGCCGCGCCUAGUAGGCUUGUGGGCCCCCUGUGGAUCCUCUGCCCUAUUUCUUCCGCCUAUAAUUCUCCGAAAAAUCCAAAACCACGGGAGAGAGCCAGGAAAAUACUUUUCCGCCGCCGCAAGCUUCUGUCUCUGCAAGAUCCCAUCUGGGGCACGUUCUGGUGCCCUGCCGGAGGGGGGAUUCGGACACGGAGGGCUUCUUCAUCAACACCAUUGCCUCUCCGAUGAUGCGUGGGUAGUUCACCAUAGACCUUCGGGUCCAUAGCUAGUAGCUAGAUGGCUUCUUCUCUCUCUUGGAUCUUCAAUACAAAGUUCUCCAUGAUCUUCAUGGAGAUCGAGCAAAAACUUGGUUUUCAUCUUUGCCCAAAAAUAGUAUUGAUUCUUGGAAGAAGUGCAAAGAUGCUUAUAUAUCCAAGUAUUUUCCACCGGCUAAGAUUAUCUCUCUCCGUAAUGAUAUCAUGAAUUUUAAGCAACUAGAUCAUGAACAUGUUGCACAAUCUUGGGAGAGAAUUAAAUUGAUGAUUAGAAAUUGUCCCGCUCAUGGCUUGAGUCUUUGGAUGAUUAUACAAAUCUUCUAUGUUGGUUUGAAUUUUGCUUCUAGAAAUAUCUUGGACUCCGCCUCCGGUGAAACUUUCAUGGAAAUCAUAUUAGGAGAAGCCACAAAACUCCUAGACAAUAUCAUGACAAACUUGUCUCAGUGGCACACUGAAAGGUCACCUACUAGUAAAAAAGUGCACGCUAUAGAAUAAAUUAGCUCGUUGAGUGCUAAGAUGGAUGAGUUAAUGAAAUUGUUUGCUAGUAAAGGUGCUCCUUUAGAUCCAAAUGACAUGCCCUUGUCUUCCUUGAUUGAGAGUAGCAAUGAAAGCUUGGAUGUUAAUUUUGUUGGUAGGAAUAAUUUUGGCAACAACAAUGCUUUUAGAGGAAACUAUAUUCCUAGGCCUUUUCCUAGUAAUCCCUCUAAUAACUUUGCCAACUCCUACACCAAUGCUCAUGGAAAUUAAAACAAAUUACCCUCUGAUCUAGAGAGUAAUAUUAAAGAGUUUAUCAACUUGCAAAAGAUUUUCAAUGCGUCCAUAGAAGAAAAACUACUCAAAAUUGAUGAUUUGGCUAGGAGCGUUGAUAGAAUGUCUCUUGAUAUUGAUGCUUUGAAAGUUAGAUGUGCUCCUCCCAAGAUCAAUAUGGAUGAAACUUUGAAAGCUAUGCGUGUUUCCAUGAAUGAGAGUAAAGAAAGAACCGCCCAAAUUCGUGCUAGACAUGAAUGGCUUAAAAAGGCGUGUUCUCGUGAUGAGAAUCACAAAGAUCUUAAAGUUCUUGGUGUGACUCCCAUUGAAUCCUUGUUUUCUAGUGUCAAACCUAAUGAUGAUGGGGCUGGAUGUGAAUCCACUUUGGUUGAAAAACGCCCCAUUGAUUUGGAGUCCAUCUAUCUUGAUGCUAAAAGCAUUGAAAGUGGAGUAGAGGAUAUCAAAACUUUGAGUAGUAAUGAAACUACUACUUUGGAUUUCAAGGAAUUCGAUUAUGAUAGUUGCUCUUUGAUUGAAUGUAUUUCCUUGAUGCAAUCCAUGCUAAACUCUCCACACGCUUAUAGCCAAAACAAGGCCUUUAACGAUCAUAUCGUCGAUGCUAUGAUGAAAUCUCUUGAAGAGAAACUUGAAUUGGAAGUUUCUAUUCCUAGAAAACUUCAUGAUGAGUGGGAAACAACUAUCAAAAUCAAGAUAAAAAAACUAUGAAUGCAAUGCUUUGUGUGAUUUGGGUGCUAGCGUUUCCGCGAUUCCAAAGUCUUUAUGUGAUGUUCUAGGCUUCAAUAAGAUUGAUGAGUGCUCUCUUAAUUUGCAUCUUGCAGAUUCUACUGUUAAGAAACCCAUGGGAAGGAUCAAUGAUGUUCUUAUUAUUGCAAAUAGGAACUAUGUACCCAUGGAUUUCAUUGUGCUUGAUAAUGAUUGCAAUCCGACAUGUCCCAUCAAUCUUGGUAGACCUUUCCUAAGGACUAUUGGUGCUGUCAUCGAUAUGAAGGAAGGGAAUAUUAGAUUUCAAUUUCCAUUAAAGAAGGGCAUGGAACAUUUUCCUAGAAAGAAAAUAAUAUUGCCUUAUGAAUCAUGAUGAGGGCUACUUAUGGUUUGAGCACCAAAGACGACGAUACGUGACUCUAUCGCCUUAUGCCUAGCUAAGGGCGGUAAACAAUAGCGCUUGUUGGGAGGCAACCCAAUGAAUUUAUCUUUGCUUUUUUGCUUUCAGUUUUGUUGCGUACACACCAUCAUAACUCUGUUAUGAUUGUGUUUUUUGUGUUUCUUUUUGUGUUUGAGCCAAGUAAAACCUUUAUGACUAGUUUUGGUGAUGGUUGUUUGAUCAUGCUGGAAAAAGACAGAAACUUUUCGCUCAUGAAAUUAUUUUUCAUUUUUAUACAGAAAGAGCUUUUGAGUUGAUUCUUUUUUGCUGCUGGUUGAUAUGCCACUUUUCCAAAUUGUCGUAAUUGUUCAGGAUUUUUGAGAUACCAGAAGUAUACGAAGUACACAGAUUGCUACAGACUGGUCUGUUUUUGACAGAUUCUGUUUUUGUUGAGUUGAUUGCUUAUUUUGAUGAAACUAUGGAUAUUAUCGGGGGGUACUAGCCAUGGAAAAGUAAGAAUACAGUAAUCUAACACCAAUAUAAAUAGAAAUCAAGUUUGCUACAGUACCUAAAAAGGUGGUAGUUUGUUUUCUUGUGCUAAUGAUAUCAUGAGUUUCUGUUUAAGUUUUGUGUUGUGAAGUUUUCAAGUUUUGGGUGAUGUUCUCAUGGACAAAGGGAUAAAGAGUGGAAAGAGCUCAAGUUUGGGGAUGCCUAAGGCAUCCCAAGCCAAAUUCAAGGACACUAAGAGGCCUAAGCUUGGGGAUGCCCCGGGAAGGCAUCCCCUCUUUCGUCUUCAAUCCAUCGGUAACAUUACUUGGAGCUAUAUUUUUAUUCACCACAUGAUAUGUGUUUUGCUUGGAGCGUCGUGUAUUAUAGGAGUCUUUUCUUUUUGUUGUAUCACAAUAAUCCUUGCUGCACAUCUUUUGAGAGAGACAUGCACUCAUCGUGAAUUUGCUAGAAUACUCAUUGAGCUUCGCUUAUAUCUUUUGAGUCAGGCAAUUUAGCUCAUUGUGCUUCACUUAUAUCUUUUGAGCUAGAUAACUUUGCUCUAUGUGCUUCACUUAGAUCUUUUAGAGCAUGGCGGUGUCAUAUUUUGGAGAAAUAAGAACUCUCAAUCUUCACUUAUAUCUCUUUGAGAGUGCUCUCUCUGAGUAACUUGGUAGUUGGUUUGUGCUAUGAAAGUAGUCCUAAAGAUGAUAGGCGUCCAAAGAGGAUACAAUAAAACUUCCAUAUUCCCGUGCAUUGAUUAGAAAGAGAAGUCUGAUUCCUCUCAAUUAGUUUUGAGACAUGGAUUUGGUAAUAUUAAGAGUCAUGUUAGUAGGGUGUACUGAAUCUAGAAAUACUUGUGUUGAAGUUAGUGAUUCCCGUAACAUGCACGUAUGGUGAACCGCUAUGUUAGGAAGUCGAAGCAUAAUUGAUUUAUUGAUUUUCAUCCUUUGUGUUGCGGUCGGGAUCGCGCGAUGGUUAACACCUACCAACCCUUUCUCCUAGGAGUAUGAGUUUAGCACUUUGUUUCGAUUACUAAUAAAAACUUUCACAAUAAGUAUGUGAGUUCUUCAUGACUAAUGUGAGUCCAUGGUAUAGAUGCACUUUCACUUUCCACCAUUGCUAGCCUCUCUAGUGCCGCGCAACUUUCGCCGGUACACAAAACCACCAUAGAUCUUCCUCAAAACAGCCACCAUACCUACCUACUAUGGCAUUUUCAUAGCCAUUCCGAGAUAUAUUGCCAUGCAACUCCCACCGUUCCGUCUCAUGACUUGUGCCGUCACUUACAUAUUUCCAUUGCAUGAUCGUAACAUAGCUAGCGAGAUGUUUCAAUGGCAUACGCUAAGCUAGAUCGUUGCACAUCCCGGUACACUGCCGGAGGCAUUUCCUGUAGAGUCUUAAACAUUCUAAGCAUUGAGCUUUGAGUAAAUGAAAGUGUGAUGAUCAUCAUUAUUAGAGCAUUGUCACAUGUGAGGAAAUAAAAAAAAGAGGCCAAAGUUGCCCACACAUAAAAAAAAGAGAGAGAGAUAUGGAAAGAGGCCAAAGAGCCCAAACAAAAAAGAAAAAAAAGAGAAAAAGAGAGAAGGGAUGACCCUACUAUCUUUUUCCACACUUGUGCUUCAUAAUAGUACCAUGAUCUUCAUGAUUGAGAGUCUCUUGUUUUGUCACCACCAUAUACUAGUGGGAAUCUUCAUUAUGUAACUUGGCUUGUAUAUUCCAAUGAUGGGCUUCCUCAAAAUUGCCCUAGGUCUUCCUGAGCAAGCAAGUUGGAUGCACACCCACUAGUUCUCCUUUUGAGCUUUCACACACUUAUAGCUCUAAGUGCAUCCAUUGCAUGGUAAUCCCUACUCUUUCACAUUGAUGUCUAUUAAUGGGCAUCUCCACAGCCCUUUGAUACACCGAGUCAAUGUGACCAUCUCCUCCUUUUUGCCUCACAACCUCCACCACAGUCUUUUUCACCUAUAGUGCUAUAUCCAUGGCUCACGCUCAUGUAUUGCAUGAGAGUUGAAAAAGGUUUGAGAAAGUAAGAGUGUGAAAACAAUUACUUGGCCAAUACCGGGGUUGUGCAUGAUUUAAAUUCGUUGUGUGGGGAUGAUGGAGCAUAGCUAGACUAUAUGAUUUUGUAGGGAUAACUUUCUUUGGCUCUCUUAAUUCGAAAGUUCAUGAUUACCUUGCUAGUUUGCUUGAAGUAUUAUUGUUUUCAUGUCAAUAGCAAACUAUUGUUUUGAAUCUUACGGAUCUGAACAUUCAUGUCACAUGAAAGAAGUUACAAAGGACAAAUAUGCUAGGUAGCAUUCCACAUCAAAAGUUCAUUCUUUAUCACUUCCCUACUCGAGGACGAGCAGGAGUUAAGCUUGGGGAUGCUUUAUACGUCUCCAACGUAUCUAUAAUUUUUGUUGGUUCCAUGCUAUUAUCUUGUCAAACUUUGGAUGUUUUGUAUGCCUUUUAUAUCUUUUUUGGGACUAAGUUAUUAACUUAGUGCCAAGUGUGAGUUCCUGUUUUUUUCCGUGUUUUUGACCCUUUUUAGAGGAGAAUAUUAAACGGAGUCCAAACGGAAUAAACCUCCGAAAAGAUUUUUUCCGGAACAAAAGAUACGCGGGGAACUUGAGAACCAAGGCAAAGGACCCUGGGGGAGGUCACAAGCCACCUAGGUGUGGCAUGGGCGGGGGCAGCGCCUAGCAGGCUUGUGGGCCCCUUGUGGCUCCUCUGCCCUACUUCUUCCGCCUAUAAAUCUCCGAAAAAUCCAAAACCACGGGAGAGAGCCACGAAAAUACUUUUCCGCUGCUGCAAGCUUCUGUCUCCGCAAGAUCCCAUCUAGGGCAUGUUCUGGUGCCCUGCCGGAGGGGGGGAUUCGGACACGGAGGGCUUCUUCAUCAACACCAUUGCCUCUCCGAUGAUGCGUGAGUAGUUCACCAUAGACCUUCGGGUCGAUAGCUAGUAGCUAGAUGGCUUCUUCUCUCUCUUGGAUCUUCAAUACAAAGUUCUCCAUAAUCUUCAUGGAGAUCUAUCCGAUGUAAUCUUCUUUUGCGGUGUGUUUGUCGAGAUCCGAUGAAUUGUGGAUAUAUGAACAGAUUAUCUAUGAAUCUUAUUUGAGUUUCUUCUGAUCUCUUAUAUGCAUGAUUUCAUAUCCUUUUAAUUCUCUUCGAGUUGUGGGUUUUGUUUGGCCAACUUGAUCUAUGAUUCUUGCAAUGGGAGAAGUUCUUGGUUUUGGGUUCAUACCGUGCGGUGACCUCACCCAGUGGCAGAAGGGGUAGCGAGGCACGCAUCAUGUUGUUACCAUCAAGGGUAAAAAGAUGGGGUUUAUAUCUAUUGCAUGAAUUUAUCCCUCUACAUCAUGUCAUCUUGCUUAAGGCGUUACACUGUUUGUCAUGAACUCAAUACACUAGAUGCAUGUUGGAUAGCGGUCGAUGUGUGGAGUAAUAGUAGUAGAUGCAGAGAGUAUCGUUCUACUUGUCUCAGACGUGAUGCCUAUAUGUAUGAUCAUUGCCUUAGAUAUCAUCAUGACUUUGUGCGGUUCUAUCAAUUGCUCGACAGUAAUUCGUUCACCCACCGUAAUACUUGCUAUCAUGAGAUAAGCCUCUAGUGAACACUAUGGCCCCCGGGUCUACUUCACAUUAUAUUUUCAGCUCCACACUUUUACUUUGUUGCACUUUCCGCCUUCAGAUCUCACCUUGCAAUCGAUCGUGAAGGGAUUGACAACCCCUUUGUAGCGUUGGGUGCAAGUUUGCUGUUUUUGCGCAGGUACUUUAGGAACUUGGCUUGAUACUCCUACUAGAUUGAUACCUUGGUUCUCAAACUAAGGGAAAUACUUACUGCUACUGUGUUGCAUCACCCUUUCCUCUUCAAGGGAAAAACCAACGCAAGCUCAAGAGGUAGCAAUGUACCGAGAGGGAUCAAGUGAUCCCAUGGUAUGGUAAGCAUUGUCCAUUACGUGUUUGUGUACUAACCCAUGGUCUUCAUGAGACUUCUGUGUGGGGCUAGGUGUGUCUCCAUGGGCUUGCGUCUAGAGGAAGAUCUCAUACAACCCAUGAAGGAUGAUGCCAAGUGGUGAUCGUCAUCAAGGUUGCGGUGUGCAAGUUCAAGUGGAUCAGCAUGAAGAUAUCAUGCUUGAAGCAUGCCGUCCAUUGUGGUGGCAAUGGACUUCUGAAGAUAUACUGAAGAGCGGCUCACCCAUGUUGUGUAUGGGGGAGCAAUCAACUAGUCUUCAUCAAGCCAUCGCAAUCAAGAAGGUGGUCCAUCUUGAGGAAGCCAAGAUCAUCGUCAUCUAGCUCAAGAGGAAGAGGUGCAAGGUAUAGGUUUGCCCUUGAUAGGUUUUCUGUUUUAGGAUAGAUUACCGUUCUGUCAAGCGGGGCUCUCAUGUGAGUAGCUCGAUCGUAUCGUUCGUUGAGAGCUCAAACCAUUUCCAUCCUUGCAUCAUACUUUUUGGUUCUUAUUUGGUGUUUCUCUUUGUGAGUUUUAGAGCUUAUGGUCAUCUUCAUGACAAGCUCGAGUUCAUCGAAAACGGAGUCCAUAUGCAUCUUCUAGGAUGUUUACGAUGUUGGAGUUUUUGCCGGUUCUUCAUUCAUAGAGGUCUCACAUCGUUGUUUGGAUAGUUCUUGUCAUCCUGAAUCCAACAAGCUUGGGUUUGCUCGAUUCGGAGCUCGUAUGCGAAAGUUAUGGUUGUUUCAGUGGCGAGCGGUAGUACCGCUCCAGUCCUAGCGGUAGUACCGCCAGGGGCAGCGGUAGUACCGCUCCGGGUGGGCGGUAGUACCGCUUCGGGACGGUAGUACCUCUCUCUGAGCGGUUGUUCUUUGUCGGACUUUUUGCGAAGACUUUCUUUAGCAGUAGUGCCGCCAGGGGCGAGCGGUAGUACCACGAGGGCUAGCGGUAGUACCACGAGGGCGAGCGGUAGUACCACGAGGGCGAGCGGUAGUGCGCGGACUGUAAGUGGGGGUAACAGUCUGCUUCCUUCCCCCACUAUAUAAAGGGGGUCUUCUUCCCCCUUGGCCUAACCUAUCCAUUGAGCUCAUGUUCUUCCCCCAUUGUUGACCUUCUUAGAGCUUGCUAACUCUCAAUCCCUCCAAUGAUUCUUGCUUGUUUUGAGGGAAAAGAGAGAGGAGAUCUAGAUCCACAUCUCCACCAAUCACUUUCUCCUCUAUGUGAGGGGAACCACUUGGAUCUUGAUCUUGGAGUUCUUUGUGAGCUCCUUGUUCUUCCUCUCAUAUUUCUCCAUAGAUUUUGUUGUUGUGGAGGGAUUUGAGUGUGAGGGACUUGACCACUUUGUGUGUUCUUGCCAUUGCAUGAGUUGCAUCGGUUUGAGUUCUCCACGGUGAUACGUGGAAGUGAAGUUUGAGAAGCCAUAUUACCUUUUGGUACUUAGUACCCUAGAGAUUGUUCUUCGUGGAUGCUUUAGCAUCUUAGAAGCUUGGUGGUGUCUUGGAGCUCAAUCAUUGUGGUGUAAAGCUCCGGGCAAGCGUCGAGGUCUCCAAUUAGGUUGUGGAGAUUGCCCCGAGCAAUUUGUACGGGUACCGGUAACCGCCCCAAGGGUUGCCAUUUGUACGGGUUCGGUGACCACCCUCAACGGUCCCUUAGUGGAACCACGGCAUCUUGCAUUGUGCGAGGGCGUGAGGAGAAUACGGUGACCUUAGUGGCAUCUUGGGGAGCAUUGUGCCUCCACACCGCUCCAACAGAGAUUAGCAUCCGCAAGGGUAUGAACUUUGGGAUACAUCAUCGUCUCUGCAUGCCUCGGUUAUCUCUUACCCGAACCCUUUACUCAUGCACUUUACUUUGUGAUAACCGUAGUGUUUAUUGUCAUAUAUCUUGCUAUCACUUAGUUGUUUAUCUUGCUUAGCAUAAGUUGUUGGUGCACAUAGGUGAGCCUAGUUGUUGUAGGUUUUGUGCUUGACAAAUUAAACGUUAGUUUUAUUCCGCAUUUGUUCAAGCCUAACCAUAAUUAUUUUAAAGCGCCUAUUCACCCCCCUCUAGGCGACAUCCACGUCCUUUCAUAAAUCCUAGCUGUUGGAAUCGGGACUAGAGGUCACAUUAGUCCUGGUCCAAAAUUCAACCGGGACUAAUGCUCUGAACGAAAGGUCCUUUUUCUACUAGUGCUUAUAGAGAGUGUAAAAGAUUACAAGUGUUGAACCUUGAGCCGGUACCCGGGAGUGGCUUACAUAAUGGCUGCCACGACCGGCCGAGCGCCAUCACAAGACAAUAAAUGAUAAUAAAGAGGGAAGUUACAAGUAACGACGGCCUUAAUCCCUGGCGUUGCUGGUAACGCGGGUCUUCCUAAGCCUUCACGCAGGUGUUUGAGUCCUUGGGCGUUGCAGUCCUUUCAUUGUCCUUGCCUUGCUAUGGACCGAGUGCUGGGAGCGUCCGAUUGCCACAAAGCAGACCGAGUGACCUCACGUGACCGAGUGAGAACACAAUGACCGAAUGAGGUUGAGACUAUCACGAUGACUUGUACGACAUUGAUGUCCUUACGGGUACUUAGGUGGGCCCUAUGGAAACGGGUUCGAAGGCCUACCGCUUAAGUAUAACCCCGUGAGUAGCCCCCGAACCGGUAGAGGUUUUCUAGCCGAGUGAAUGCCUUCCUUGGUAUUUCGAAGACACAUGGGUCGCCGUCAGAGUCAGAACUUAUCCAUCCAUAACUCUCAUGGUAGUUCAUUCUCUAGUUGUAGAGAAAGAUCUAUUUAGACCAACAAAUGAUAGAAAUACGAUAUUGGGACUCAAUGUUCCAUCAUGCCGUUGGAUCCACCAAACAUAAUUGGUUGGGACUCAAGAAUAUCUAUCGAUAUCUUCAAAAGGCGUCAAACAUCUUGUCCUGGUUUUUCAUUUUCAGAUAAAUCUGAACACCAAUACUGUUGGAUACAAUGAUCUGAUCGCUGCUAUGUCAGAUCAUAGGCAAGCUUAGUGUUCCUACUAGUUGUUGUAGCCAUCUCAUGAGUGUCUUCGAAACAUACCUCAUGGGUACAUCAACCAACAAUUAUCUCAAAGAUAAUGUUUUUUAUGUUGCGCGGAUGCAAAAAGGUUACACAAUAAGCAACAUCGCUACAUUGCAUAUCUUGCAAAUCAAAUCAUGUAACUAAUUUUCUCACGAAGUCUCUACCAACUUUUACAUUCCCGAAAUAUGUUCAUUGAAUUGGUAUGUGACGGUUUCAAAAUUUGCAAGAAUCAGGGGGAGUAUCUUCUUGAAUUAUUCUUUUUCAAUGCAUCAUAUUAUACUCUUUUUCCCUUCAAGAGUUUACUAUACAUGUUCUCAUAAAGGUUUUUAAUGAGGUAAUAUCAACAUGAAAUCAUAUGUCAUACUUUCAGUUUUCCCCACUGUGGUUUUUGAGAAAGUAUAUAUGACAUAUUUAUUGUCCUCUUAAUUGUAUGAGUUUUCUUGUAUUGAGUUAAAAGAGGAAACAAUCAUUAUAUGUUGCAUCAUUUGUAUCCUUAUUUUUUCCACUGGGUUUGAAGGAGUUUUAGCAAGAUAUCAAACACCUAUCCCCUUAUAUUUUUCCCACACGGUUUUUCAAGAAGAAUUUUUAUCAAGAUGAAGUCUGCUCACAAGAUCAAGCGUGGAUUGAAUGGAGUGUUAGGAUUAAUUAACUAAUGACAAUUAAGGGAUAAUCCCUGCUUUACUAACCACAAACAAUUACACCUGCCACGUCGGUUCCCUGCCAAAUAGGCAUAUCCCGGAAAAGACACCUUUCUAGUGGCAUGUCUUCCCUUUGUAUAAAAGCCAGCACUACGGAUCAAUCGGCUGAUCCCGCCCAGACAUCAUCUGCCUCGUCAGCCAGCCGAUUGACUUGCUAAUAGCCGUUCGAUGAAGACGCGAAGUCAUUCAUUUCCUGCCAGGCUGCCACGCAUCAUAGUCAGACGUACGCGCAUUCGCAUGCUUGUAGCGUGUGUUCACGACAACGUUGUAGCGGCCACACUUGCAUUAGGCUGUCCGUAAUGAUAGUAUCAUAGGUAGUAUUAUGCAUGCCAACUAAAUAAUUUUAUUGAGAUGGCAUAUAAUUAAAUGAAGAAAAAGAGAGUUGGGUAUCAUAUUAAAUGAUGUGCUACUAUGUGUCUUGAAUGACAAUAAAUAACCUACUCUAUGAUACUAAUAUAUGAUACUAUGCAUUACGCAUGUGGUAUCAUACACUAGUAUCAUAUCCAUGAUACUAAUAUAUGAUACUAUCAAUUACAACCAGCCUUAACUGUGGCGAGUUUCAGCCAUGCACGUCUAUAGCUUGUAGUGGUAUGACAACAAAAGUGAGUAUUUUAUUUCCAGCAAGUGCAUGGCAGCAGCAUGCGAACUUUUGAGACCAAAUGACAGAUGCCAUUGCAGCAACACGAGCUACUGUAAAGACAAGCGUGGAGUGGCUCCUGGUGUAUGAGGGCGAACACGAUACAGGCCAAGAUGACGAUGCUGUGACGGUGGUCCGGCUACCGCGGGUUUCAGUGUGAGGCCAUGAGCAGUGCUGCGAUGUUGGAUGGUGGACUCUGCGAUAGCAACCCGGCUGCUUCACUAUGGUGAUGCUGUAAGGCGUGCUCGAACGACAUGCUUCGACGACCAUUGCGAUGGCGUGGCAGCGUGCUUCAAACGACCAUUGUGUGCUUGCGAUGGCAAAUCGGCUGCUUCAAUGAUGCUGUGACGGCGUGCUUCGACAACGAUGACGAUGUUGCGACGGCUGCUCGAUUGCUUUGCUGAUGAUGCGGCGACGUGCUUUUCGGUCGCGGCGAUGCUGAGAUGGCAGUCGCUUCGAUAAUGCUAUGACGAUGUGCUUCGAUGGUCGCGGUGAUGCUGCGACACCGUGCUACAAAUGGUCAUGGUGAUGCUGCGACGUUGUGCUCUAACGACCACAGGACGGAGACCCAGAUGUUCCGAUGGUGUUUUUGACGGUUGUCGCGGUGUUGUGACGAUAGCAGGGCUGCUUUGACGACGUCGUUCGAUGGCCGCGUCCAUGCGACGACCGGCGACAAGGCUAUUCCUGAGUUGUUGGGAUGGCAUGCUUCGACGGCGGUAAGGUUGCUCCAAUGAUGAUGCGGUGGCAUGCUUCGACUGCAGUCAGGUUGCUCCGAGUCGGCAUUCAACCAGGACCCGCCAUAUGCAAUGUGGCCAAUGUUGUGCUCGGUAAGUUUGCAACUGAGCCAAUGUUGCAAACACUCGCCGGCUGCCUGAUCUCACAUGGGUGGACCACAUCACACAUUUUCCUUUUUUACUAGGAGGACCGUGUUUUUUUGGGUGAUGUUUGGAUCAAAUUGGCUGUUUGAAUACCCAUUUGGAUGGCAUGCAUGACAACCACAGUUUGCAAGAAGAACCGUGUUGUGGUUGGGAAUUUGCAACACGAGUUGUGUUGCAGUCCAUUUCGAUCACCAUUAGGAACAUUGCAACAUGAAUCAUGUUUUGGUCAACCAUGGCAAUAUGGACCCUGUUAUGGUCAACCAUCGCAACAUGGACGAUGUCACUGUCACCCGAAGCUUGCUAUGAAUUCACCCAUUGCAACCGAGACUAUGUUAUGGCCACCCAUUGCAACAUGGAUCAUGUUGUCGUCACCUCGACAUCAUCGGGCAGGCCCUAGCAUGGAGACGACGGCCACUAGCAAGUAGCGGCGGCAGCAUGGACAGCUUGCAGCUUUGCGGCAACGGUUUUGUAGUAGCAACGGGUUGUCCUUGCACCUACGUCUGGCUGGUUUGCAACAACGGACGGUACUUUGUUUUGUGGGGCCGGUUUGCAGCUGUCAUGGUAACGAUUCCGACAAUAGAAAGAGGGUAGGAUAACGGAGCAUGAUCUAUCAAGAUGCACAUGGGUGACAUGGUGGUUUUAGCGAGUUCAGGCCUCUCACAGUGGAGAUAACAACCCUACGUCUCGUGCUCCGGAGAGGCUUUGUUUUAUCUGUCAUGGACAUGAGUUACAAGGUAUAGAGAGAGAGCAGAGCUCCAGGGAAGGAAUGAGCCCGCUGGGGGAGAAGAAGAAGAAGAUGUCUUAGCUAUGUGGAGGGGGUGGCUUAUAUAUAGUGCGCCACCUCCUCACCUCUUAUGUUACAAGAUGGGCCAUUGAUGCCAUAAUGUCAGCCCACUACAGAUGUCUUGCCGACUGUUGGUAUUCGCAUGACCGAGUGAGUCAUACGACCGAGUGGUUGACUAUCAUCCGAGUGGAUGGAAUGUACUUGUCUGAGUGGAUCCGUACCGAGUGGAUUAGAUGUUGUCACGAUCCAGUAGGAAUUUCCCUUGUAGUCCUUAAACUAAUAAUGAGGUGCCCUUGGGUAGGACGUAUUGGUCAGACCUAUGACCCUACCCUAGGGCUAUAUCCCCGUCAUUAGCCCCCGAAUGGAUCAGGGUCCGAGUGGUGAAGGUGUCGAUGUAAAUCUUGUAGCAGCAGACCGAACUUGAACGUGCUUCAGAGCCUUGCAAAAUUAUGCGUUGAUUGAAGUCUUCAUCAUUCGCCCUGAUCGAUUCCGCUGAGUAGUACGUCCGAGUGAACUUAAGAAUUGAAGUAGGUCCGAGUGACCAACAGGACUUGAGACUUUGCCUGACUACUGGUAGUCGGUUGGAAUCUGUUGAUUCUGUUGAACUUGGAUGUUGUUGGUGGACCUGACCAAGCAGAAUGUUUCUUUUUUGUUUUUCUCUUCUAGUGGGGGCACGCUAAGUGCACCCACUGGGUGUAGUCCCCGAGCCUCUGUCGGACUAGAUGAGUCCGGCAGAGGGUUUAAGUCAUCCAAAUCUCGUCAUGUUGAAUGUUUGUUGUAUCUGCAUUAUAUGAUUUCUAGAUCAAACUCAAGUCUCUAAGAGUGGAGAGGCGAUACGGAGUCGCAACUAAGUCCUCAAGUGUGGAGCAUGUCCGCACUCGGAGUUGUUUUUAACUUAGGUGAUACGGAGUCGCAGCUAAGCCCCCGAGUGUGGAGCAUGUCCGCACUCGGAGUUGUUUUUAACCUAGGCGAUACGGAGUCGCAGCUAAGCCCCCAAGUGUGGAGCAUGUCCGCACUCGGAGUUGUUUUUAACUUAGGCGAUACGGAGUCGCAGCUAAGCCCCCGAGUGUGGAGUAUGUCCGCAAUCGGAGUUGUUUCUAACUUAGGCGAUACGGAGUCGCAGCUAAGUCCCCGAGUGGGGAGCAUGUCCGCACUCGGAGUAGUUUUGAACUUAGGCGAUACGGAGUCGCAGCUAAGUCCCCGAGUGUGGAGCAAGUCCGCACUCGGAGUAGUUUUGAACUUAGGCGAUACGGAGUCGCAGCUAAGUCCCCGAGUGUGGAGCAUGUCCGCACUCGGAGUAGUUUUGAACUUAGGCGAUACGGAUUCGCAGCUAAGUCCCCGAUUGUGGAGCAUGUCCGCACUCGGAUUAGUUUUGAACUUAGGCGACAUGGAGUCGCAGCUAAGCCCAGCGGUGGCGCGCGGGGCGUCCGAGUGAUGAAGAUGUGCCACACGGAGUGGCGAUGCGUGGGGCAUCCGAGUGAGGUAGACGAGUCCGACUGAGUGGCAACGCGCGGGGCAUCCAAGUGAUGUAUGUCGAGGAGGCGUCCGACCCACUGACGGCACGUGGGGCGGCCGUGUCCACUACGUCAUCGAAGGGGCUUCCGUACACGUGAAAACGUACAAAUGAUUGUUGCGGCGACUGAGCCUGAGUAGCAACGAGGAUGGCACACGGAUGCGUCGAGUGAUCGUGUAACCUGUGUAUGAAAAAUAGCACAAGCCAGCAUAAAAAUUAUCAAAGUAAUUUGAUCUUUUCUUAAAUAGUUUGUGUAAAUAAGACCCAUAGACAGCCACUGGGUGUGCCAGGUGCUUGUACUUGUGAAGAAUCUGACUGUACUUAUGCAAGUGAAGGAUCCGACUGAACUCGUUUAAGUACCGGACCCAAACGAAGCGGAAGUGAAGUGUUCCCACAUAAAAAUAAACAACCAAGUGCAGAGGUACGCUCUGAGGCGUGACUUCCUUGACACUCGGUGAUGCGGAAGCAACCAUUUAAUUUAAUGUAGCGUAUGAAGAAUGACUUAGCUGUCUGGCGCAGGAGUGGCCGAGUGACAAAGGAGUGUCCAGUUGAGUGACGGCGCGCGGAGCGAUCGAGUGACGAAGGAGCAUCCGGUCGAGUGGUGAUGCACGGAGAUGUCGAGUGAUGACGACAUGUCUCAUCGAGUGAUGGUGCGCGGAGCGACUGAGUGACGAAGGAGCGUCCAGUCGAGUGGCGAUGCGUGGAGCUGCCAAGUGACGAAGGAGCAUCCGGUCGAGUGACGGCGCGCGGAGCUGCCUAGUGAUGUAGUCGUGCUGCACGGAGUGGCAAAGACGUGUCUCACCGAGUGGCGAUGGGCGGAGUUACCGAGUGACGAAGGAGCGUCUGGCUGAAUGAAGGCGCAUGGUGUUGCCGAGUGAUGACGACACGUCCGACUGUGAGACGGCGCGUGGGGCGUCCGAGUGCCUUAUUUUGGCCGUAACCUGUGCUUGUUUUGGCCUUGAUUAGCUCUGAAGAUGCUCACUGAAUGACCAAUUAAUGACGCGGCCAAUUAAUCUGGCAUUCAAAUCACCACGUCCCUUCCUUUUCCUUUUUUGCCUGCAUGCAGUCAAUUGAUGGAGGAGGUAGCCCACGUUAUGCAUGUACUUACGAGGAUUGUUACUUCAGAAUGGCCAUCGGCUGCGGGCUGAGACUGUUUCGAAGGCAACCGCCCCAGCGCGCUUCCGCCACGGGGACCGCCGCCGGCGACCGGCGCGGAAGAAGGAGCGUUGCACGCCAGUGUCGCGACGGGCCUGUGCCUACACCGCGGAGGUCGCCACCGAGCAGCCGAGAACACGAGGCCGGAGUCGACGAUGAGGCGAACGGCGUCAAUGGCCGUGCGUGGCGGUUCAGCGACAAGGUUGAAGACGACGAUGAGGCGAAAGGCACUCCGACCGUGCCGACGACGAUGAGGCGGACGGCACCGGCGGCCACACGUGGUGACGAUGAGGCGGACGGCUCCUACGACCACCCAUGGCGACGAUGAGGCGGACGGCGCCGUUGGCCGCGCAUGGGGGCCGCACGACGACAUCGCAGAUGAAGUGCAGUGUGCAGCGUCGAGGUCAGAGACGACGAUGAGGCGGACGACACCGGCGGCCGCGUGCGGAGGGGCAGUCCAUUUCCUGAAGGUCGGUGGUGCUCCUUGUAUGUGCUUGGAUAGAUGUCUGUUUUCCUUCUGCUUGCGAUGGUUUGCUCGUCUUGGAGAUGAACAAUACAGACAAAUAUGUUAAAUCAUGAAGAUGAAACCGAAUAGAGGGCACCAACGGAAUUGAUCUGCCGGUGGCUGAAGAAAUAACCAUAUGCAUCAUGGCUCGAUAGACGCCACGCCCCAAGGUGGGCGCCAACUGUCGUGGUAACGAUUCCGACAAUAGAAAGAGGGUAGGAUAACGGAGCAUGAUCUAUCAAGAUGCACAUGGGUGAUACGGUGGUUUUAGCGAGUUCAGGCCUCUCAUAGUGGAGAUAACAACCCUACGUCUCGUGCUCCGGAGAGGCUUUGUUUUAUCUGUCAUGGACAUGAGUUACAAGGUAUAGAGAGAGAGCCAGAGCUCCAGGGAAGGAAUGGGCCCGCUGGGGUAGAAGAAGAAGAAGAUGUCUUAGCUAUGUGGAGGGGGUGGCUUAUAUAGAGUGCGCCACCUCCUCACCUCUUAUGUUAUAAGAUGGGGCAUUGAUGCCAUAAUGUCAGCCCACUACAGAUGUCUUGCCGACUGUUGGUAUUCGCAUGACCGAGUGAGUCAUACGACCGAGUGGUUGACUGUCAUCCGAGUGGAUGGAAUGUACUUGUCUGAGUGGAUCCGUACCGAGUAGAUUAGAUGUUGUCACGAUCCAGUAGGAAUUUCCCUUAUAGUCCUUAAACUAAUAAUGAGGUGCCCUUGGGUAGGACGUAUUGGUCAGACCUAUGACCCUACCCUAGGGCUAUAUCCCCGUCAGCAGCAGUGGCCGGUCCUUGUCCCAGAUUGCAACAACAUGGUAACAUAUUUUUAUCUGGACAUGGAAACAGUAUUUCCUUUUUCAAAGUAAACGUGGCGACAUUUUUCUUUGAAGUGACCAGCGAAGUCUUGUACUAGCUACGGGUAUUAGCUGGUGCAUGAGCUAACAUUAUGACAUGAAAAAAGGGGUGUAAAAGAAUCAACUAGGUAUGUCAUACGCAACUGGGACAAGGCACGUGAUAAAGCAAACGAGACGUGGACAUGCAUGUCCGCAUGAUUCAGCUAAUCAGCCUCGGCUGAUCGGAUGGCGCAGCGCGGUUUACGCGCUGGCCGUAAUCAGUCGGCUGAUUUAGAACCUUUUUCUUGUAUAAAUAGCAGAUUUCAUCUAAUACAGAUCACACAGUUUUCUUUCAACAGUGACCGAACCGGCAAACGAGGUAGGUCGGGAUAAGUUGCCGAGCGCCUUUUGCACCGCUUGCCUUCCCGAGCGCUUUCCCAAAACGCUUUUUUUGAAUUAGCAAAAAAUGCAUGAACAUUUUUUGAAUUAGCAAACAUUUUUUCAAUUGCACUCAAAAAAUAAUACACAAACUUUUUAUUUUAAAAUCAUGGACUUUUAUUGUUUUCACCAACAUUUUUCUCAAAAUUAUGAACAUUUUUCUGAAUAUGCGAAUAUUUUUACAAAAACCCUGAGCAUUUUUUGAAUUCACAAACGUUUUAUGUUUUCUUCAAAAAAAUUUCAAAAUUCUCAGUUUUAUAAAUUGCAAAAAAAAAAUCAAAGUUCUAAAUUAUUUAAAUUAAAAAAUGGACCGGAAAAACUAAAAUAAAAAACAGACUAAAAACAGAGGCACAAACUGUUUUUAAGAUUUUUAAACGGACUUUUGUUCAAAAUCAUUGAAUUUUUUAUUUUAUGGACAUUUUCUCAAAAUUUAAACAUUUUUUUGUAUAUGCAAAAAAAUUUCAAAACUCCUGAGUAGUUUUGGAAUUCUCAAAUUUUUUAUGUUUUUUUCAAUAUUUUAUUUCUAAAUUAUCUGUUUCUUAAAAUUUAGAAAAUUUAUUUGAAGUUCUAAAUUAUUUAAAGUACAAAAACAAAAUGGAACUGAAAAGAAAAAUAAAAAAACUAAACCAAAAAGAACAGGCACCCACGCAUGGGCCGGCCCAAACUGGUGUGCUGCAUCUUUUUGCAACGCCCAAAGCGUACUAUAGGAGGUGCCUACAUGGGCCGGCCUAGUCCAGAGAUUUUCCUGUUUGAAAUGUUUUUUAUGACUUAUCGGUGGCAUUGGUGGAUAAUUUUAGUCAACUUUAGCGGCAAUUUGAAUCGGCAGAAGCAAUAUUUAUUUUAUUAGUAGGUAAGAUAAGAUAAGAUAAGAUAAGAUAAGAUGUCUAUAUACAUCCGUAUGUAGUUCAUUGCUUGAACCUUUAAAAAGACUUAUAUUUAGAAACGAAGGGAGUAUUAUUGUUUCUUAGUGUUCCCAUGACAAGGCUCAAGCGCCAUUGGAAGUUUACAACAUUCUUCCUUAGGUGCCGGUGAUGAAAAGGAUUUGUAGUGGCACAUGUUAAUCUCUAGUACGUCUAAGAAAUCCGGGUGAGUAGACAUGAAAUAUGUUUGGUAAACGUUUUUCGCCUGUGCGCCGGCGGAACAUUCGGCCGGACGCACGCGCGUCGUUGAUCUCGCGCGCUCCUCCCCAUCCUGAACGGCCCGCGAUCUCGUCCUCAUCUCGAACGGCUCGCGCGCUGCGCCGCCGCCGUAGCUGCGCCGGUCGUGCCCCCGUCGGCCCGCCCGAAUCGCCAGUUCCCACUACCGUCGACCGUCCGCAUCGCCGGAUCCAGCUUUCGCCCGUCGUCCUCGUCGUCUGCCAGCCAUGGCCGGGGCGCACGUAUACAAGUGUUCACAAAACGUCACUCAAAAAUGCUGCAACGGCUAUUUAAAAAAGCUUCAACCGUUGAUUAAAAAAGUUGCAAGGCAAAUCAUACUUUUUCCACGUGAAGUAUUUGGUUGAAGCUUUUUUUUAACGGUUGAAGUUUUUCUAUACACGGUUGAAAGUUUUGAGGAGUGACCAUGCGAGAUGCUGCAGUCGGAGCGGCGUUUGAAACUUUUUUCAUACACGGUUGAAGCUUUUUCUGUCAACGUUUGCAACUUUCCCUCGUUGAAGUUUUGGUUGAAGCUGUUUUUCUUAACGGUUGAAGCUUCUUCUACACAUGGUUGAAACUUUUUAUCCAUCCUUUGCAACACAGGGGUGAGAUGCGACCGAAACGAGGUGAAGACCGACGGGCUGCAUCCAUGGUGCUUUCGACGAGCGGCCGAGGCGGCAACCGACGGUGAGGACGACCAGUCAUGAGGAGGCGAGGCGAGGCGGUCGGCGCUUGCUGGGGCGUCGACGCAGGCGAGGCGGUCGGCGCGUGCUGGGGCGUCGGCACGGGCGAGGCGCGUGCUGGGACGCCGGCGCGUGCGAGGAUGACGGACGGUGGAGGCUCGCGCGACCAGAUCUGACGGUCAGGGGCCCUGAUCUGACGACUGUUGCGCGACCGGCGCGAGCCUCGGGCCGGCGCGCCGGCGCCUAGCACUGUCCAAUAUGUUUUGUUUACACAAACCAACAUGAAAAAUUUCAAGAUGGAGGACACGCAUGUUGCCCUUGCUUCCUUUUAUUCGAACACAAAAUACAAAAUGAAACGAUUGGGUUAACACACCAACCCUCCCUCUUACGGUCGAUUAAGAUUUAUUAGAAAUUGAGCUGGUAGCAAGAACACAGCAGCAUGCUAUACGAGCUGUGACCUCGCUACUUGGUGUACUCCAUUGCCCAGAAGUCGGCGUAGAUGUAGGUGGCCUUGACGCCGGUAAACCCGGCAGCCCUGGCGAGCUUCUCGAGGUCCCUCAGGUACCUUUCCUUGCCGCCGGGGCUGUACGCCAGCAGGCUCACGUCCACGCUGAUUAACCCCUGCGUGCUGUUUGUGGCGUCCGGGUUCACCGGCAGGAUACACUCCACGUUGAUCACCUUACCAUGCGCCGGCAGUGCGUCGUAGCAGUUCUUGAGCAGGAUGGCACACUCGUCGUCGCUAAAGCAGUUGAGGAUCCACUUCAUGAGGAUGGCGUCUCCGGUGGGCACCUUCUCGAACAUGUCGCCGCCGACGUGCUCCACGCCAGGGCAAGGCUGUGCAUCGGAGAUCACAUGGGGAAGGUCGAAGUUGAUCCCCUUGAUGCUCGGGUACUUCUUGGUGAUGGUGUGGACGACAGCACCCACGCCGCCGGCGACAUCCACCAGGGUGCCGAUGCCGUCGAAACCGGUGUACAGUUCGAGGAGCUUCUUGGUGAUGAUCACAGAAUGUUGCUUCAUGGCCUCGUUGAAGACGGAGUUGAAGCGCGCAUCCGUGCCGGCGUAGUCGAACCAGGACGCCCCGAAUGCCUUGGUGAAUGCACUGCCACCUUCAAGGACCGCGUCCUUCAUGUGGCACCUGCAUAUGAUUUAGUCCAAUCGAUUAUUUCACAAUAUGCAUGUCACUUCCAGUUCAUAACACCACAAAUACUUGUCUAAAUCUGUAUUAGAGAAGUGCAGUAAGAGUUGUCUGAGAUGUGAUAAAAAAUAAUACAUCACUGUAAAACUUUUCAUUUUUUCGGAAUCUGUCCUCAGAAGUGCUAAAAACAUUGAGCACUGAACUCUUUUUCUUGGGUAGAGCUUCUGGAAUGUUUCUUCCGUACGAAAUUACAGCAUAUUAUUGUUGUCAUGAAAUUUAAGCGUAUUUUAUUUUAUUUUGUUCUUUACUGUUCAUGAGGGUGCUCCUGCACCUGGGAGCUGAAAACCACUGUCGUCUGAGAUCUCAACUGAAUUUGAACAUGCUAGCUUCUUUUGACCAGAAAGUUCUAGUUUCUUUUCCUAAUCACUGUACUGAUUUCAUCAUUUCCACGGCCUAAUCACCAUACUUAUUGUUAAUUAGCUGAUUCGCCCAGGAUAAUUACAGAUCACGAGAAAAAAAAAAUCUUGAGGGCCAGAUGACACUGCCAGUUACCUGCUCUUAGCAAUAAAGAACAAAAAACAUAAACAGCCAAAGGUCAAUUACCUACGAUUCCAUGGAACGGACGAUUGAGGUGUGGUUACGCAUUGUUAUGUGUAACAGCACCCCGGUAUACAAUUCGCCCAGGAUAAUUACAGUUCAUAGAGGUGCUGAAAUCCACUGUCUAAUCGAAUGCAAUGCACACGGUACAUAUGUAGUAAGUAUACGGAAAGGAUUCUCACCAGGCCUCCAUGAAGAGCUUGUCCUGGGCGAGGAGGCAGAAGGGGGCCAUGGAGACGCCUUCCUCGUUGGGGGUGAGCCACUUGCACACCGGCUCGGCGCCGUACCGGCGUGAGAGGCUGCCGUCGCUGGACUCGGCCACCACGCACGACACGACCUUGUAUGCUGCCAGCACCCGCAGCAGCCGAUCCACCAUGGACGCCGCGUCCGGGUUGGCCUCGGCUUUGGACGGCAGCUUCGCCGCCACCUCCUCGGGGGUCAGCACCUUCCCACCGGCGCCCACCAGGGUCUCGAGCAGGCCCAGCUCGAUGGACGUCCGUAGCGUCAUAGGCAGGACCGCCGACGAAGCCAGCUGCAGCGCGAACAUUAACGCCUCUUCGUUGGCCAUGUGGACUGUGGAGGGCUAGCUUGCUGCUCGAGAUGGUACGUGUGUUAAUCCCAAGCUUGCUGGUGAACUGGUGGCUGGCUCGCACUUGGCUGAUGUUUGAUUCUAGGAUGGGAUGGAAUCGGGUACUACUUAUAGGAGUUUCGAGGUUUGUAAAACAAGUGGGGUUUGCACAGGUGUUUGGGGUGGGCAGCACGGCCUUCUUGAGCCGGCUUGUGGAUUAUAUUUUUAUAAUAAUAAGAGUUUGUACACAAAUACAAGUCAUACAUAUAACAAAGGGAAUCGUUUCCUACCCGCGCGCCGGCCGGUCGUCCCUCGCGCGCGCGGGUCCUUACAAUAUUUUUCCCACCCACGCGCUUCGCUGGUCAAUGGAUGCAACAUUUUUCGUUUAAAUAUGUUGCAACCAACGUCAUAUUUGCUGCAAGCGUUUUUUUUUUUUUUGCUUUUUUUGUCCAGUAAAAAAGCUGCACAUACGUUUGGUUGCAACUCCAGUUCGUCGGAUUUUUCGUUUACAAUCGAUGUUUUUUUACUUUUGCUACAACCGGCAUCAUGUUUUGCUGCAACCGUUCACUAAAAAAGUUGCAUACACGUCACGUAAAUAUUUGUUACAACCGGCGUUUGACUUUUGCUACCACGUACCAUCAGCUUCGCUUUUUUGCUACGAUCACGUAGAUAAUUUUUUUGCUACAAUUUUUGUUUUUUGUUGCAACCAUUGAAAAAAUUGCUGCAUAGCAUCGAAAAUUUGCUUGCAUGCGGAUCCAACGGUGCGGACGACGCGGGGUUGGUGGAUCCUGCGGCUCGCGCGUUCGGCCGGCGCGUCGGCGCAGAUCAGUCCCCCUAUACCAAAAGCUAUACACAAUGUGUUAACACCCUCACUUCCGCUUCGCUUUCGCGGGCGGCUUGGGACAAACCCUAACCGCAACCGACAGCCACCCCACCUACCCUCCUCCCGCUUCCGCCGGAGGGUGUACGUGUCAAAGCCCUACGUCGUUCCCUCCUCUUGUCCAAACGUGGCGGCGCGGGACGCUGGCUGGCCCCUAUGGGCUCGCAUACGGUACGGUGGCGUGCACCGGCAGUGGUGGCGUAGUGCGCCGCGUAGACUGUGCACCGGCGUGGACAACUGGGUCAACCAAGGAUCUAACGCCGCUUCGCCCCGGGGAGCUCCAGAUUUCACUCCGUUCGGACGACAACAGCUCGUUCCCUUGCCCAUUCACAUGGCCGCAACCUGAGGCUUGUGGCACAGGCUGGUGACGUGGUCAGCAUUGCUUGGUGGGUCGACCGUCGCGGUGACCUUGGUGGCGGACAGGGAGGUGUGCUAUCCAGGGAGAGCAGGAAGAGGACGGGGAGGAGAGCGACUCCUCACGAACAAGGAAGAGGGCGACGUCCAAAGUCGCCGAGGGAGAUCUACCUCCCACUGCCCCUAAAAGGCAAUGCAUGGCCAAGAUGGCCCUGUUUGACCGUGGCUCUCACUCCACCGUGGAUUCUGAGGCUUUUGAAAUGGUUCCUCGAAGAAAACCCUAGGGUCAAGCCCGCGGCCCAAAACUAUGAAUCCGAAGACUAUCGUUCUUCCGUAUUGAAGUUUACUAUUGACCAUAUGCAUACCUUUCAUAUUGUAGCCCAGCUCGUAAACUCCCCACUCACCAGGCCUGGGAAGGGAUUCCCCGCCAGUCGAACUGGAGGAGAGCGAGACCUCAUCACACAAUACACUUCCCCUGGUUGCCGAGGAGGCCAGAGAGGUUCUAUCCCGAAGGACCCCUCCUGAGACAAACACGGGGGGCGGGGGUGAUGAUAUUAUGGCCGAGGUUAACACCUCAAUCGUCGAAGAGAAGGAGGGUGAAUCUCUUGUGGCAAACAAAGAGGGGAGCCUAGUCAGUCUGAGCUCUGUCCGAAGAUAGUUCUGGAGACCCCGAAGCCUCCGGAGUAACCUAUUCCGGCUACUUCAAAAGGGGAAACCGAAGUGCUACCACCGGAGCCACCCGCAGCAGAGAGGGCCAUAACCGGGUGGUCAGCCGUGAUUGGGGAGGCUUUAAAUGACUCCUCACUACUAGGGAAAACCCUAGCAGUUCCAUGGUUUAGAAGCCUAAUAGUAACGCGAGCAGCUGUGCUACUGCUAUGGCACUACAUCUAACAUUUAGCAGUAGCUAGGGCAACCAGCGCUAUUAGAAACUGGGUUAGCAGUAGCGAGCUUUCGUAACAAGCGCUACUACUAUCCUGCAAUAGUAGUUGCGUGCUCUUAGAAGCCGCACAACUACUAAACGGGCGUAUUUCUUUUUCUACAUUUGUAUUGUAUUUAUACACAGUUAUACUAAUUAAUAUACAACAUUCAUAAUAAUUGUGCAAAGAGCAAUAUUUAGAUUAAAGUGGAUGGGUGCAAGUGAUUAAGUUGGGUUAGAGGGAAAAUAUGAUGUUGCGAAUCGUAACAUCAUAUUUUCCUCUAAUUCAACUUGAUCACUUGCAUCCAUCCACUUUAAUCUAAUGUGUGCCAUAUAACUUAUCAUCCUCUUAAUCAUCGAACAACUCAUCAUCCUCUUAAUCAUCUAAGAACUCAUCAUCCUUUCAAUCAUCUAACAACUUAUCAUCAUCUUAAUCAUCUAACAAUUUAUGAUCAUCUAAUCAUAUUAUGUCAUAAAUUAAAAAUGGUCAUCUAUCUUGUCUAGCACGUAUUAUACUCUCAUAGCUAGAACCUACUACUCUCUACUAGGUAACAUAGAGUAAAAAAGGUAAGCUCGACUCUGUCCAUUGUGAAGAAUAGAGAUCCACAUGUGGCAUGCGCAAAUCCUUUGCGUCUACGCCAAGUAGUUGUCGACGGCUUUUCAUUAAUUUGUCAAAUCCUUUAAGUUUUAGGCUUCCAUCCCUUCUAGAAAGCGAGUAUGCAUUGUGGAAACAUAUAGGACAACAUGGCUGUAAGUUGAUAACAUUUAAAUGACGACCUUCUAUAGUCAUCAGUAGUAAAAAAUAACCUUACCAUGCUAUCUAUAUGGAAAUUAUUAGGGUUCAAAUCGUGCACUAGUGGCACGUAUUCAGAAUAACUUUUACCAAUAUCUUCAUAAUUGUUCGUAUAAUCAUCAACAUCAGCAAUAAAUGUGAUUAGAUGGUUUUUCUCCAACCAAGUUAGAUCGGAGCCAGGACUGUAGUACGUCCUGUCUACUGUCUUUCGAGUUUUUUUAAGAAGAGAAAUAAGCUGUCAAUUAAAAAUAAUCAAGUUAAGUAUGGAUGAACACCAACUAUUUUUAAAUAAACAAUGCAAAUCACUUAACAAAUAUGGUUGUCAAACUCACAUUGAGGUAAAACUGGAAAUAUUUUGACAUCCGCCCAAAUGUCGAUAGUACCUUAUGCUUUGCCUCAAUGCCAUCUUCAAUGCCAUCUUCAGGACAAAUAUCGAAUAUUAUUUUCAUAUCCUCCUGAAAUCCAUAUGCUUUCCUUACUGCUUCCCAAGUUGAGCAACCGAAAUGCGAGUGAUUAAUUGCAUUGUAUAGUGUAACCAGAAAUUUGAAACCAUGUUUAGUCCUUAGGUGAGCUUUCGUUGUCUUCAUAUUAUCUAUUUCUUAGAAAACGAGCUUCUCCAAGACAUACCGUCUUGCAUGGCAUGGGAUGCAAAGAAACACAAAGCAAAGAAGCAAAAAUAGUGGUCAUCGUUGCAUACCGUAAAAACAUCAAAAGUCUGGUUAAGUUUGAUGGUGAAGAACGUGCCGUUUGACAGGCGAGUCUUGUCCCACAUACCCCAAUCUUCGCUGCAAUAAUCUCACUUAGGGGUCCUCUCGUCCUCAGACGACAUUUCCUGUGUUCAUGCUUCAAAUAUUAAAAAUCUACCACAACUAUUGGUUUAUACGAAAAAUCAGCAUGGGUUGAGUUUCGGUCUGUCGAGGCUUCGUUGAAACUCUCAUAUCUCAUAUUGUAUAUGGUGCACACUCUCUCACACUGAUAUGAUGGUGUAUGUCAGUGAACACUCCCUCACACUAUCUCUAGCACACGGGAACGAGAGAGGAAGAGGCCCCCACGACAAUAGUUAGGAUUCUUCUUCUUAUAUUUCAACCAUAUGUUUUGAUCGCACCUUAUCUUCUCUCCUUGCGCAUUGUAUCGAGGUAUAUAUCGCAAGAAGAAAAGAAGAAGAAGCGACCCUCACGGCAACAGUCGGUAUUCCUCCAUCAAUAACAUACUGAAAGUGACACAAGGAGCUCCGACAGACUCAACGUUAACACUAUAAGCAUUAGUCAUCCAAGAGGAAAAUGACUAUAACAACCCUAUAAGCAUUUGUCGAAAUAACAUCUAGUUCCUAUUCUGAAAAAAUUUCGGCACAACCUUUCUAAAAACAGAACAUUUCGAGUGCCUGAAAUUUGCCGGAACGGAAAUGAAUCAACAUUCUGGAAAAACAUAGGGCACUCGGAGGUUUCAAUUUCAUGUUCAUUUUCAUUUUCAUUUUUUCACAUGUUCAAACCAGUCGGAAAGACAACCCAAACCAUCAUUGUUUAAAAUUACAUUCCAUUCUACUACUAGUUAAAUCAAACUGUCGAAUACAUUUUUCUACCAACUAAAAUUUUAACUAAUUGAGUAAAUUAUAAACUAUAAACUAGAAAAUAUUACUACAUCUACAUCUCCUACUACAUAUACUAUACUAAAAGCAAGAAACUAGAAACUAAAAAAUCCUAUACCAAAAAUAUUACUUAAUUAGGAGAGAGGAGGUGGGAGGAGUGGGGAAUGAAGAGGAGGAGGAGGAGGGCAGCAGGAGGAGGGAGAGAGGAUGGCAUAUAAGGAGGAGGGCGGUCGGAGGAGGAGGGAGGAGGAUGGUCAGAGGAGGAGGGGAGGAGGGCUGUGGGAGGAAGGGGGGGGGGGGNNNNNNNNNNNNNNNNNNNNNNNNNNNNNNNNNNNNNNNNNNNNNNNNNNNNNNNNNNNNNNNNNNNNNNNNNNNNNNNNNNNNNNNNNNNNNNNNNNNNNNNNNNNNNNNNNNNNNNNNNNNNNNNNNNNNNNNNNNNNNNNNNNNNNNNNNNNNNNNNNNNNNNNNNNNNNNNNNNNNNNNNNNNNNNNNNNNNNNNNNNNNNNNNNNNNNNNNNNNNNNNNNNNNNNNNNNNNNNNNNNNNNNNNNNNNNNNNNNNNNNNNNNNNNNNNNNNNNNNNNNNNNNNNNNNNNNNNNNNNNNNNNNNNNNNNNNNNNNNNNNNNNNNNNNNNNNNNNNNNNNNNNNNNNNNNNNNNNNGGGGGGGGGGGGUAGGAGAUGAUAUGUCCAUUUUGCAUCAUGCUUUUAUAUUGAUAUUUAUCGUAUUAUGGAUUGUUAUUACACAUUAUGAUACAAUACUUAUGCCUUUUCUCUCUUAUUUUAUAAGGUUUACAUGAAGAGGGAGAAUGCCGACAGCUGGAAUUCUGGGCUGAAAAAGGAGCAAGUUUGAGAUACCUAUUCUGCACAACUCCAAAAGCCAUGAAAAUCAGCGAGGAAUUAUUUUGGAAUAUAUAUAAAAUACUGGGCAGAAUAAAUACUGGAGGUGAGCCACUAGGAGGUCACGAGCCUGCCAAGCGAGCAUGGGUGGCUCGUGGGCCCCGUGUUACCCCUCCGGCUCCCAUCUUCUGCUAUAUAGAGGGUUUCGUCCCAGAAGAAAAUCAUGAGAGAGCUUUCGGGAAGAAAUGCCGCCGCCAUGAGGCGGAACUUGAGCAGAACCAAUCUAGAGCUCCGACAGGGCCCUCCUGUCGGGGAAACUUCCCUCCGGGAGGGGGAAAUCGUCGCNNNNNNNNNNNNNNNNNNNNNNNNNNNNNNNNNNNNNNNNNNNNNNNNNNNNNNNNNNNNNNNNNNNNNNNNNNNNNNNNNNNNNNNNNNNNNNNNNNNNNNNNNNNNNNNNNNNNNNNNNNNNNNNNNNNNNNNNNNNNNNNNNNNNNNNNNNNNNNNNNNNNNNNNNNNNNNNNNNNNNNNNNNNNNNNNNNNNNNNNNNNNNNNNNNNNNNNNNNNNNNNNNNNNNNNNNNNNNNNNNNNNNNNNNNNNNNNNNNNNNNNNNNNNNNNNNNNNNNNNNNNNNNNNNNNNNNNNNNNNNNNNNNNNNNNNNNNNNNNNNNNNNNNNNNNNNNNNNNNNNNNNNNNNNNNNNNNNNNNNNNNNNNNNNNNNNNNNNNNNNNNNACAUCUUCAUCAGCACCAACUCAUCUCCAAACUCUAGUUCAUCUCUUGUAUCCAAUCUUCGUCUCGCGACUUCGAUUGGUACUUGUAAGGUUGCCAGUAGUGUUAAUUACUCCUUGUAGUUGAUGCUAGUUGGAUUACUCGGUGGAAGAUCAUAUGUUCAGAUCCUUAAUACUAUUCAAUAUCUCUCUGAUCAUGAACAUAAUUAUGCUUUGUGAAUAGUUACGUUUGUUCCCGAGGACAUGGGAUAAGUCNUAUUCGUUCGAUAUUUUGAUGCGUUGUAUGUUGUCUUUCCUCUAGUGGUGUUAUGUGAACAUCGACUACAUGACACUUCACCAUUAUUUGGGCCUAGACGAAGGCAUUGGGAAGUAAUAAGUAGAUGAUGGGUUGCUAGAGUGACAGAAGCUUAAACCCUAGUUUAUGCGUCGCUUCGUAAGGGGCUUAUUUGGAUCCACCAGUUUAAUGCUAUGGUUAGACUUUGUCUUAAUUCUUCUUUCGUAGUUGCAGAUGCUUGCGAGAGGGAUUAAUCAUAAGUGGGAUGUUUGUCCAAGUAAGGACAGCACCCAAGCACCGGUCCACCCACAUAUCAAACUAUCAAAGUAGCGAACGCGAAUCAUAUGAACAUGAUGAAAACUAGCUUGACAGAAACUCCCAUGUGUCCUCGGGAGCGCUUUACUUUAUAUAAGAGUUCGUCCAGGCUUGUCCCUUGCUACAAAAGGGAUUGGGCCAUCUUGCUGCACCUUUGUUACUAUUGUUACUUUCUACCCGUUACGAAUUAUCUUAUCACACAAUUAUCUGUUACCGAUAAUUUCAGUGCCUGCAGAGAAUACCUUGCUGAAAACCACUUGUCAUUUCCUUCUGCUCCUCGUUGGGUUCGACACUCUUACUUAUCAAAAGGACUGUGAUAUAUAUAUCCCCUACACUUGUGGGUCAUCAGGAGAGAUUAGGUAGGAGAGAGUAGGUAGGAGAGAGGAUUGAGGAGAGAGGAGGGCAGCGAGAGGAGGAGGGAGGGAGACACCUGACGAUGGCGGCGGUGGGAGGGUGGUGGCGGUAGGCGAGGGCGACGAUAGCGGCGAAGGGGUGUGGCAAGAGGGUGGGAGGGGAGUGGAGAAACGGGUGCGCGGGGGUGAAGAUAAGGUGACAUUAGUAGUAGUGCGGGUUGUGUAAGACGCUACUCCUAAGCACUAUAGCAGUAGCACGUGGCUGCUGCCCAGCGCUACUGCUAGGGGCAGCCCCGGUGGGUGAAGAUGUGAUUGAUGUCAACUAUACAACUUUAUUCUUGUAGACUCAUGUUGGGCCUCCAAGCGCAGAGUUUUGUAGGACAAUACUAAUUUCCCCUCAAGUGCACGACCUAAGGUUUAUCAAUCCGUGAGUGGAGUAGAAUGAAGAUGGUAUCUCUCGAACAACACUGCAACCAAAUAAUAAAAAUUCUCUUGUGUACCUAAUGCACCAAAUAUAAUGGUAAUUUGUAUAGGUUCAUUAGUUCGGCGAAGAAAUGCUGAUACAAGUGUAGUAAUGAUAGUAGAUAUUGAUUUUUAUAGUAGUGACAAUAAAAAACAGCAAGGUAAUGAGUAACAAAAGUGAGCACAAAUGAUAUUGCAAUGCUUGAAAUUGAGGCCUAGGGUCCGUACUUUCGCUAGUGAAAUCUCUCAACAAUGCUAGUGAAAUAUCUAAGCAAGGUAAUAUAACUGAAAUAUAUAACAAUCCCUCAACAUGCGAUAAAGAAUCACUCCAAAGUUCCUAUCUAGCGGAGAAGAUAAGAAUAAAUUGUUUGUAGGGUACGUAACCACCUCAAAGUUAUUUUUUCCGAUCAAUCUUUCCAAGAGUUCGUACUAAAUUGACAAGUUAUCCUUUCCGAUCGAUCUAUCCAAGAGUUCAUACUAAAAUAACACCAUAAUAAAUUCAGAUUCAUAAUACUGAAUCAAAAACAAAAAGAACCUCAAAGAGUGCCCCAAGAUUUCUACCAGAGAAACAAAGAGGAGAACGUGCAUCAACCCCUAUGCAUAGAUUACCCCAAUAUCAACUCGGGAAUCCGUGAGUUGAGUGCCAAAACAUAUAUCAAGUGAACCAAUAUGAUACCCCAUUGUCACCAUGGUAUUCAUACCAAGACAUAAAUCAAGUGCUCUCAAAUCCAUAAAAGUAUUUGAUGCGAUAAAACAAAAUCUCAAAGGGAAAACUGAAUUCAUCGCAACAAGAUAGAGAGGAGAAACACCAUAUGAUCCAACUAUAUUAACAAAGCCCCGAUACAUCAAGAUCAUGCCAUCUCAAGAACACGAGAGAGAGAGAGAGAGAGAGAGAGAGAGAGGGAGAGAGAGAUUAAACACAUAGCAACUGCUAUAAUCCCUCAGCCCCGAGGGUGGACUAGUCCCUCCUUAUCAUGUUGGCCAUAGGGAUGAUGAAGAUGGCCUCCGUAGAUGAUCUCCCCCUUCGGCAGAGUGCCGAAAUGGGCUCCUGUUUGGUUUUUCAUGGCUACAGAGGCUUGCGGUGGCGGAACUUCUAGUCUAUGGUUAUUUCCGGGGGUUUCUGUAUUUAUAGGAUUUUUGGCGUCGGUCUCACGUCUAGAUGGGCUUCUAGUGUCCCAAUAGGCACUAGGGUGCGCCAGGGGGGCUAGCGUGCCCAGGUGGUUAGUGGCCACCUCACUUACCUUUUGGUCCUCCCAUGAAGCUUCUAGUGCCUCUUUUGUCCCAAAAAAUCAUCAAAAAGUUUCGUUGCAUUUGGAGAAUUUUUAUUUGUGCAUAAAAAACAACACUACUGUAGUUCUGCUGAACAACGGUAGUCCGGGUUAGUUCCAUGCAAAUCAUACAAAAACCAUGUAAAAUUGUUGUAAACAUGGCAUGAAUACUUCAUAAGUUACAGAUACAUUGGAGACGUAUCAGCAUCCACUACUGGAAUCGGGUAUUUUGCCAUCAGGUUGUUCUUUUCCAUCAGCUGGCUGAAGGCAAAGAGGGUCUUUGCCGUCAAGUGCAAAAAACCAAACGAAAAAGUGAGCUCUUUGCCGUCUGCCAGCUCACGGCAAAGAGACGAAAGGCAAACAACAAAGAGCUGACUGAUGGCUGAUACGUCUCCAAUGUAUUUAUAAUUUUUGAUUGUUCCAUGCUAUUAUAUUAUCUGUUUUGGAUAUUUUAUAUGCAUUAAUAUGCUAUUUUAUAUUAUUUUUGGGACUAACCUAUUAAUCUAGAGCCUAGUGCCAAUUUCUGUUUUUUCUUGUUUUUGAGUAUUGCAGAUAAGGAAUACUAAACGGAGUCCAAACGGAAUAAAAUCUAUGGAACGAUUUUUCUUGGACCAGAAGAAACCCAGAAUACUUGGAGUAGGGGGCACGACACUUGCCGGUAGGCCACAAGCCUGUAGGGAGCGCCCCUGGCUGGUGGGUCCCCUACAGGUCUCCUAACCCUAUUCUUUGGCCUAUAAAUUCCCAAAUAUUCCCCCAUCGCUAAAGGGAUCCAUGAAAAUACUUUUCCACCGCCGAGAGACGUUGUUCCCAUUAGAUCCAAUCUUGGAUCCUUUUCCGGUAACCUGCCAGAGAAGGAAUUGACCACAGAGGGCAUCUACAUCAACUCCAUUGCCCCUCCGAUGAUGCGUGAGUAAUUCACCACAAACCUACGGGUCCAUAGCUAGUAGCUAGAUGGCUUCUUCUCUCUCUUUGAUCUUCAAUACCAUUUUCUUCAUGAUCUUCAUGGAGAUCUAUCUGAUGUAAUACUCUUUUGCGGUGUCUUUGUCGAGAUCCGAUGAAUUGUGAGUUUAUGUUCAGAUUAUCUAUAAAUAUAAUUUGAAUCUCUUCUGAGUUCUUAUAUGCAUGAUUUCAUAUCUUAGCAAGUCUCUUCGAGUUAUUGGUUUGGUUUGGCCAACUAGAUUGGUAAUUCUGGCAAUGGGAGAAGUGCUUAGUUUUGGGUUCAAUCUUGCGGUGUCCUCACCGAGUGACAUAGUAGGGGUAGCGAGGCACGUAUUGUAUUUUUGCCAUCGAGGAUAAAAAUAUAGGGUUUUCAUCAUAUUUCUUGAGUUUAUCCCUCUACAUCAUGUCAUCUUACUUAAUGCGUUAUUCUGUUCUUCAUGAACUUAAUACUAUAGAUGCAGGUAGGAGUCCGUCGAUGUGUGGUGUAAUAGUAGUAGAUGCAGAAUCGUUUCGGUCUACUUGACAGGGACGUGAUGCCUAUAUGCAUAAUCAUUGCCUCAGAUAUCUUCAUAAUUAUCCGUUUUUCUAUCAAUUGCUCGACAGUAAUUUGUUCACCCACCAUAUUAUUUCCAUUUAUGAGAGAAGCCUCUAGUGAAACCUAUGGCCCCUGGGUCUAUUUUCCAUAUUAUACUUUCAGAUCUAUAAACCAAAAAUACCAAAAAUAUCUUGCUAUAAUUUAUUUACUUUUGUUUCUGUAAUCUUUUAUAUCUAUCUCUAUCAGAUCUCAUCCUUGCAAAUAACUCUGAAGGGAUUGACAACUCCUUUUUAGCGUUUGGUGCAAGUGUUUGAUUGUUUGCGUAGGUACUACGAUUGGGGCCUUGCUUAUUCCUCCUACUGGAUUGAUACCUUGGUUCUCAACAAACUGAGGAAAAUACUUAUCUACUUUGUUGCUUCGCCCUUUCCUCUUCAAGGGAAAUCAACGCAAGCUCAAGAAGUAGCAAGAAGGAUUUCUGGCGCCAUUGCCGGGGAGGAUACAUAGCAAGAUCAAGCCUACCAAGGACCCAUCACAAACUCAUCACUUGCAAUUACUUUAUUUGCCAUUUGCCUCUCGUUUUCCUCUCCCCCACUUCUAAAACGAUUUUCAGAAAACACCAAAAAUAUUUGCCUUUUUAUUCGCCCUUCUUCCGCUCAUCUUUUUCGUUUGUUCAUUUCCAUUGCUCAACCCAAAAGUUUUGAUCCGUAUAUUAAGAAGCUGGAAGAUACUAAGAAUAAUGCUAAGGGGUUCAUGUCGUUCCAAUUUGACCAUAAUAGUUUCUUUAGGAACGAGCUUAAAGAACAAAGGUUUAUGCUUGAAUAUAUGAAUAAAGAACUUGAUGAUAUGGCCAAGCAAUUUUGUGGUUUUAAAUUUCAGUUUGCUCACCUCGAAAAUUUAGUAUGCCAAAUUUGUGAUAAACAAGCCACCUUAGUUAAUAAAAUGGCCGCCAAGCCAGAAUCUUUAAGCAUUGAUGAAGAACUUAAAGUGAUUGAUGUCAAACCUACUGAAUCUUUGUUUUCUAGUGUAAAUAUUCAAAAAGAUGGGACUCGAGAUGAAUCAACUUUAGUUAAAAGGCGUCCCAGUGAUUUGGAGUUUAUAAAUCUUAAUGCUAAGAUAGAUAAAAGUGGGAUUAAAGAGGUCAAAACUUUAAAUAGCAAUGAACCCACUCUUUUGGCUUUCAAGGACUUUAAUUAUGAUAGUUGUUCUUUGAUUGAUUGUGUUUCCUUGUUGCAAUCCAUGUUGAAUUGUCGGCAUGCUUAUAAUCAAAAUAAAGCUUUUACUAAACAUAUUAUUGAUGCUAUGAUGAAAUCUUUUGAAGAAAAACUUGAGUUGGAGGUUUCUAUACCUAGAAAGCUUUAUGAUGAGUGGGAACCUACUAUUAAGAUUAAAAUUAAAGAUUAUGAGUGCCAUGAUUUGUGUGAUUUGGGUGCUAGUGUUUCUACGAUUCCGUGAAUUUGAUGAUUGCUCCUUACAUUUGCAUCUAGCAGAUUCUACAAUUAAGAAACCUACGGGAAGGAUUAAUGUUUUUCUUAUUGUUUCAAAUAGGAAUUAUGUGCCCGUCGAUUUCAUCGUUCUUGAUAUAGAUUGCAAUCCUACAUGUCCUAUUAUUCUUCGUAGACCUUUUCCUUAGAAUGAUUGGUGCAAUUAUUGAUAUGAAAGAAGGAAAUAUUAGAUUCCAAUUUCCAUUAACGAAAGGAUGGAGCACUUUCCUACAAAGAAAAUAAGAUUACCUUAUGAAUCUAUUAUGAGGGCUACUUAUGGAUUGCAUACCAAAGAUGACAAUACCUAUAUCUAUUGCAUUAUGCAUAGCUAGGGGCGUUAAACAAUAGCGCUUGUUGGGAGGCAACCCAAUUUUAUUUUUAUGCUUUUGUUUUUGCUUAUGUUUUUGAGUGCUGCACACAUUAUUACCUGUGUAAUAAUUGUGUUUUCUUGUUUUAGUUAGUGUUUGAGCCAAGUAAGACCUUUGGGAUGGUCUACAGUGUUUCAAGUUGAUUUUGCUGAAAAACAUAAACUUUUGCUCUCAGUCCAGGAAUUUUGUAAAUUCACUAAAAUGUGCUUUUGAUCUGAAUUUUUUACACAAGAUUCAUUUACAAAUUUCCUAGAGUUUAAUAAUUAUUCAGAAUUCGUGGAGUUACAGAAGUAUUCGAAGUAAACAGAUUGCUACAGAAUGUUCUAUUUUUGACAGAUUCUGUUUUCUUUGUGUUGUUUGCUUAUUUUGAUGAAUCUAUGGGUUGUAUGGGGGGGUCUGAACCAUGAAGAAGUUAGAAUACAAUAAAUAUUACAUCAAUAUAAAUAAAGAAUGAGUUCACAACAGUACCUAAAUUGGUGAUUUAUCACUAGUAGGAGAAAGGCUACCAGUAGCGCUGGUUUGUCUCUUACUAGUAGCGAUGGUGCCCGUGCUACUGCAAUCGCGAUACAGCUAAUCUGUUAGCAGUAGUGCUAUUUUAUCCAACGCUACUGGUAUACACUAAUAUUCCAACGCUACUGCUAAUGUUACUGCUUUCAAUAUUUAAUUCUCGUCGUAUCAGCAACGCCAUUAUACAGGUUUUCAUACAGUGUCAUCAUAAUACAUCAUUGUCAUAUAACAACUCAUCAUCAUCAUUUUCGUCCAUGAUACAUCAUUUUUGUCCAUGAUACAUCACUAAUUGUUCUUAAUACCUAGGACCUACCCCUGCUGCUCUCUCUUAGGUAAAAUGGCAUAAAACAUGUGUAGAUGCACUCAUGUGCAAUACAGGAUAUCUUGGUCGUAAGCUAACCAUUGUAAUGCAACCUGUAGACUCGAUCCAACGAGGCACAACAGUCAUCGGGAGUCCCUAUUCAAUACAUAGAUAUAACAUACAUAGUAAUGGAGUUUAGCUUAAAAAAUAAUGUAUGCAAAAGAUGCACACAGGACAAAUAGUAAAUAUCUUACCAUCUUUCCUAAAUAGAUGUGGCCGUAGUUCAAUACGCACACUAGUAUCGCACGUUUUGAGUACUAAUAUCUUGAAGUCUAGGAAAAUAACCUGUCUUGACAGUAUCAUGGAUCCUCAAGCUAUGAAACAUAAUGACCUAUCUCCUCGCAGUUUUGUUCAGCCCCGGGACAGUAGUAGGUGAUGUCUACCAAGCGUUGGACAUGUUUGCUUGAAUGAAAAUAAGUUGUCAAUAGAAAUUAGUUGUCAACUAUAUUUAAAUAAAUAAUAUAAAUUACUUAAUAAAUAUGGUUGAGGAACUAUUACUCAAUAUGCAACGGGUUGACUUUAGGUCUGUCGAGUCUUCCUUCUUAAGCUCUUAUCUUACGUAUAUGGUGGAGAGUCCCUCACCGAUUUUUCGACCGUCGAUGAUGGUCGCUACUCCUACUUCCCCUAGUGCAUAAUAAAUAUCAAGCACAAGGAGAAGAAGGAGAAGCGAUCCCAUGAAAACAAUCGGCAUUCUUCUUCUCUCAUAUAUGGUGGACACUCCCUCACUGGUUUUUCGACCGUCGAUGAUGGUUGCUACUUCUUCUUCCCCUUAUGGCCCCUCUACGUAUUUGUGCAUGCCCUAAAUAAUAGUUUCACUUUAUUAUAAUAAACAUGCUCAUCAUAGCGUAUGCAUAAAGUAUCAUGUCAUAUAACUCAUCAUCAUCUUACGUACUCAUCUAACAACUCAUCAAACGACGCUUCAACCUCAUCUGCGACAAUAUCGAAGGAGAGGACGUAAAUAUUUGCAAAGUGCACAUGGAUUUGAAUAUUGCAGAUCCGCUGAUUAACCUCUUCCACGAGCGAAGCAUGAUCAACAGCAGAACUGUACGGGUGUUUGAUUCAUUACAAUGUAAAUCACAUAACGAUGUGAGACUAAAUUAUUGACUCUAGUGCAAGUGGGAGACUGUUGUAAAUAUGCCCUAGAGGCAAUAAUAAAGUAGUUAUUAUUAUAUUUCCUAUUUCAAGAUAAUCAUUUAUUAUCCAUGCUAUAAUUGUAUUGAAUGGAAACAUAAAUGCAUGUGUGGAUAUAUAGACAAAACUAUGUCCCUAGUGAGCCUCUAGUUAACUAGCCUGUUGAUCAAGGAUGGUUAAGGUUUCCUAACUAUAGAGAAGUGUUGUCGCUUGAUGACGGGAUCACGUCAUUGGGAAAAUGAUGUGAUGGACAAGACCCAAACUAUAAACAUAACAUGUGAUCGUGUCAUUUUGUUGCUAUUGUUUUUUGCAUGUCAAGUAUUCAUUCCUAUGACCAUGAGAUCAUGUAACUCACUGACACCGAAGCAAUGCCUUGUGUGUAUCAAACAUCGCAACGUUACUGGGUGACUAUAAAGGUACUCUACAGGCAUCUCCGAAGGUGUCCGUUGAGUUAGCAUGGAUCAAGAUUGUGAUUUGUCACUCCAUGUACGGAGAGGUAUCUCGGGGCCCACUCGGUAAUACAAAUCACAUACAAGCCUUGCAAGCAAUGUGACUAAAGAGUUAGUCACGGGAUCUUGUAUUACGGAACGAGUAAAGAGNNCUGCCGGUAACGAGGUUGAAAUAGGUAUAGAGAUACCGACGAUCAAAUCUCGGGCAAGUAACAUACCGAAGGACAAAGGGAAUGGUAUACGGGAUUAUAUGAAUCCUUGGCAUAGAGGUUCAACCGAUAAGAUCUUCGUAGAAUAUGUAGGAUCCAAUAUGGACAUCCAGGUCCCGCUAUUGGAUAUUGACCGGGGAGUGUCUCAGGUCAUGUCUGCAUAGUUCUCGAACCCGCAGGGUUUGCACACUUAAGGUUCGGUGACAUUUCGGUAUAGUUGAGUUAUAGGUGCUGGUGACCGAAGUUUUGUUCGGAGUCCCGGAUGAGAUCCCAGAUGUCACGAGGGUUUUCAAAAUGGUCCGGAAAUGAAGAUUGAUAUAUAGGAAGUUCGUAUUUGGAUUCCGGAAGAAUUUCAGGCAUUGCCGGCAGUGUACCGGGAGUGACGAACGUGUACCGGGGGCCCACCAGGUGGGCCCACCAUGCCCCAAGCGGUCCACAUGGGUUUAUUGGAUGCGCAAUAAGUCAUAAUGGGCUGACAAGUUAUCCAAGAAAAGCCCAUGAGGAAAAAAGUGAAAAAUCCAAAAGAGGUGGGAAAUUUAGGAAGGAGUCCUAAUCCAAUUGGGAUUGGAGGAGGACUCCUCCCUCCUCCACUUCGGCCAAAGCCAAGGAGGCUCCCUUGGGCCUCAAGGCUAGCCCCUCCCCUCCUCCUAUAUAUACUAGAGGUUUUAGGGUUUUUGAGACACAACUUUGCCACGUGCAACCCUAAACCUCUACUUCGUAGUUCUUCCUCUAGAUCGGAUUUCUCCGGUGCUUAGGCGAAACCCUGCAUGAAUAGAUCACCACCACCACCGGCGUGCCGUCACGCUGCCGGAGAACUCAUCUACUUACCCGUCUCUCUUGCUGGAUCAAGAAGGCGGAGAUCAUCAUCGAGCUGUACGUGUGCUGAACGCGGAGGUGUCGUCCAUUCGGUACUAGAUCGGGACGGAUCGUGGGACGGCGACGAUUUGGAUCGCGAAGCCGUGUUUCUUAUUGCUUCCUGCUUAGCGAUCUACAAGGGUAUGUAGAUCCAAUCUCCCUCUCGUAGAUGAUCAUCACCAUGAUAGGUCUUCGUGUGCGUAGGAAUUUUUUUGUUUUCCAUGCAAUGUUCCCCAACAGCGCCCGCCAUUCAUGGUCCAAGCUUGGCUAAGGGUUUCGAUUACUCUCGACACGAAAAAUGAGGAGGAAUUGUUAAUCUUGGAAAAGGGUAAUAUGUUGUGAUUGUUUCCUAUAUAAUUUUGCUUAUUUCUGCUUUCCUAUGCUUAUUAUAUGUUUAUCUCAUUCUUUUUCAGAACUCAUUGAAGAGUUUGGUAGUACAAAUUCAUCUAAGUCAAAGGCAAGCAGUAGCAAGUCUGUUUGCAAGCCAUCUUGUCCACUUCCAUCCUCCACUUAACGUUGGUGAGUGAGUUGCAAGUAAUUGUUUUGCUCUUGUUCAUGUUUUUUCGUUAUGUAUGAUUCAAAAGAAUGAAAGAUGCACACUAUACAGAUUCCGUUUUACAUAUAUGAAGUUCUUUUAAUUGAUUCAUGUAUACUAUACAGAACAUCACAGAUUUGCACAUGACCUGGCUGGCAGGAACUUGGGAGUUGGGAAGUUGGGAUGGUCAUGAUUCUUCGGACAAGUCAAGAUGUUCCUGUUCAUGAUGGCAAAAAGAGUCUUAUUUGUGGCUGCUCUUGAAGUGCACUUCAAUCUCCUGUGCGCUAUGUCUUAAAGUGUAAUAAUAUGAACAUGUCAGGUUGUGUUUGCUAGAACUUGGACUUUGGUGAAGUGUUGUGCUGGUACAUGGACUUUGAUUAUUAUUGAACUAUGUGUUGGUGCUGACUAUUAUUGGACUGCUAAGACUAUUAUUAUAUUGUAAGAUUGUCACUUAUUUGUUGUGGAUUUUGGAAGUUGAUUGGUUAUGCAUUUUGUGAGAUUAUCACUUAUUUGUUGUUACGAAAUCCUUCUAUAUGAUAUUAUGUGAAAAUUGACAAGUUGUGAAUAUGUUCUAUAUUGUGCCAUUUUUACAAUUUUGCGUCGUUAUGCUGUCAAAAUUUUCUUUAAAGCAUGCAUACUAAUAUGUUCUGGAAAGUGCAUUUUCUAAACCUAAACCAUACUUCGGUGAAAACCGAAAACCGAACCGAAUUCGGUUCGUUAAAUUUUGACUCUACAUUUGGUUUCCACUUUUGCAAACCGAAUUCACAAAUAAACCGAACAGCAGAAACCGAAAUUUCAGGUUCUACCGAAUGCCCAGGCCUACCCGCGCCUGUCCGCAAAAACGUUUUUCCACGAACCUUAAACGAAUUUUGUGGGUCAACGAUAUACGGGUCUGCUAGAGAUGCUCUAGCUGAUCAACUCCCAUCGACUUCAAAUCAUCCAUCCCCAGAUGACCCUGAAUAUUAGACCUAGCUGAACUUUUUGCCUCAGCAUGCAUAAAAUCCCAAUUGUUUUUAAGAUGGCAAACACAAUUUUACGUCGGUCCUGAUGGGCCGCCGUGCGACAAUUUCUUUGACAGGUUCCUUCAUGACAUGGUACUGUAUAUAUCGUUAAUUCGGCGAGAUCCUGGUGCAUCAAUGAAUUUCUAGGAGAGUGGUUCCUACAGUGAGUUGCUUUUAUAUUAUUUUAUGAACCGACGGGUGAGUUACUCAGACAUGGUUUGCAGCAAGUCCAUGAUUGAGAAAUGCUCACUGAUUCUUUGGUAGAGGGAUUAUGUUAAACUAUCGGGUAGUCCCAGUGUACUACAUGGCCGUCAGAUAUAGCUUGGUUUUCUAAAUAUAGUCUUAUAGAAAGAUCUGCAGGUUAUGAUGUAAUAUAGGAUUUCGUUUUUUCUUCUUCUAAUAAUGGGCUUCGAUCUUAGUGGCUUUCCUCCACUCGGGUUUAUCAGGCCACCUUGUAUUUUGACUCAAAGUUUGACUAUAAAUUAUGUAAAUGACAUCUAAUGAAAAUUAUAUUCUUGGGUUUGUAUUCAAAAGUAGUUUUCAAUGAUGCUAUUUUCGUUAGUGUUUUGUUACAUAUAUAAUUUGUAUUUUGUUUCGCAAUUGUAUGAUUAAACUUCGGUUCAAAAUGUAAGGUGGGCAAUAAACCUGGACGAAGGGAAUAUGUACUAUGUGAAUGUCCAUUUGUUAACAAAGUACAGACGCAAGCGCUCACAUACACACGCAUACACUCAUCUCUAUGAACGCACACACGCACACUGUACCAUUAUGAGCACCUUCAAAAGACUCAGACGACAUAUUAUCUUAAGAUUUUACUGUCCCUCUAACCAUCCAACCACAUGUUGAUUUACGUGAAUGUUCAUUUUUUUAAUCUUUGAAGAUGGUAUAUGCUCUGACAUCGAUCCGUUUUGUACUUCAUUUGUUAAUUAAUAAUUAAUAAUGACGUCGAUGUGGUGGUGAUACUUUGAUCUCUAAUCAGAAGAUUCGUUUAAGUUGAUGGCAUCGAUUUGUGGAGCGUGAUUGCCGCUACAGGCCUGUGAACCGGAUUCGUAUUUUUUUGAUACCCUUUAAUGAACCUGAGCAGUCCAUUCUCCUUAAUCUAAUGGUGUAGAUCCAUGUAUAGUGUUUAGAUUAACGAGCAGUGCACAAAUGAGAGGUGUCAAAAUCGUUCGCAGUAUACCAAUCUGCAAGGGCAAAAUUGUCAGACAAGACUAGUCCACGUUGGACCAAAUUAACAUUUAAUUUACUUAAUUUGGGCCGCAAUUUCAUUUUUCAUCAGAAGAAAGAGACCUUGCUUUGAAUGCUACACUAGCAUCCCUAGACCAUAAUUGGACAAAAGACGUAAUUUCCUCCAUUUAGAUGGUGUCGCACGCGAGCGCUCGAACAUCCAGUGUAAUUGAUGUUUCAUGUCAAGCUGCGGAGGGCGCCAUAGUCCCGGCGAACACGAAUCAUCUCACGUCACUGAACGGUGCAGAGGCAGAGAAUCAAUCUUCCUUUAUGGUUACGAGAGAAGUUAGAACCAUUGACCUAAUUACCCUUUAAACAAGUCCAUAAUACUUUAAAAAUCAAUGGUUAGAUGAGGCUUAUACUGCUCCUCUCCAAUAGCAGUAUACGGUACCGUAAAAAAGCACUUUUUUCACGUGUGCAAGUUGUUAGUACCCCGCAAGGGCUACUGUGCCGGAUUUUUUCACGAUUUUGAUUCAUGAGAUGAAAGUAUUGCACGAAAUGAACUCUGAUUGAAAUCAUUUCACGAUCUGACCUUUUUUGAAACGCCAGAGCGCGUGGCGUUGCAGACGCACAUAGAAACGCCAGUCUAAUGUGGCGUUGCAGACCCACUCAAACGCCAGUCUAAUGUGGCGUUGCAGGCCACGCGUGAAACGCCAUGGUCCAUGGCGUUUCAGCACUACACAUGUUGCUGGCAGCAUGCCGUGGGUUGGCUGGAUGUCGUCGCUGCGUUCCAUAGUGGGUCUGCAAAGCCAGCACUGUUGGCGUUUCACAAUGGGCCUGCAACGCCACAUUAGACUGGCGUUGCAAGAAAGAAAAAACGCCACGGUAGACAGGCGUGUCACUGUUGGGCAGCAACGCCAGCACUAUUGGCGUUUCACAGUGGGUCCGCAACGCCACUUUAGACUGGCAUUGCAAAAAAGAAAAAACGCCACGAUAGACAGGCGUGUCACUGUAGGACAGCAACGCCAUGGUAGACAGGCGUUGCAUAAUGGGGCACCAACGCCACGGCUUGUGACGUUUUUAAAAGGGUCAAAUCGUGAAAUGCUUUCAAAUCUGGUUCAUUUUGUGCUCAUGUUUAGAAAAAAAAGUUUAAAACAUUGAAAAAAUCCUACUGUGCCUGGACCGUGCAUGCAACAACAAAUAAAGUAAGGGCUACUGCCUAGGGGUAGCCAAUUAGUUUUCCCUUUGGAAUAACCGUCUGUUUAUUGGCUCAAUAACAUUUCUAGGAAUACUGAAACAAUCAGAAGGACAGUAACAUGACGCUGGUGCUUGCAUUUUUCUGAACUUAGUUCAUGUCUUUCAGUGAUGUGAUUUCAGUGAUAGGAGACAUUUCCGUUAACUAUGAUUGUGUCUGUGACGUCUUCACCAAUUUCAAGAUAAUAUGUUGUCUCGGUUUAUCAAAGAUGCUCAUAGGUUUGCGCAUCAAUUGUACUCUGUUAAAAAAGAAAUUACGCGUGGAUCACGCAUGUGAAUAGUUAAAUCCGGCUGAUUAAGCAGAUCGAUUUCUAGGGUAAUUUAAUAACGUAUGACCUGCUGGUGGUACUUUGAUCUUGUGGAUCUCCCUGUCAAUGAAAUUAUGUGCAUCUUAUUAUGUAACUGAUCAGGGUGGAUCAGACGUGCUUUAUCAAUACUCCUUUUUAGUAGAGAUGUCAUUGCACCGCAUACUCCAGUUGUGCGUGUGUCAGAAGAUUCGGCAAUAUUUGGAGAUGUUAUUAAUAAAGGUGUUAACUAAAUAAUGGCGUCGACGUGUUCGUGUCAGAAGAUUUGGUAAUAUUUGGAGAUGUUAUUAAUAAGGGAAACGCUGUCGUCCCACCGACGGAUCCUGAUUUCGCGUCCACCGUCUCCUUUGUUCGCCACGUGGCCGGGCGGACGAGCCGUGACGGGUCGAAGCCACUGAUCGAGGGAAGGUGCCCUUCCCAUAGAGCUCUAAAAUUGGAAAAAAGUCAAAAAAAUUUCAAUUUUUUCGUUUCCUGAAACAACUCCAUUGUUUCUGCAACUUGGAAGUAGUUGCAGAACGAGAGACCCAUGCAUGGCAACGACGGCUUCCACGGAAAGAGCUCGCCGGCCGCCCCGCCGCCGGCCGCCUCGCCGCCUAGAGCUCGCCGGCCGCCCCGCCGGCCGCCCCGUCGCCUAGAGCUCGCCGGCCGCCCCGCCGUCCGCCCCGCCGCCUAGGUAGUGGUUCUGCAACUUGAGCUUUGUUGCAAAUUUUCUUGAAACAUGACCCUUGUUGCAAAAAAUUCUCCCGCAAAAACGAAGAAAAAAAUCCUGCAACAAGCAAUUGUUUCUGAAACUCGACCGUUGUUUCAGGAAUUAACAGAUCCAAAGUUUAUUUUUUACAACAAAGCGAUUGUUUCUGCAACUCAAACGUCGUUUCAGAAAUUAAAUCAGGAGCGGAUAGGACGGCUAUGGACGAGAUCGAACGGCUGUGGAGGUGAUGGAUUUUUAGUAAAUAUCCACCAGUGGAUUGGUAGCAGCCCCCUAUUAAUAAAGGUGUUAACUAAAUAAUGGCGUCGACGUGUUCAUGUCAGAAGAUUUGGUAAUAUUUGGAGACUUGCCUUACGUUUUUAAUACUAUUUUUCUUGCCAAAUCUUUUACCACCGGGAGGAGAUGAUUGCCAGACUACACAUGACGGCACUCGAACAAUGCUGGGGUAAAACCAUGUGCUUCGUAUCCGGCUGAUUGAUCAGAUCGAUCUGCAGGGUUAAUUAAUGACGUUUGACGUGCCUUUUUAGAAGAGAUGGCAUCGAUUUGUACAGAGUGAUUGCGCCGCAUGCCCCAUUUGUGCGUGUGUCAGAAGAUUUGGUACACCAUUUGUUCGCUAAAUAGUGGCGUCGACGUGUUCGUGAUAUCUUGAUCUUCCAUACAUGUUUUUUUUUAAAGGAGGAUUACCUCCGGCCUCUGCAUCAGCACGAUGCAAACGGCCACUUUAUUAAUAAUAAGGCAAAUAAAUUGCGGUUCAAUAUAGUCUCCGACAAAAUAAAUCAAAAUGAAAGGUAAAUAUAAAAGUGCCACAACCGGUAAAAUAGGCCUAGAUGUCUACUCAUCUAUCUUAUUACUAGACUGCCAUCCAAACCGGUUGAAAAUAUCCCGCGCUACCGCCUCCCAUCGGGUAGACCCAGUAAUCAAAGGCUCCCUGGUUUUCGCAGGAGUGAGUAAUGACCAUGUAUGAAUCAAUGCCGCAUCUCUGUGUAGUACCUGCAAAAAAUGUAUGUUUGUAUGUCUGUCAAAAACCACAUCAUUUCUACAGUUCCAUAUGGCCUAAAAUAGUGCACAAACUCCAAUACGAAUGUGUCUAGCUAUAAUCUCAUCGACUCCAUCUAGCCACGUUCCAAAUAACAUGUCAAUACUGUCGGAGGUAUAAUAUUAAAAGCUAUACGAACCGUGUGCCAAAAAACUCUUACAAGUGGACAGUGAAGAAAGAGGUGUGAGAUGUUUUUCUCCUUAUCACAGAAGCACACCGAGUACUACCGAUCUCCCAUACAUGUGUCGAUGAGAUUUCCCUUACGUUUUUUAUGCUAUUUUUUUCUUGCCAAAUAUUUUGUCAGAAGAUUUGUAUCAGUAGAUGACACAGAUUUGUGCAACGUAAUUGCCGGUACAGAUCUGUCGAUUGGGAUUCGUAUCUUUUCCUCACGUGUGCAUGCUGUUGCGCCACAAGGGCUGCUGACAGCCAAUUAGUUUUCCUUUUGGGAUAGCCUACUCGAAUUUCAGGAUACUAAUAAGGCUGGUUGUAAUGAACAGUAUCAUAUAUUAGUAUCAUGCAUAUGAUAAUAGUGUAUGAUACCACAUCCGUAAUGUAUACUAUCAUAUGUUAGUAUUAUAGAUAAUUCAUUUAUUAUCAUGCAAGACACAUAUUAUCACAUCAUUUAAUAUGAUACGGUAUCAUAAUAUGGUAAUUAACCAUCUCUUUUUUUAUUUAAUUUUUUUUUAAAAGGAGGAACUUAGCCCCCGGCCUUUGCAUUAAUCGAUGCAUGCAGCCAUUUUAUUAAAAUAGGUUCAUAACAAAGUCUGAGAUCCACAAGUCUUUGAAGCAUAAUAAUGAAAACAAAGGUAAAAUGAAAAACAAACUCCCAUAGCCGGCGUAAUUACAAGUAGACUACGAUGCCUAUACAUCUAGUCUAUUAUUAGCACGUCAUCCAAAUCGGUUGAAGAUAGCCCGUGCGACCGUCUCGCAUCGGUUGCACCCAAUAUCCAUAAGAUCCCUGGAGUCCGCAUGACUGAGUAACGAGCACGUACGGAUCCAAGACGUUGCUCUGAAGAUAAUCUGUAAAAAGUUAUUGAAGUUCUUUCCAUUAAAAAUCAUAUCAUUCCUGGUGUUUCAUAUAGCCCAAAAUAAAGCACAGACCCCAAUUCUGAUAAUUUUUGAUAUUUGAACGUCCACUCCAUUGAGCCAUGUUGUAAAUAACGAACGAAUGCAUAAAGGAGGGGGAAUAUUAAAGGCUAUAUGAACAGUGCGACAUAACAGUUUUGCAAGAUUUCAGUCUAGAAAUAAGUGUCUUAUUGUUUCAUUGUUAUGACAAUAACAACAAUUAGGUCUCCCUCUCUAUCUUCUUUUUAUCAAGUUAUCUUUGGUUAAUACCACCCCUUUGUGUAUGAACCAUAUAAUUUUUUUAAUCCCGAGAGGCAUUUUGAUAUUCGAAAUAUGCACCGAUCUAGGUAGUGUUCCAGUGUUAAUGAGAUGCGUGUACAUGGACUUUACAAAGAAUACACAAUUCGCAGCUAAAGUCCAUCGAACACUAUCCGCCUGGUCAGAUAACUGUAUGGGCAUCAGUUUGCUGACCAGAUUUAACCAUUCAUUCCAGCGUUUUCCCAACAAAGCUCGCCUCAACUGUAUAUUAAGAGGUACCGAUUGUAGUACCGUGAACACAUAGGCAUGUUAACAUUGUGCAAUAUCAUAAAGCCUUGGAUAUUGUAGUGCUAAAGGCGUGUCCCCAAGCCAAAUAUCUUCCCAAAAUCUUGUUGAGGUACCAUCUCCACCCACAAAUUUGACCUCCUGAAAAAAAUCACCUUUAUCUUCAUUAACCCUUUGCAGAAAGGUGAGUCAUUUGGUCUAGAUGUAACCUGUGCUACAGUCUUGGAAUAUAAGUACUUAUUCCUUAAUAUUGAAACCCACAUCCCCUCGGUCUAUGUGGAUAUCCCGUAUAGCCAUUUGCUAAGUAGGCAUAUGUUCUUUAAUUCCAGAAUUUCUAUUCCUAAACCCCCUUGAUCCUUUGGUCUACAUAUAAUAUCCCAACGUGUCAAUUUGUAUUUCUUCUUAGCCUCAUCACUUUACCAGAAGAAACGAGAUCUGUAGAAAUCUAAUCUUUUUCAUACCCUACUGGGAAAGGAAGUAGGAACAUAGGUAGGCUUGUUAGUACCCCGCAAGGGUUACUGUUUAUUGGCUCAAUAACAUUUCUAGGAAUACUGAAACCAUCAAUUUCUUGAAUUUUCUUGAAUAUAACAUUGUCUAGUAACAUGACGCUGGUGCUUGCAAUUUCUUGAAUUUAUUUCAUGUCUUUCGAUGAUGUGUCUUCAGUGUGGUAGGAAGUUUUUCCAUUGAUUAUGAUUGUGUUUGUGACAUCUUCGUCAAUUUCAAGAUAAUAUGCUGCCUCAGUUUAUCGAAGAUGCUCAUAGGUUUGCGCAUCAAUUGUACUCUGGUAAAAAAGAAAUUACGCGUGGAUCACGCAUGUGAAUAGUUAAAUCCGGCUGAUUAAGCAGAUCAAUUUGCAGGGUUAUUUAAUAACGUAUGACGUGCUGGUGGUACUUUGGUCUUGUGGAUCUCCAUGUCAAUGAAAUUAUGUGCAUCUUAUUAUGUAACUGAUCAGGGUGGAUCAGACGUGCCUUUAUCAAUACUCCUUUUUAGUAGAGAUGUCAUUGCACCGCAUACUCCAUUUGUGCGCGUGUCAGAAGAUUUGGUAAUACUUGGAGAUGUUAUUAAUAAAGGUGUUAACUAAAUAAUGGCGUCGACGUGGUCGUGUCAGAAGAUUUGGUAAUAUUUGGAGACUUGCCUUACGGUUUUAAUACUAUGUUUUUUUAAAGAGAAGGAUGUUAAACCCCCGGCCUCUGCAUCAAUCGAUGCAUGCAGCCAUUUUAUUAAUUAUUUUACAAAGGUCUAACAAAAGUAUACAUCAAUCCACCCAAAGCCACCACUCACCUACAAACUCGAUAAUGUGGAGUGCUCUCACUCCACAUAUCUAAGACCGGUGUUGUUUCCAAUCCAUCCACAUAACGUAUCGGGAACAACAGCCGGUGCAGCACACCUAAAACGCACACCUCACGCACACGUUUUACCAGCCGCCAUCAUCCUCGAACCACUGAUCCAUCUUCAGGAAAGAGAUCCGCAUCAUCUUUGCCAGUCCAAUCAUCCGUCGACGCCACCACGGCGCCCAACGGCGCCACCGCCCUGCGCUGAUCCGUCCAUAUGCGAAGACUCCGGGGAGAUCUGUCGUGCGUAGCACCUGCCAACCAGGCAUGACUCGGCGUAGCACCCGUCGGCCAGGCAUGACUUGACAGCUCCACCGAAAUUCCGUGCAAGACGAAGCCGCUCCACCUCCUGCCUCAGUCUGCCAGCGCAGCUCCACAAACGAUGCUCCCAAGAGAGAAACGGCACCGCAGUACCGCCAUCGUCCGAUCUGGAAGACCAGAUCCUAACGUUUCCCCCGAAGCAGUGCCCACCACCAGCAACCGUUCAGGACCCACACAGUGCCCACCACCACUCAGCCCUCAAGGCGACGUCUUCAGGAAGGUCACGACGUCAAGGACGCCGCCGCUGCCCACCGGAGUUAGGGUUUUCACCCGAGAGGCAAGGAAGGGGAGCAGAGGUGCAGAUGUAUACCGAUGUCUCCAAAAAGAAUAACGGCGCCCUUGAGCGUCGUCGUCGGCGCGGCCGGCCUGGGCCAACCAAGGGGUUCCCCCAAUCCGAAUCUCCUCCUCCGGCUUCACCCAUAGGAAGGGCCCCGGUAACCACGCCGGCACCGCCAAGAAUCCACAGGAGAGAGGCCCACAGAUCAGGACCUGGGGGCGCAGGUGGCGGUGCGGGCAGUGCCCGAUGAAGGGGAACAGCACACCUCCACAACGACGCUUCCAAGAAAGAUAGCGGCACCCGCGGGCGUCGCCGUCGCGGCUCCGAUGAAACCAGAGCAAGGAUUUCUCCCGGAGCUGCACUCGAUAUCCAGCGUCACCGACCGCUGAGCAUGGCCGCCACGCACCAUCACGACCCCCAGCCAAGGCCACUGCACUGCGCGCCCUGGACACUGCUCAUGCCCAGCCGACCAGCGCAGCCGCGCCCGGCUGCCGCUCCCUACCACCAUGGCCGAGCGCCCCGCUAGAUCCGGCCAUGGAGCCCCGGAUCCGCCCUCCAUCGCCGCCGAUUGGCGAGAUCACACCGGAUCCCGCAACCGCCGCCGUCAGAGCCCGAAGGCCGACGCGAGGGGCCCCGCCGCCGCCAUCCCCGGGGCAGGCGCGGCUUCGCCGGCGUCCCCUCCGACAGCGGCGAAGCGGGAGGGAGGCGGAGAGGGGGUUCGGUGGCAGCGAUGCGUGUCUCUACGCGGAGAGGAUGCGCGUCGGCGACGUGCUCGCAAGGCGCCGGACUGGAGGAGCGCGGGCCGGGCAAAUCGGGAGCCGGGGCAGCGGCGUGGAACUGGUGAGAUGGGGUGGCGGCGGCUGGGUGAGAUCCAAACCUAUAUCUCUGGGAGUGCUUCCUGCUGCUUGAACAAUACUAUGUUUUCUUGCCUAAUCUUUUACCACGGGGAGGAGCGGCACUUGAACAAUGCUGGGAUAAAAUCAGCCAGACCAUGUGAUUCAUAUCCGGCUGAUUGAGCAGAUCGAACUGCAGGGUUAUUUAAUGACGUUUCACAUGCUGGUCGUACUUUGAUCAUGUUAUUAAGUACUACUAUUAGUAAGCCUUCUUAGAAGAGAUGGCAUCGAUUUGUACAGAGUGAUUGCGCCGCAUGCCCCAUUUGUGGGUGUGUCAGAAGAUUUGGUACACCAUUUGUUCGCUAAAUAGUGGCGUCGACGUGUUCGUGAUAUCUUGAUCUCCCAUACAUGUGUCGAUGAGACUUCCCUUACGUUUUUUAUCCUAUUUUUUUCUUGCCUAAUCUUUUGUCAGAAGAUUUGUAUCAGUAGAUGACACUGAUUUGUGCAACGUAAUUGCCGGUGCACGUCUGUCGAUUGGGAUUCGUAUCUCUUCUUCACGUGUGCUACUGACAGCCAACUCGAAUUUUCCUUUUCGAAUAGCCAACUCGAAUUCCACGAUACGAAGAACAUCUUCAACAGUAUGUAUAUUCAAUCAUUUGUAUAAGUGUCCACGUCAGCUGUCAACAGCACAUCAUUUAUGCUCUUUAAUGGAGUGUAUGUGAAUCGUAUGUAAAAUAACUAAACGAAUUCACUAAAUGUUGAAGAAAUAAACAUGCUUGCCUUGGAGCUUGUGCCUGAACCAUUGCUUCAAGUUCAUAAGAUUUCAUUCUCAUUCUUCUUUUAUUAUGUGUCAUGUCAUCAAAACUGUCUAUAUGAUAAUUUUACCAACAAUGGUCAUACAACUAUUGAAGAUGCCCUAAUAAGACAACCGGAAGGAGCUGAUUGCCGGACGUUGCGGCACUUAGACAAUGCUAUGGUAAAAUCAGCCAGACGGAUUCGAGGCAUAACGAAUGAAGCAAAGCAAGCAUGACUAUUAUGAACAACAACAACAACAAUAAUGUGCCCCAAAAAAAAUUAACACCGACCUGCCUAAAAGAUUUGCAACGUCCACCAAUUUCAAUCAUAAUGUGUCCGGUCGUAAGUGUUGAGUUCGUCAUUGUUUAGAUUAUAUAGGAUAGAACAACGGAAAUUGUUUUUGGAGGUCGAGCUCCAUAGAGGCCUCCAAAUGAAAAAUUCAAAUUUCACAAAAAAUUGUAAUUUUAUAUUUCAAAAAAUUCUAAGAAAAUACAUAGAUAGAUGAAGGUAUAAUGCAUAAUUGUGUAAAUUUUCAGAACUAAAUACGUUGAAAUGAGGCUUGUGCAAAAAAGACAAAUAUGAGACUUUUUAACACAUGAUACUAUUCAUCUUUUCAGACCAUAAAUUUGUCUUUUUUUAUACAGGCCGCGUUUUAAAGUAUUUCAACCUGAAAUUUUACACACAUACGACUCGCAUCCUUGCUUAGUUGUAUAUUUAUUUUCAGAUAUUUUUGACACCAGAUUUUCGAAUUUUGAAUUUUUUUUUUAAUUCGACGUCCAUGGAGGCCGAGUGCCAAAAUUCCAUUUGCAUAGAACAAAAUUUAUUUUACCUUCUCUCGUACCCAAAGAAUGUCAUGUAUCUCUAUAUAUACAUCCAUGAGGCUCAAGCAGUACAUCAUCAUCGAUUCCAUCAAUCCCCUCCUAAUCCCCUUACAUGGUAUCACACACAAGAGGUCUUGUGUUCAUGGCCAUGUCAAUGCAGUAUUAAAAACAAAAAGAUUCUGCGGCCUACAUCAAUCCCAUGUCUAAGGAAUAAAGUAGUCCAGACGUGAUGAGGAGUGUUGAAAUAUAUGCUCCGCCUCUCAUUGAAAUCAACAUGGUAUCAACAUUCGUAUUUUUAUUCACGUGAGCAAGUUGUUAGUACCCCUCAAGGGCUACUGUGUGGACCAUACAACAACAAAAGAAGUAGGGCCAAUUAGUUUUCCCUUUGGAAUAACCGACUGUUUAUUGGCUCGAUAACAUUUCUAGGGAUACUGAGACCACUGGGAGGAGCUGAUGUAGUUAUAUAUUUAAAACUUUAAUGUAAAACACAUAUCAUUUGUUUUAUCGUUGGAUGUAGUUAUAUAUUUUAUUUAAUUAUAAUGUAGAUAUAAAUAGUUUUUUCACAUUAACUUGUUCAAUAUUUAUAAAGUUUAAAUUUUUGAAAACUUAUACGCGCAACACUAUGAAACGGGUGGUGUAUAUUACGCUAGGAAUAAAAUUAUGGAACGGAAGGUGUAUAUUACUCGAGGAAAAUGUCACAACUCCAUUGUAAUUCUAUCUUUUAUAACUUUGGAUCCUAAUCUAUAAGUGCAAAUUCAAUAACGAACCAACAUGUAGUUGAUGGUUACAAGGACAGUAGUACCCCUGUCCACCAGAGAUCAAGUUCCAGACAUGACACUGGUGCUUAUGUUUUUUUGAAUUUAUUCCAAGUCUUUCGGUGAUGUGUCUUCAGUGGUAGGAGACGUUUUCGUAGACUACGUAUGUAUCUGUGUCGUCUUUGACAAUUUUAAGAUAAUAUGUCAGCUCACUUUAUUGGAGAUGCUCAUAGAUUUGCGCAUCUGUUAAAAAAGAAAUUAACGCGUGGUUCACGCAUGUAAAUAGUUAAAUCCGGCUGAUUAAGCAGAUUGAUUUGAUGGGUUAUUUAACAACGUAUGACCUGCUGGAGGUACUUUGAACUUGUGGAUCUCCCUGUCAAUAAAAUUGUGUUCAUCUUAUUAUCUAAUUGUCUAAUUGAUCAGCGUGGAUCAGAUGUGCCUUUAUUAAUACUCCUUUUUAGUAGAGAUGUCAUUGCGCGGCAUAAUCCUUUGGUGUGUGUGUCAGAAGAUUUGGUAAUUUUUUUUUUUUUAGGGGAAGAUUUGGUAAUAUUUGGUGAUGUUAAAAUAACGGUGUAAAUGAUCGGCUUUAUACCCCAUUUGGUAAGUAAAAAAUGGCGUCGACGUGUUCGUGAUAUUUUGAUGUCCCAUGCACUCGGUCGACGUGACUUGCCUUACGUACGUUUUUAAUACUAUUUUUUCUUGCCUAAUCUUUUACCACGAGACGGAGCUCAUGCAUGACGGCACUCAAACAAAGCUGGAAUAAAACAAGCCAGACCAUGUGCUUCAUGCAUAAUUCGAAGCAUAACUGACUGAAGCAAAGCAAGCAUGAUUCUUAUGAACGACAGCGACCUUAGAUGAGAAGUCGAAAAAAACGAUUUAUCUUCUUUUAAAUAAAAGAAGACAAGAUAUGAUCUCUUAGCACAGUAUGUCUCAUAAUAUUUUUUUAAAAUAACUAAUUAUAGAAGAUAAGGUUAAGAGAUGAUCCAUUAUAGACUUUCUUUUUCAUUAUCUUUAAAUUACAUUCAUCAUUUAAGAUAAGACUGUUUUAUCAACCAUUGUACAUGCCUAAGCAGUCACUAGCCGCUUUCUUUUUAUCUAAUCCUACGUCCAUUGCUAAAGAAACUGCUUUGCUGCAUUCCAUAGUUUUCAGAAGGAUUGAUUUAGUAAAGCUGUCCUUUUCAACUUUCGAUCUUAAUUACGCGUGGAUUACUCGUGGGAAUAGCUAGUUAAACCUGGCUGAUUGAGCAGAUCGAUCUGCAGGGUUAUUUAAUUAUGUUAGACAUGCUGGUCGUACUUUGAUCUUGUGGAUCUCCCUGUCAGUAAAAAUGUGUGCAUCUUACUAUUUAAUUGAUCACGUGGGUCAGACGUGCCCUUAUUAAUACUCAUUUUUGAAGCGUAAUCUUUUGUUAGCAGAUUCGUCUUAGAUAUGACAUUUGAGUUGUGCAGUGUCAUCGUGUGCCGCACAUUUCAUUUGUGCAAUGUGUCACAAGAUUUUGUACCAUUUGGAGAUGGUAUAUGCUCUGACAUUGAUCGGCGUCACACUCAUUUUGUUAAUUAAUAAUGGUGUCAACGUAGCUCUUUCACGGUGAUUGACGACUUGCAAUUUCGGGUAACUCCGCUUCUGAUUUUUUCCUAAUGAGAAUUCGUUUAACGGUUCAUUUUUGUGUAGAAAAGGUAGAGUAGUAAAUUAGCAGGUCAAUCCACUCACACAACAUGGUCAAUCCCCUCGCACAGCCUUCGUCGUUUUCAUUUUGUUAGCCUCCUUAAUCCCCUCUAACAGCCCCUGCCGUCAAUCCUCCCGUCGACCUUGCCGUCGCCGACGUCUCUUCCGUCGCUCGUGCCCUCGCCGUCGCCAACCCUCAUGCGCUGGAUGACGAGGCGGCGGCCUCCUUGACCUUCAUCGGGCUACCGAUGGCUCUUCUCUCCGCCUUCCUCGUGACGCCACGACUACAAAACCGGCUUCGCAUCCUCGCCCUAGCGGUCAUCCUCAACGAACUCCUCUGCCGCCAUCACCGCCGGGGUCAUCGGCUCCGCCACCUCGCCCUUGCAGCCAUCGUCGCCGACCCCCUCCGUCGUCACCAUCACCGGCGUCAUCGGUACCGCCUCCUAGCCCUAGCGGCCAUCCUCGCCGACUCCCAUCCGCCACCACCACCGCCGCGCGGGGUCAUCGCCUCCGACCUAUCCUUCCAUGCUGCUUUGAACAGAGGAGCCGACCCAGAUCUGUCGGGAAUGACAAUGAGGGUGUGAACACCACAUGUAUCAGACUUGACUGAGAUUGGAGAUGAAACGACGGAUUUGCCCUUUUAGAAGAUGACCAGCCCCACCUUAAUUUUGUAUGGUCCCAUCGUUAAUUGUACUUUCAUGUAAUUUUAGUCUCACAACUUCAUGUAGCGCUUAGAGUGGAUGGACUGUUCUUAAAGUCUCUAAUCACUGUAACAGUUGUAAUAAUAUUAUACAAGAAAGAGCGUGUACUGUGAUUUUAUCAUAAAUGCUGCAUCGUGUAUUUUGAGACAAAGUUUGACUGUAUGUUUUAUUUAUAGAAUAUGAGUUAUAUGUAACGAAAUUAAAUAGUUUGAUUCAUAUUUGAAAGAUGUUCUCAAUGAUACUAUUUGUCUUACAUAUAUUUUGUAUUUUCUUACGCAAAUCUAAGAUCAAACUUCGGCUCAAAAUGUAUGGUGGCCUAAUAAACCCGAAUCUCCGUCUGUAAAAUUGUGUGCAUCUUACUGUGUAAUCCAUCGGCGUGGAUCUAACGUGCCUUUAUUAAUACUCCUCUUUCUUGUGUAAACUUUUGUUAGAAGAUGGCAUCGAGUUGUGCAGUGUCAUCGUGCACCGCAUACUCCAUUUAUACUACUAUUUGAAGAUGGUAUAUGCUCUGACAUUCAUCGGCAUUAUACUCCAUUUGUUAAUUAAUAAUGGUGUCGACGUGGUGGUGAUAUUUUGAUCUAGUUGAUCUCCGAUGCAGUCGAUUGCCGAAACAUGCCUUACAUUCUUAAUACUCUUUUUUCCCGCGAACUAGAAGAUUCGUUUAAGUAGAUGGCAUCGAUUUGUGCAGCGUGAUUGCCGCAUGUGCAUGUUGUUACCCCGCAAGGCCAACAACAACAAAAAAGUAGGGGCUAAUAUUUAGGGAUACUGAGAGCAACUUUCACCGACUGACCCAAACGGACGGCGAUUUUAUCUGUUUUGUUCUAAAGGUCAUAGAAGAAGUCAUGAUCCAAGUAGUCAUGUGAAGUUGAUAUUCGUUCGAUAUUUUGAUGAUAUGAAUGUUAUUAUUUCCUUAAUGAUGUUAUGGAAACGUCGGCUACAUAACACUUCAUCAUCUUUGGGGCUAAGGAAAUGCAUUGUGCACUAGUUUUAUUAGCCUUCAGUGGUAAGGAGACGUUCCCGUUGACUAUGUAUGUGUCUCUGUCGUCUUUGUCAAUUUUAAGAUAAUAUGUCGGUUUCGUUUAUCGGAGAUGCUCAUAGAUUGGCGCAUCAAUUGUACUCGGCUAAAAAAGAAAUUACAUCGUGGAUCACGCAUGUGAAUAGUUAAAUUCAGCUGAUUAAGCAGAUCAUUUUGCAGGGUUAUUUAAUAACGUAUGACAUGCUGGAGCUACUUUGAUCUUGUGGGUCUCCCUGACAAUGAAAUUGUGUGCAUCUUAUUAUCUAAUUGAUCAGCGUGGAUCAGAUGUGCCUUUAUUAAUACUCCCUUUUAGUAGAGAUGUCAUUGCGUCGCAUAAUCCAUUUGGUAAUAUCUGGUGAUGUUAAAAUAACGGUGUAAACAAUCGGCUUUAUACCCCAUUUGUUAAGUAAAAAUGGCGACGACGUGUUCGUGAUAUUUUGAUCUACCAUGCACUCCAUCGACGAGCAUGAUUCUUAUGAACGAUACCGACCUUGCACGCAUAAAAAAUAUAGUACAGACAAUUUCCAUGAUGAUGCGAUAGUAGGCAAGUACUCCAUCACAAUUUAUAAGGCGUGCACGUGUACCUAGGUCAUUAGUUUAACUUAUAUAAAGUAUAUUUUUUAACAUAAAAAUUAUAUUAUUAGAAAAUAGAACAUUUAAAGUUUUUAAUGAUAUAUUUUUUAUAAUAUAUGUUUUUUAUUAAGUUGGUUAAAUUGACGACUUGGAUACACGUGUCGGACUUAUAAACUGAAACGGAGGAAGUAUGGUCCUUUUCAACUUUGGAUCCAAAUUUACAAGUGCACAUUUAGUUAAACCUUGCUGAUUGAGCAGAUCGAACUGCAGGGUAAUUUAAUGAUUUUAGACAUGCUGGUCGUAUUUUGAUCUUGUGGAUCUCCCUGUCAGUAAAAUUGUGUGCAUCUUAUUAUUUAAUUGAUCACGUGGAUCAGACGUGCCCUUUUUUUUCUUCUUUUUUUUAGGGUAGACGUGCCCUUAUGAAUACUCAUUUUUCAAGCGUAAUCUUUUGUCAGAAGAUUCGUCUUAGACAUGACAUUUGAGCUGUGCAGUGUCAUCGUGUGCCCCACGUUUCAUUUGUGCAAUGUGUCACAAGAUUUUGUACCAUUUGGAAAUGGUAUAUGCUCUGACAUUGAUCGGCGUUACACUCCAUUUGUUAUUUAAUAAUGGCAUCGACGUAGCUCUUUUACGAUUAUUGGCGAGCUACGAUGACUCCGCUUCUGUUUUUUCUAACCGUCGGAUUCAGGAAUCCAUUUAAAGGUUUAUUUUUGUGUAGAAAGGGUAUAGUAGUAAAUUAGCAGGUCAAUCCACUCGCACAACAUGGUCAAUCCCCUCGCACAUCCUUCGUCGUUGUCAUUUUGUUAGCCUCCUCAAUCCCAUCGAACAGUCCCUAUCAUCGAUCCUCCUCUCAACCGUGCCACCGGUGGCGUCCCUUUUGUAACUCAUGCCAUCACCGUCGCCGACCCUCGCGCUGCACAACGAGGCGGGGGCCUCGUUGACCUUUAUCAGAGCAUCGUUGGCUUUUCUCUCCGCCUCCCCCAUGACGUCAUGGCUACCGAACCGGCUCUGCCUCCUUGCCCCAGCGGCCAUCCUCGACGAACCCCUCCGCCACCACCAUCGUCGGGGUCAUCGGCUCCUUCACCUCGCCCUAGCGGCCAUCCUCGCUGACCCCCUCCGCCAUCACCACCGCUGGGGUCAUCGGCUCCGCCUCCUCGCCCAAGCGGCCAUCCUCGUCGACUCCCAUUCGCCACCACUGCCGUCACCGGGGUCAUUGCCUCGGACCUAUCCUUCCCUACUGCUUCGAGCAGAGGGUCGACCAGGAUCUAUCGGGGCUGACAAUGAGGGUGCAAACACCACGUGUAUCAGCCUUGACUAAGAUUGGAGGUGAAAUGACGGAUAUGUCCUUUUAGAACAUAACCAUGUAAAACAAUGUUUAGGUGAAAACUUCUCGACGCCCAAUACGGGUGUGACUAUCUCAUAUAUAUAAUGGGAAUACAAGAUACAGAAGUAUACACAGAAGCUUUGGAAACAUACAGUGGUUGCGCAUGCAUCCCUCAAACAGUGGUUGCGCCUCCAUCCCUCAAACUGCGGUUGUGGAAGUGGCUUCGUGAAGAUGUGAGCAAGUUGAUCCUUGAAAGAUAUGAACUUGAUAUGAAGAAGCUUGUGCACUACAAGAAAUAUGCUAACUUGCGACCUUCAAUAUUGGUCACCGAAUAGUCGUUGAUUUUCAUUUGUGACCUUUUUAUGACCAAAACGAGACGGUCAAAAGUUGAGCUUCUCUAAUGAACUAUAGCGACCUUUCUUCUGAAUUGGUCGUAGACAUUUACGACCAAACAAAAGGUAGUAAAUUAGAAUCAGCCCGAUCCAUUCCGGUCGUCUACAUGGGCCAAGCCCAAUAAUUCAGCCCAUUAAAUGUUUUUUCUCUUUAUUUUUCUUAGUUGCACGGGCCGGGCCCAAUAAUUUGGCCUUUUAUUUUCUGGGAUGGAGCCUUUUACUGAGCAAUUUUUUUAGUCCACUCUUAUUUUGGGCCACAACCUUUUUAGUCCAGUUCUUGUUUGGGCCUCAGCCUUUUAUUUUAAGAGAUGCAGCCUUUUAACUAUUUAUUUUUUUACAAUCAACUCUUCUUUUAGGCCCAAGCCUUUUUAGUCUAAUUCUUGUUUGGGCCUCGGCCUUUUGUAGUCCAACUAAGACUAGUGGGGACGGGGCCUAUAGUCCCGGCCCGUAAGGGGCUUUAGUCCCGGUUCACGAACCGGGACCAAAGGGGCGGCCCUGUUCCAAGCCGGGACAAAAGGUGCUCCACGUGGGCGCCUCGGAGCGCCCUCAGGGGCAGGCCCUUUAGUCCCGGGUCUUAACACAGACCGAGACUAAAGAGUUUCUGCAGAUUUUGUUUAUUUUAGGGUUUAGGUGUUCGAGAGAUUAACGUGAUGCCUCGUUUGGUGUUCGGGAAUUAGUUUUCAUAUAAUUCUAAAUAUACAUGUUUAUGCAUAUAUAUAUAAGAUUAACUUAUCUUACAAGCAAACAUAUAUAUACAAUUAUAUGGAGAUCUGAAUUAUCGGGACUAGAGCCCGUCUAUUCGAUUACAUGGACCAACAUCAGUAAUGGCCCCUGGCUACACUAAAUCGUCCUUUGUCAUCUAUAGCUUUCGUCCUCAGAAAGGUCGCAAGCUCCUCUGCAACAGCAAUCGCGCGUUGCUCUCGUAGGACCUUCUCCCUCAUGGUCGUGUACUAUAUAAGAAGAUGAGAUGAAUAUGAAUAUCAAUCAUGAUAACAAAGAAUGACGGGUAAAAAUAGAGGUGUGAAUGUUCAUUGCUUACGUCGUAUCUGUGAUCCUUGUGCUCAGAGGUAAACAUGCGAAUGGUCUCGCAAACAUAGUAUCCGCAUAGAUGCGUCCCCCGUGGCUGCUGGUCGCACUUUACGAGAAUAGAUUAUAUAUAAUCAAAAUAAUAAUCUAGCAUCAUAAAUGUAUUGAAAAUAGAAGUAUAUCAUACUACUACUUACCUGAGCCGCUCUAAAGGUCAGCUUCUCAUGCUCGAUACCGGGAGUCACGCACUUGAACCGCUUCCAAACCCUGCCUGACAAGGAAAAUGAUUUGCUAAGUUUUUCAUUAAUUGAUAUAUCAGAAAAUCAUCGGAAGAGACCGAUAGAGCGCAAGAAUGAUUGAAAUUAUCCUUGGAGCAUGUCCUGCAAGUUUUGGAACCGUUCCAAGGGUCUCGAUAAUGGGUCGAAGGCAUCAACUCUUCCCUUAUCAAUUUGAAUGUCCAACAUAAUCCAAUGGAAGAUGCACAUGUAUAUAUAUAUAUAUGUGUGUGUGUGUGUCAGUAACUUAUCAAUUACACUUAUAAGUGAAUGGACACGACAGAGUAAAGACCCUCACCUGAAGUUAUAUGGAAACAGUAUGUGGUCACAAAUUUUUUGAUCUGUUAGAGACCUUAGAAGUUUUUCCUCCGUCUCCUUGGGUUUAUCAGUUAGCGUCGCUAUAUGUAUUUUAUCUGGGUCAAUAAACCCAAUAUUUAGGAUGUUCCUACUUUUACAUUCCAGAAUCUUCAUUCUGCAUAAUAGAGUACAAGUUAUAUGUAGACAAUGAAUUGAAAUAACUAAACAAGUUAUAUGUAGACAACGAAUUGAAAAACUUACAGACAAUAGCAACUCAUAAGCGAUUUGUCGAGGGCGUCAGCAUUGUACAUCUGGAAGAGUUCAUCAAAGUCGAUAUGGAUUUCUUCGGGGCGGCCGUAGUACUCCUGUGGGACACGCGCCACGAUCAUCGUUCUCCCAUUCUUUGAUUCACUUAAGUACCAUGUAUGCAAGUAACACAUAUUUGUUGGGAGAUCAUCUUUGCUGACCAAAGGCGCUCCCAUGACAAACUGUGGCUUAGGGGCUACCACAACCUGGGGUAACCUGUUGUCUUGGGAAGCCAAAAACGUCUUCAACCGGGAUACCCCAUUCAUCCGCCCACUUCUUUGCUAAUUCCAAAUCUUGCCCCUGCACCAGAGGGGAACAUUCUCGGGUAACACCCUGAGGGGUGGGAUCGACUGUUUGGCCUGUUGUCCAAGCUGAGGAACGUCUAAUCUUUUUUUUGCUUGUAGUUGAACUUGAUUUCCUCCCACUUGCACUUGCACGUGAUCUGCUCUUUUUCCCUUCCUUCUGCAAUGUGCGUGUAUAGUCAUCAGGCUUAUGGUGUAAGUCAUACUGUGAUGGAAGGGUCGUGAAGUAUUUUGCAAAUGCUAUUUGCUUCUCGGUGUAUUCCGGGCGGGGCUCGGGUUCCUUCUUUUUCAUCUGCGCAUCAUGAUGUUCCUUUGCUAUCCUGGCGUUUUCCUCGGCGGUAUGAUCAUAAGGUCUGAUAGGAAUAUUAGCAUGAGGUACCUUUGGGAGGGGCGAUAGUUUGCGCUUUGGGGAGCUUCGUCGCUUAGAAAUCAUCGACGGAGCGUUCUUGCUGGCACGCUUCCGCUUAGUAUCCGGAGCGGGCGGCGGCGGAGACGGACGACCCAAGUCCGGCGGCGGUGAUUGAGAUGGACUCGUGUUGUGUUGUCCGUCGUCAUGUGGAGGGCUUGGAGGUGAUGGAGGUGUAGGUGACCUGCGAUGACUCGGAGGCGGUGUUGUCCUUGGGGCCGAGCGUGGAAGCUUGAUGUAGUUCUUGUCCCAUAGGAUGACUCCACCCAGUACUUCUCCGAGUGUCCUCUCAUCUUCAGGUCCAGCUAUUUCGAGCUCCAUAUCAUCAAACCCCGCCAUGAUUUCAUCCACCCCGACUUUAGCAAAGCCAGCUGGAAUCUCACGGCCAUGCCAUCGUGCAUCAGGGCCAGAAGGUAAAGCUUGUCCGACGGCCACCUUCAUGGAUAUGUUCUUGAAUUUCUGAUGGAGUUCACAUGAUGUUGACUCCUUGAUUCCAUCCACGGGGUAGCCGGGACCGCCCUCUAUCAUUCUUCGUGCAUCGUCGGGCGGGGCCUCAGAUUCAGCCACGCUGCUUUUCCGCUUAGAUGGGGCGCCGGUAAUAUCGAGUGCAGAAUCUUCCUGGCGCGCUACUCCUCUAAGCUCAUCAAUCUGCUUCUGUUGCUCGUUAAUCCUGGCAAGCAACUGGUUGAACUUGUCAUUCUCCUCAUCAUGUUGUCGCUUCUUUGCUCUCGCUCGACUUCUGUAAGUGUCUUGGUCUCUGGCAAAACCAAGCCACCACGAGUAAGAAGGACCGAAGACUCGCGUUCGUCCUCCAUAUUCUUCAUUGCCGAGGACCAGUGUGAGCAAAUCUUUCUCUCUAUCUGCAGUGAACUGUCUUUUUCCCUCCUUAAUUUCUUUCACUAUCUUUUUCCAAUUCUCCCUAGGUAUCCUAAGACCGUCACUGCAGAUGAGGUCCCCUGUUUCUUCGUCGUACGAACCACCAUGCGCAAGGAACCAAUUUCUUGCUCUCAAUUCCCACUCAUCACGGAGUGGUUCAAGUAUGAUGCCUUUAGCUAGCAGAUCUUGCUCUUUCUUAUCCCACUUUGGGAUGGCAGUCUCAUAGCCCCCUGGCCCCAGCGUGUGGUGAUAUUUCUUUUUGUCGGCAUUUUUCUUGUUCUUUUCUGAUAAUGCCUUGGCAUCUUCUGACUCCUUGUACUCUUGAAAUGCCUUCCAGUGAUUCGCGUGCUUGGCUAGAUACCCCUCGAAUACUAGCACUUUCUUUGUCUUCGGAUAGUUUUUCCAUAGCUUCUUCUUCCAGCUACGGAACAGUUCGGCCAUCUUCUUUAGAGUCCACUACUUGACUUUGGCCCUCAGUUUUUUUGCGGCGUCUUCAUUCUCACAUUCUGGCAGGUUGAAAUGUGACAUGAGAUCAUUCCAAAGAUUAUCUUUGUACCUUUCGGCGACAUAGUCACUAUCGGCUGCCCCUUUGCGCUUGUUCCACUCCCGAACGUUGAUCGGGACGUGAUCCCUAACGAGAACUCCGCGUUGCUUCUUGAAUGUGUCAGCAGCAUUCUUAGGAAGCUUGGGUUCGCCCGUAGGCAAUAUCACCUCGAAGGUGUAAUGCGUCCGUGCAUCCAACUUUUUAGUCGGGACUUCGUUUCGUAGCUUUGCUCGAUGUGGAGGCCUAAGAGGGAGAAACAUUCUUCAAAUGAAUGUAUAUGUAUACAAUAUAGAGCUAUCUCCAAUAUUUUUCACAUAUUACAAGUGAUUGUCGAACUUCAUAUGUAUACCUCGCCGGACUUUAUUAUUUCUCCACCGGCUUCUCCAUCAGUGGAGCUAUCACCUUCUCCGUCAUUGGACCUAUCUCCUGCCCCAUCGUCUUCAUCUUCGUGUCGGUCGACCUCCAUUCCAUAUCCGGAGGGGUUUAGAUAUGACGACGGAGAUUCAGCUGGUUCAACGUCGGGGCCGUCUUUGAUUAUAUCUUCAAGAAGUUCUUCCUCUUCGAGGUUCCUGAUAUGUGGAUCCAUAGUUCUGCAAAAAACGGACAUUUGAUUAACUAAUAAACUAACAAACUAUAUAACAGGGGUUGGAAACUUCGAAGUGUCGUUUUAUAUAGGAGGACCUUUAGUCCCGGGUCUUGGCUAGAACCUAAACUCUAAAAUAUGUCUAACGGAUUCUCUUAACCUUUAAGGAUUUAACAAAAUGGCGACAUUCUAGAUGUGUAGAAAAAGAUCCUAUUUUUCCUGAUCUCAUCUACCCUUCUAUAUGUCACAUUGUCUAGUGUCAAAGGACUUUGUUGAACUUUGUACCAAAAAAGAAUUAUUCUAUCAGGAACUCCGUUCCAAAACAACUUUAGUCCCGGUCGUAGCUCCACCCGGGACUCCUAGAUUUCUGCAUAGUAUUCAAAGUAGGAGUACUUUUUCCAAUUUGAGCAUUCAAUAAGCAAAACCAAAUCGUAAAAUAAAAUAGUAUUCAAAUUAGCAUGCAUUCAAUUAUAAGCAAAACUACAUCAUCUCUUGUGUCCGUACAUCGUCGAAUAUUAUCAGUAAUACUCCUCGAAUACUAUCAUACAUAUAGCAUCACUAAUACAGCUAGAACCGUAGCGCCCGACGGGUAUCGUCGCGGGCGGUGGACACAGGAUCAUAGCUCCAGUGAGAUCCCUGAAGAACCUGCCAGGUAUGCUCGAACCUGCCCUCCAACGCAACCAUGUAGCGACGGACGUGCUCAUCCUCCUCGCUGACACGGUGACGUACCACCUCCGCGGUGUCCGGAAGCCUCGGCACCGUCACUGGCCCACGCGACCGCCACAAAACAAGGAUCGGGUCAACAACGGGCUGGCUCCUCACCAACCUACGCCCCCCCGAAGGUAGCACCUCCCAAUACCAGCUGGGCGAAGCCCAGUCCCGGACAUGGCCCCUCUGAUCAAGCAGGUGUCCUCCGCCGAGUCGACGACGAGGAUGCGGGAUAGGCAUCGUAAAAUGAACUAAAAAAAUAAACUAGUUCUAUUAAUUUUCUUGCUAAAAAUAAACUAAUUUUAUAUAUAGUAAAAUAAAGUAGUUUUAUUAAANNNNNNNNNNNNNNNNNNNNNNNNNNNNNNNNNNNNNNNNNNNNNNNNNNNNNNNNNNNNNNNNNNNNNNNNNNNNNNNNNNNNNNNNNNNNNNNNNNNNGAAGACACUGACUAUCAUUGAUCAACUGGCUAGCCAACUAGAGGCAUGGUAGGGACGGUGUUUUGUCUAUGUAUCCACACAUGUAAAUGAGUCUUCAUUCAAUACAAUUAUAGCAUGGAUAAUAAACUAUUGUCUUGAUACAGGAAUUAUAAUAAUAACUAUACAUUUAUUAUUGCCUCUAGGGCAUAAUUCCAACAGUGGGCAUAUCUUUGAAAGCAAUGUAUCAAUGUAUGGGAUUGUGGGGUUUACUAUAGAAAUGUGGGACUGUGGCGAUGGCAGGGGGCCUUCGGCCUCGAUUCCUUCGGCUAGUAGACUGGGAGGAGCUCUACUGAUCUUCUAGACACGACAACAAGGCUUCAGGUGCCCGAUGGCCUCGUGGACGAGUUGCGUCAGACAUCGGUUACUCUCGGGGGUGCUUGGGAUCGAGCGAGAGAAGGGGGAGAAUAGCCAUUGGAGGAGGGGACUGAGAGAGGAGCUCGAGGCCGUCUCUCUCGCGAGGGAUGAGGAUGUGGAUGCUAGAAGGAGGUGGAAGCAGGAGGUGGAGCUCGCGGCGUGCACGGGCGACACGACGCCGUCCUCCUGGCAAAGGAGGAAAACGACCGGCCUCGACCCUCGGUGGGCUGGGCCGCCAGCUAUAGCAACAGGUAAGGCCCAGGUAAGGUUUUUUUUUUCUUAUUUCUGUUUUCUAUGUUUCUGUCAUUUGUGAUUUGAUUUAAAAAAAAUCAAAACAAUUUAUAAAAACAUAAAGUUUAUUAUGUGAUAUAAAUGGAAUUAUCCAGUGUCACACAUUAAAUUUCAGAAUAUAUGGAACUAUAUUUUAUAUAUAGAAAAUAUAAUUCCAUUUUAAAUAAUUGUUUGAUUAAUUCAAAAGUCCAAAAUAAAUGUUUCUGUAAUUCAAAAUAUUGGUUGACAUUUUUACAUCAUGCCAAUAUUUUAUCAGAAAACCAGGGACAUUUCCUUGGAUCAUUUUAAAGCAUUUUUUAUAUUGCUUAGUUUCCAAAAUUUUGAAUGAUGAGGCUUGAUCACUCCUCAUUUCAAAUUCAAAAGAAAAUAAAAAUGCAUGCAUGAAUGCUUUGCAAGCAAGGGUAAAGUUAGGGCUGUGACAAUUUGCCACUAGCUCAAUAGGUACUGGACUAGUUGACUACUUUGUAAACCAGAUUUCUGAAGCUUUCAUCUUCUUCUUGAAUUUUCUGGCAUGUUUUUGCAACUCCACUACCUCUGAUUCCUGCCCACGAUCAUCAGUAUGUGCCACAUAGUCAGGAUCCUCUGAAUCUUCAGGCUCUGAACAUUUUCUGCAAUUUCUGGAAUUGGAGCUAUAGUCUCGCUAGCAGCAAAUGGCUGACAAGGAUUGAUCACUUGAGAACCUUAAGAAAGAGAUUAAAUUCUGAUAUUGUGGUUUACAGGGCUACUUAUCACUUCAGUCACCACACCACCUUCAUUAGGAACCAGGAUAUGUUACAAAAUGUCUUGCUCUAGUACUGCGAUAACUUGUUGCACAUUACUUUGGACAAGAUCUUAUUCUUCUGCGGUGAUACCAUCAUCUGGUUCAUCUUCAUUGUUUAUCAUGCAGUUCAUCUUCAAAAUUUCAGCAACCCUCUAGCUCAUCUUGCUCACCGUUGUACUCUACAAAAAUAUCAGCUACCCAACAUCUCUAAUAUACUUUUGACAUCUUCAGGAAACCAUCAUCAGUAUAUAGAAACACUGAUCCAUUAACUAGAUCUCUCCCAGGUAUAAGAAAAUAUAGCUUUAUACUCUCUUUAAUAGUUAAAUAAUCAGCUAAACAUCAUUUUAGCUCUCGCAGUGACAACUUAUCGCUCUGAACCACUCACAUUGCAGUGUCUCCCGCAACAUAAUCAAGGAACGUGCUAGUAUGGACGAACACACCCCCAUAAUGAAACCUGACAUUCAACACCUCUGUUGGAUCCAUGAUUUGAAAGAACAAAAACUAUACUGCAAUACUUCCAUUCAGAAACAUACAUUCAGUAAGCACACUUCAAUUUCAGACAAUAUUUCCCAUUCAGAAACCGUUGAACAAGAAGGACGCACAUUCAAUACAGUAUUUAAUUUCAGAAAAUCAAAGCUACCACAGACCAAACAUACUUCCGGCGAAACAUACAUGAUUUGGUGGUAAGAAAAUCAAUUAAACCUACAAUUCAGUCAAUGAUUUUCACACCUUAAGAAAACAUGGUUACAAGGUCGAUUGAAAUGGCUACAAAAUCGAUUUAUCCUACAAUACAUACCAUGUAUCCGUCCAUGUAUGAGUCAGUGCCCGAAAAACAUGAAAUUAAACAUCCUAUAAAUUCCCCACAAAACCCCACCUUUCGCUCGUGUAAAAAUCAUAAACCUAACCCAUGGAGGGAAGGAGAAAAGACCAUAGAUCAUUCACAGUUGAAGAGGAUGGUGCACCUAUUCCUUUGCCACCGGCGUGGUCGUCGUAGGUCGCCGCCAUCAUCCGAUCACCGUCGCCAUUGCCGACGCGGGAGAAGGUGGUGCGUUGGGAGAGAAGGGUAAUAGGAAGGUACCCACAACGCCUCGGUGACUCAGCGAUCCGAUCUUUUCCAGUUUGGAUACGGCAAAAGGGCGAAAACGAUCGGGAUUAGAGAUUUGAGGGUGUGAACUUUAAGGAUUUGGAAGUUGGCGUUUAAAACCGAUGACUCGUAUGAGUCCAUGGUUUAAAAUAGACUUUACUCAAGAUUGAUCAGUAGCUGAAGAAAUUUCAGGUAGCCUUCAACGGCGAAUCUGGAGACGUAGUAAAAAUAUAUAAAUCUUAGGUGCUUUAGUUCCUUUAUAUAUAUUUACUAUAUAUAUAUAUAUAUCCGUCAAAAUAGGUGCUUUAGUUCCUUAAUUGUUACAUCUCAAUUAUUACAAACCCUUAGACAAAAUGCCAAAAAAUUAAAACAACAAUCGUAAAUACAGAUGUGAUCCGUUUUGCCAAUAAUAUAGAUACAGACGUGAUUGAUGCAAACACAUGACACCAUUCGAUCGAUACCCCUUAUUGUUGAGUUUAAGGAGACCUUGCAAUCAAGUUGAUGAUCUCCAAGUCCGUCUGUGGAAUGGAAUAGAGAUUACUUAGAGCAGAGGGUGUGGAUGAUCUCCAUCUUCCCAAGGAUCACGGAGGCCUGAUCCUGCACGACCUUCCAUCCAUGGGCAACGUGGUGUUGCUCCGUGAGGGUGCUCCCCACCGCACACCUUAGCAUGAACAUGCCACCUACNNNNNNNNNNNNNNNNNNNNNNNNNNNNNNNNNNNNNNNNNNNNNNNNNNNNNNNNNNNNNNNNNNNNNNNNNNNNNNNNNNNNNNNNNNNNNNNNNNNNNNNNNNNNNNNNNNNNNNNNNNNNNNNNNNNNNNNNNNNNNNNNNNNNNNNNNNNNNNNNNNNNNNNNNNNNNNNNNNNNNNNNNNNNNNNNNNNNNNNNNNNNNNNNNNNNNNNNNNNNNNNNNNNNNNNNNNNNNNNNNNNNNNNNNNNNNNNNNNNNNNNNNNNNNNNNNNNNNNNNNNNNNNNNNNNNNNNNNNNNNNNNNNNNNNNNNNNNNNNNNNNNNNNNNNNNNNNNNNNNNNNNNNNNNNNCCGCCAAACUUGUCCACCGGCCGAAUCCUGAAGCACACGAGCGCGAACGUCCUUUCCGUCACCACCUCGAACCUCUCGUCGGCCCUCACCAUGUCCUCGAACUCCACGGCCAUGCGUACGUGGGAGCGGAUGUGGUCGCGAAGGCCAUGGACGCCGUAGCAGCGGAGCACGAGCCACAUCUUGAGGGCGCGGAACCGGCGGGUGAGCGUCAUGUUCCAGUCCUUGUAGUCCACCACGUCGUGCCCCUCCGACGCGGCGUCCUUGAGGAUGUACUCCUGCUCCGUCCCGAGCGCCGCCACCAGCGCGCUCGGCUUCUUCACCCACAUGACGCAGCAGUCGUUGUUGGCCAGAAGCCACUUGUGGGCGUUCAUGCUGAACGAGUCCACGGCCUCCACGCCGU